GAGGAGUCAUUUGGUGACUUUUGAGUGAAAUCCAACGGCUAAAACUAUGCAAUACACUAACCACACCAUUUCAGAACGAACUUCGUACAAACCUGAAUUGUCCAAUUUCAUGGACCAAUCGAUAUCGGAUUGAGUCCGAAACGUGGGGAACAUCAUAAUAUGAUGGGAGGAGUCAUUUGGUGACUUUUGAGUGAAAUCCAAUGGCUAAAACUAUGCAAUACACCAACCACUCCAUUUCAUAACGAACUUCGUACGAACCUGAAUUGUCAAAUUUCAAGGAGUAACCGAUAUCGGACUGAGUCCGAAACUUGGGGAACAUCAUAAUACGAUGGGAGGAGUGGUUUGGUGACUUUUGAGUGAAAUCCAAUGGCUAAAACUACGCAAUACACUAACCACUCCAUUCAGAACGAACUUCGUACAAACCUGAAUUGUCCAAUUUCAUAGACCAAUCGAUAUCGGAUUGAGUCCAAAACUUGGGGAACAUCAUAAUACGGAGGGAGAAGUCGUUUGUUGUCUUUUGACUGAAAUCCAAUGGCUAAAACUAUGCAAUACACUAACCACUCCAUUUCAGAACGAACUUCGUACAAACCUGAAUUGUCCAAUUUCAUGGACCAAUCGAUAUCGGAUUGAGUCCGAAACGUGGGGAACAUCAUAAUAUGAUGGGAGGAGUCAUUGGUGCUUUUUGAGUGAAAUCCAAUGCUAAACUAUACAAUACACUAACCAUUCCAUUUCAUAAUGAACUCGUACGAACUUGAAUUGUCCAAUUUUAUGGACCAAUCGAUAUCGGAUUGAGUCCGAAAACUUGGGGAACAUCAUAGUAUGAUGGGAGGAGUCAUUUGGUGACUUUUGAGUGAAAUCCAAUGGGUAAAACUAUGCAAUACACUAACCACUCCAUUUCAGAACGAACUUCGUACAAACCUGAACUGUCCAAUUUCAUGGACCAAUCGAUAUCGGAUUGAGUCCAAAACUUGGGGAACAUCAUAAUACGGAGGGAGAAGUCGUUUGUUGUCUUUUGACUGAAAUCCAAUGGCUAAAACUAUGCAAUACACUAACCACUCCAUUUCAGAACGAACUUCGUACAAACCUGAAUUGUCCAAUUUCAUGGACCAAUCGAUAUCGGAUUGAGUCCGAAACUUGGGGAACAUCAUAAUAUGAUGGGAGGAGUCAUUUGGUGCCUUUUGAGUGAAAUCAAAUGGCUAAAACUAUGCAAUACACUAACCACUCCAUUUCAGAACGAACUUCGUACGAACUUGAAUUGUGCAAUUUCAUGGACCAAUCGAUAUCGAAUUGAGUCCGAAACUUGGGGAACAUCAUAAUAUGAUGGGAGGAGUCAUUUGGUGACUUUUGAGUGAAAUCCAAUGGCUAAAACUAUGCAAUACACUAACCACUCCAUUUCCGAACGAACUUCGUACAAACCUGAACUGUUCAAUUUCAUGGACCAAUCGAUAUCGGAUUGAGUCCAAAACUUGGGGAACACCAUAAUACGGAGGGAGGAGUCAUUUGGUGUCUUUUGACUGAAAUCCAAUGGGUAAAACUAUGCAAUACACUAACCACUCCAUUUAAGAACGAACUUCGUACAAACCUGAAUUGUCCAAUUUCAUGGAUCAAUCGAUAUCGGAUUGAGUCCAAAACUUGGAGAAUAUCAUAAUAAGGUGGAAGGAGUCAUUUGGGGUCUUUUGAGUGAAAUCCAAUGGCUAAAACUAUGCAAUACACCAACCACUCCAUUUCAGAACGAACUUCGUACGAACCUGAAUUGUCCAAUUUCAUGGACCAAUCGAUAUCGGAUUGAGUCCAAAACUUGUGGAACAUCAUAAUACGGUGGGAGGAGUCAUUCGGUGACUUUUGAGUGAAAUCCAAUGGCUAAAACUAUGCAAUACACUAAACACACCAUUUCAUAACGAACUUCGUAAGAACCUGAAUUGUCCAAUUUCAUGGACCAAUCGAUAUCGGAUUGAGUCCAAAACUUGGGGAACAUCAUCAUAUGAUGGGAGAAGUCAUUUGGUGACUUUUGAGUGAAAUCCAAUGGCUAAAACUAUGCAAUACACUAAACACACGAUUUCAGAACGAACUUCGUAAGAACUUGAAUUGUCCAAUUUCAUGGACCAAUCGAUAUCGGAUUGAGUCCAAAACUUGGCGAACAUCAUCAUAUGAUGGGAGGAGUCAUUUGGUGACUUUUGAGUGAAAUCCAACGGCUAAAACUAUGCAAUACACUAACCACUCCAUUUCAAAACGAACUUCGUACAAACCUGAAUUGUCCAAUUUCAUGGACCAAUCGAUAUCGGAUUGCGUCCGAAACUUGGGGAACAUCAUAAUAUGAUGGGAUGAGUCAUUUGCUGCCUUUUGAGUGAAAUCCAAUGGCUAAAACUAUGCAAUACACUAACCACUCCAUUUCAGAACGAACUUUGUACAAACUUGAAUUGUCCAAUUUCAUGGACCAAUCGAUAUCGGAUUGAGUCCAAAACUUCGGGAACAUCAUAAUACGGAGGGAGGAGUCAUUUGGUGUCUUUUCAGUGAAAUCCAAUGGCUAAAACUAUGCAAUGCACUAAACACACCAUUUCAUAACGAACUUCGUAAGAACCUGAAUUGUCCAAUUUCAUGGACCAAUCGAUAUCGGAUUGAGUCCAAAACUUGGGGAACAUCAUCAUAUGAUGGGAGGAGUCAUUUGGCGACUUUUGAGUGAAAUUCAAUGGCUAAAACUAUGCGAUACACUAAUCACUCCAUUUAAGAACGAACUUCGUACAAACCUGAAUUGUCCAAUUUCUUGGACCAAUCGAUAUCGGACUGAGUCCAAAACUUGGGGAACAUCAUCAUAUGAUGGGAGGAGUCAUUUGGUGACUUUUGAAUGAAAUUCAAUGGCUAAAACUAUGCAAUACACUAACCACUCCAUUUCAGAACGAACUUCGUACAAACCUGAAUUGUCCAAUUUCAUGGACCAAUCGAUAUCGGAUUGAGUCCAAAACUUGGGAAACAUCAUAAUACGGUGGCAGGAGUCAUUUGGCGAGUUUUGAAUGAAAUCGAAUCUCUACAACUGUGCAAUACACCAAGCACUCCAUUUCAUAACGAACUUCGUACGAACCUGAAUUGUCCAAUUUCAUGGACCAAUCGAUAUCUGAUUGAGUCCAAAACUUAGGGAACAUCAUCAUAUGAUGGGAGGAGUCAUUUGGUGACCUUUGAGUGAAAUCCAAUGGCUAAAACUAUGCAAUACACUAAACACACCAUUUCAGAACGAACUUCGUAAGAACCUGAAUUGUCCAAUUUCAUGGACCAAUCGAUAUCGGAUUGAGUCCAAAACUUGGGGAACAUCAUCAUAUGAUGGGAGGAGUCAUCUGGUGACUUUUGAGUGAAAUCCAACGGCUAAAACUAUGCAAUACAAUAACCACUCCAUUUCAGAACGAACUUUGUACAAACUUGAAUUGUCCAAUUUCAUGGACCAAUCGAUAUCGGAUUGAGUCCGAAACUUGGGGAACAUCAUAAUAUGAUGGGAUGAGUCAUUUGGUGCCUUUUGAGUGAAAUCCAAUGGCUAAAACUACGCAAUACACUAACCACUCCAUUUCAGAACGAACUUUGUACAAACUUGAAUUGUCCAAUUUCAUGGACCAAUCGAUAUCGGAUUGAGUCCAAAACUUGGGGAACUUCAUAAUACGGUGGGAGGAGUCAUUUGGUGUCUUUUGAAUGAAAUCCAAUGGCUAAAAUUAUGCAAUAAACUAACCACUCCAUUUCGGAACGAACUUCGUAUGAACCUGAAUUGUCCAAUUUCAUGCACCAAUCGAUAUCGGAUUGAGGCCAAUACUUGGGGAACAACACAAUACGGUGGGAGGAGUCAUUUCGUGGCCUUUGAGUGAAAUCCAAUCUCUACAACUAUGCAAUACACUAACCACUCCAUUUCAUAACGAACUUCGUACGAACCUGAAUUGUCGAAUUUCAUGGACCAAUUGAUAUCGGAUUGAGUCCAAAAGUUUUGAAACAUCAUAAUAUGAUGGUUGGAGUCAUUUGGUGACUUUUGAGUGAAAUCCAAUCUCUACAACUGUGCAAUACGCCAACCACUCCAUUUCAUAACGAACUUCGUACGAACCUGAAUUGUCGAAUUUCAUGGACCAAUCGAUAUCGGAUUGUGGCCAAAACUUGGGGAACAUCAUAAUAUGAUGGUUGGAGUCAUUUGGUGACAUUUGAGUGAAAUCCAAUGGCUUAAACUAUGCAAUACAAUAACCACCCCAUUUCAUAACGAACUUCGUACGAUCCUGAAUUGUCCAAUUUCAUGGACCAAUCGAUAUCUGAUUGAGUCCAAAACUUAGGGAACAUCAUAAUACGAUGGGAGGAGUCAUUUGGUGCCUUUUGAGUGAAAUCCAAUGGCUAAAACUAUGCAAUACACUAACCACUCCAUUUCAGAACGAACUUCGUACAAACCUGAAUUGUCCAAUUUCAUGGACCAAUCGAUAUCGGAUUGAGUCCGAAACUUGGGGAACAUCAUAAUAUGAUGGGAUGAGUCAUUUAGUGCCUUUUGAGUGAAAUCGAAUGGCUAAAACUAUGCAAUACACUAACCACUCCAUUUCAGAACGAACUUUGUACAAACUUAAAUUGUCCAAUUUCAUGGACCAAUCGAUAUCGGAUUGAGUCCAAAACUUGGGGAACAUCAUAAUACGGUGGGAGGAGUCAUUUGGUGUCUUUUGACUGAAAUCCAAUGGCUAAAAUUAUGCAAUACACUAACCACUCGAUUUCGGAACGAACUUCGUACGAACCUGAAUUGUCCAAUUUCAUGGACCAAUUGAUAUCGGAUUGAGUCCAAAAUUUGGGGAAUAUCAUAAUACGGUGGGAGGAGGCAUUUGCGGUCUUUUGAGUGAAAUCCAAUGGCUAAAACUAUGCAAUACACCAACCACUCCAUUUCAGAACGAACUUCGUACUAACCUGAAUUGUCCAAUUUCAUGGACCAAUCGAUAUCGGAUUGAGUCCAAAACUUGGGGAACAUCAUAAUACGGUGGGAGGAGUCAUUUGGCGGGUUUUGAAUGAAAUCGAAUCUCUACAACUGUGGAAUACACCAAGCACUCCAUUUCAUAACGAACUUCAUACGAACCUGAAUUGUCCAAUUUCAUGGACCAAUCGAUAUCGGAUUGAGUCCAAAACUUGGGGAACAUCAUAAUACGGUGGGUGGAGUCAUUUUGGUGGGUUUUGAGUAAAAUCCAAAUCUCUACAACUAUGCAAUACACCAACCACUCCAUCUUAGAACGAACUUCAUACGAUAUCGGAUUGAGUCAAAAACUUGGGGAACAUCAUAAUCUGAUGGGAGGAGUCAUUUGGUGACUUUUGAGUGAAAUCCAAUGGCUAAAACAAUGCAAUACACUAACCACUCCAUUUCAGAACGAACUCCGUACGAACCUGAAUUGUCCAAUUUCAUGGACCAAUCGAUAUCGGAUUGAGGCCAAUACUUGGGGAACAUCACAAUACGGUGGGAGGAGUCAUUUCGUGGCCUUUGAGUGAAAUCCAAUCUCUACAACUAUGCAAUACACUAACCACUCCAUUUCAUAACGAACUUCGUACGAACCUGAAUUGUCCAAUUUGAUGGACCAAUCGAUAUCGGAUUGAGUCCAAAAGUUUUGAAACAUCAUAAUAUGAUGGUUGGAGUCAUUUGGUGACUUUUGAGUGAAAUCCAAUCUCUACAACUGUGCAAUACGCCAACCACUCCAUUUCAUAACGAACUUCGUACGAACCUGAAUUGUCGAAUUUCAUGGACCAAUCGAUAUCGGAUUGUGGCCAAAACUUGGGGAACAUCAUAAUAUGAUGUCUGGAGUCAUUUGGUGACAUUUGAGUGAAAUCCAAUGGCUUAAACUAUGCAAUACAAUAACCACCCCAUUUCAUAACGAACUUCGUACGAUCCUGAAUUGUCCAAUUUCAUGGACCAAUCGAUAUCUGAUUGAGUCCAAAACUUAGGGAACAUCAUAAUAUGAUGGGAUGAGUCAUUUGGUGACUUUUGAGUGAAAUCCAAUGGCUAAAACUAUGCAAUACACUAAACACACCAUUUCAGAACGAACUUCGUAAGAACCUGAAUUGUCCAAUUUCAUGGACCAAGCGAUAUCGGAUUGAGUCCAAAACUUGGGGAACAUCAUCAUAUGAUGGGAGGAGUCAUUUGGUGACUUUUGAGUGAAAUCCAAUGGCUAAAACUAUGCAAUACACUAACCACUCCAUUUCAGAACGAACUUCGUACAAACCUGAAUUGUCCAAUUUCAUUGACCAAUCGAUAUCGGAUUGAGUCCGAAACUUGGGGAACAUCAUAACAUGAUGGGAGGAGUCAUUUGGUGCCUUUUGAGUGAAAUCCAAUGGCUAAAACUAUGCAAUACAUCAACCACUCCAUUUCAUAACGAACUUCGUACGAGCCUGAAUUGUCGAAUUUCAUGGACCAAUCGAUAUCGGAUUGAGGCUAAAACUUGGGGAACAUCAUCAUAUGAUGGGAGGAGUCAUUUGGUGACUUUUGAGUGAAAUCCAAUGGCUAAAACUAUGCAAUACACUAACCACUCCAUUUCAGAACGAACUUCGUACAAACCUGAAUUGUCCAAUUUCAUGGACCAAUCGCUAUGGGAUUGAGUCCGAAACUUGGGGAACAUCAUAAUAUGAUGGGAGGAGUCAUUUGGUGCCUUUUGAGUGAAAUCCAAUGGCUAAAACUAUGCAAUACACCAAGCACUCCAUUUCAUAACAAACUUCGUACGAGCCUGAAUUGUCCAAUUUCGUGUACCAAUCGAUAUUGGAUUGAGUCCGAAACUUGAGGAGCAACAUAAUAUGAUGGGAGGGGUCAUUUGGUGGCCUUUGAGUGAAAUCCAAUCCCUACAACUAUGCAAUACACUAACCACUCCAUUUCGUAACGAACUUCGUACGAACCUCAAUUGUCCAAUUUCAUGGACCAAUCGAUAUCGGAUUCAGGCCAAUACUUGGAGAAUAUACUGUGGGAGGAGUCAUUUCGUGUCCUUUGAGUGAAAUCCAAUGGUUAAAACUAUGCAAUACACUAACCACUCCAUUUCAGAACGAACUUCGUAGGAACAUGAAUUGUCCAAUUUCAUGGACCAAUCGAUAUCGGAUUGAGUCCAAAACUUGGGAAACAUCAUAAUACGGUGGCAGGAGUCAUUUGGCGAGUUUUGAAUGAAAUCGAAUCUCUACAACUGUGCAAUACACCAGGCACUCCAUUUCAUAACGAACUUCGUACGAACCUGAAUUGUCCAAUUUCAUGGACCAAUCGAUAUCUGAUUGAGUCCAAAACUUAGGGAACAUCAUAAUAUGAUGGGAGGAGUCAUUUGGUGACUUUUGAGUGAAAUCCAAUGGCUAAAACUAUGCAAUACACUAAACACACCAUUUCAGAACGAACUUCGUAAGAACCUGAAUUGUCCAAUUUCAUGGACCAAUCGAUAUCGGAUUGAGUCCAAAACUUGGGGAACAUCAUUAUAUGAUGGGAGGAGUCAUUUGGUGACUUUUGAGUGAAAUCCAAUGGCUAAAACAAUGCAAUACACUAACCACUCCAUUUCAGAACGAACUUCGUACGAACCUGAAUUGUCCAAUUUCGUGUACCAAUCGAUAUUGGAUUGAGUCCGGAACUUGAGGAGCAACAUAAUAUGAUGGGAGGAGUCAUUUGGUGGCCUUUGAGUGAAAUCCAAUCCCUACAACUAUGCAAUACACUAACCACUCCAUUUCAUAACGAACUUCGUACGAACCUCAAUUGUCCAAUUUCAUGGACCAAUCGAUAUCGGAUUGAGUCCAAAACUUGGGGAACAUCAUCAUAUGAUGGGAGGAGUCAUUUGGUGACUUUUGGGUGAAAUCCAGUGGCUAAAACUAUGCAAUACACUAACCACUCCAUUUCAGAACGAACUUCGUACAAACCUGAAUUGUCCAAUUUCAUGCACCAAUCGAUAUCGGAUUGAGUCCAAAAUUUGGGGAAUGACAUACGGUGGGAGGAGGCAUUUGGGGUUUUUUGAGUGAAAUCCAAUGGAUAAAACUAUGCAAUACACCAACCACUCCAUUUCAGAACGAACUUCGUACGAACCUGAAUUGUCCAAUUUCAUGGACCAAUCUAUAUCGGAUUGAGUCCAAAACUUGGGGAACAUCAUAAUACGGUGGGGGGAGUCAUUUGGCGGGUUUUGAAUGAAAUCGACUCUCUACAAUUAUGCAAUACACCAAGCACUCCAUUUCAUAAUGAACUUCAUACGAACCUGAAUUGUCCAAUUUCAUGGACCAAUUGAUAUCGGAUUGAGUCAAAAACUUGGGAAACAUCAUAAUACAGUGGGUGGAGUCAUUUUGGUGGGUUUUGAGUAAAAUCCAAUCUCUACAACUAUGCAAUACACCAACCACUUCAACUCAGAACGAACUUCAUACGAACCUGAAUUGUCCAAUUUCAUGGACCAAUCGAUAUCGGAUUGAGUAAAAAACUUGGCACUACUACAAAAAGUGAAAAAGACGACCAGAAAACAACGACGGUCUAAGUGAAAACCGUCGUGGUUUAUAAAAAGACGACGGUUCUAAAAACACCGUCGUGUAAUACAACCUUAGACAACUAAAAAAUGGAGAUUCAAAUGGCUGUUCAAAAACAACGACGUACAUAAUUAAACAACCGACGUCUAUUUGAAACAGAUUUCCGCAGUGUAAAAUCAAUGCCAACAAAGAACGGCAGAAGUUAUGAAUCGACCGACGUAGAAAGUAAAGACGACGAUUUCAAUAAAAACUGCCGUUUUUACUCAUAAAAUAACACGACGAGGUUUUCGUAUAAGACGCCGUAUAAUUACAAACAAAUCCACGGCUUUAAAAUACAAAAUAUCGCCGUAUUAAAUUAAUUUACAACGACGGAAAAUAUAAAUAUAUCGACGUCAUUCUCGUAUAGUUCUACGACGUUAUCUUUAAAUCGUACAAUAAAAUUUAUCGUCGUAUUUAUUCAUUUUAUACGUCGUACCUUUAAUUUUAACGGUCGUCUUAAUAAGAAUUUUUGUUAACAAUUUUUUUCUUUGAUUUUCUUAUCCUACGUCGGUAGAUCUACUUAAUGACAAGAAUUGAAAUAACCACGACGGUUUAUAUAGAACACCGCCGACAUAAUCAGAUUUGUCUGAGAUCCCAAGGGUUACGAAAUCUUACCAGAUGGAACUCUGUUCCACAUCAUAAUCUUAACAGAUGACACAGAUUUGCAAAUAUUGCGUCGUGUUAGUUUACAAAUUCUAGAACAUUAAUUUCCCUCAUUUUAAAUUUCCUUGGGAAAGAAAAAUCUAUUUAUCACGCUUUGGAAUUGAAAACUAAAACUGAAAGAAUACUGGAAAAAAAACUCUAUUUAUAAUUUAAAAUUAAAAUCCACGUCGGUUGUAGUGCACUUAACGACGUUUAACAAAAUAAUCUACGUCGGUAAUUAUAAAUCUACCGCCAUCUUAACUUAAUAUAGACGACGAGAAAAGACGACGGUAGAACAGAAAACCGCCGUUGUUUCAGUUUCUUUAACAUAUCUUUCUGCAGGACUUGUGUAGUUCAAAGCAUUGACAAUGUCUUCAUCAUAUCUCCCAGAAACUACUGAUUCAAUUGCUCAUGCUUUAGAGGCCAUCUGAAGCCAUUUCUAUUCUUUAUCGCAUUCUUGAAACCCAUCUUCUUCUUCUGAAGCUCUACGGAUAAAGGAAGAGGCUAUCACAAAUCCGACGGAUCUUCUUAGGCAAGAAAAUCAAGCAGAGGAUCAGGCACAUCUGAUCUUCAGAUUUCCCUGAGAAGCGAACUUUCCUUCGACAGCGAGUGGAGGCCAGGCUUGCAUCUCUUUUGAUGGAAAGCAAGGAGUAUUCAGAAGCACUAAGUGUCCUAUCAGGCUUGAUCAAGGAAGUGAGAAGGCUAGUUGACAAGCUUCUUCUUGUGGACAUAUAUUUGAUGCGAGUAAGCUCAAUUUCUCUUUGAGAAAACAUCCAAAUUAUUGUCUUUGAGACAUGAGAGACUGAGAGAGGAAGAACUUGGAACCUUAAAUGUAAACCGAAAAUGAAUGAAAGCGACAAAUUUAUAGAAUAAAUUUUUAAAACCAACGGCGGUCCUUACAAAAAAACCGCCGUUUAAAUUGUAAAAUCAACGUCGGUAUGAUCGACGUAUAUUACAGAAAUCCACGUCGGUAAAUUAAUAAAAACGACGUGUUAAAUAAUCUACCAUGACGCGAGUUAUUACUUAUGUACUUUAAUUUUUGAGUUUACUACGACGGUACCUACAAACUACUGUCGUAUUUAUUUACCACGUCCGAAGUUAAAUGUACCGUCGUAUUUUGUAAUUUAUACGUCGUAGUUAUAUGUAACCGCCGUAUUAUUUUUUUGAAAUGGUUUUAUAUGUAAGCAACUUUUCGUCUACUUGACUUACACAUUUGUUGUUUUUAUAUUCUUAUUUUAUUUAAAUCUGUCAUCCAAAAAAGAAACUUUACAUAUUGCGGAAUAUUAAUUUCCUUCGUUUUAAAUUUCCUCCGGAAAAAAAACUCUAUUUAUAACGCACUGUAAUUGAAAAAUAAACUGAAAGGUCACGGGAAAAAAAAUUCUAUUCAUAAUUUAAAAAUUAAAAUCCACGUCGGUUAUAUUAAACCUAACGACGUUAAAUGAAAUGAUUCCACGUCGAACGAAAAAUAUUGCGUUGUGUUAGUUAAAAACGACGUAGUUAAAUGUAACCGCCGUAUUAUUUUUUUGAAAUGGUUUUAUAUGUAAGCAACUUUUCGACUUACACAUGCACUGUUUCCAAACCCGAUUAAAAAUUUCAAUCUCCCAGAGAAACCUUUUCGCCUUUUUUCCUUGUCAGAGCAUUGUCAGAGUUUCUCAUCGUCUUCCUCUCGUCUUCUUCGUCGUCUCUGAACUUAAACAUCGAUCAUCUUCCUCUUGCUUUCAUUGCACGCAAAAGGUAAGCUUUCAUUUUCACUAUUUUGGUUACUGUUUUGCAUGCUCAUACGUUUUUUGUUUGAAAAAUCUUUUUACCUUUUUUCUGGCCAAAAUCAUUUUACUUCUUUCCAAGUUUGAUAAAAUAUACAGACAAAGAGGGAAAGUUUCCAACUUUGAAGACAACUACCUCAACUAAAUAAGACGACGGUAGACCACGACGGUUCGUCAGUUGUUCUAGCGUCGUCUGAAAAUUGACAAAGUUGUUUUUAAAAUAAUAGUCUUUUUUUAUAUGCUUGUUUAAUUGCAGGUUUGAUUUCUCUGAACAAUGGUUUUUGUUUUUCCCUUAUUUGAUAAAAUAUAAAGAAAAAGAAACUAGGGUUGGUAUCUAAUAUAGACGACAAAAUAUGUUAUUGUUUUACGUUGUGUGAAUGUUAAUACCACGACGGUGUAUUACUAUUGACGUCGUAUGAACAUAAAUACCACGACGUUAUAUAAAUAAUAUUUUACCACGACGGUGUAUUACUAUUGACGUCGUGUGAACAUAUAUACCACGACGUUAUAUAAAUAAUGGUUUUAAACAUUUAUUACGUCUGAGAUUAUUUCAUUGCGUCGUCUAAAAUCAUAUCAUACGUCGUAUUGUUUUAAUACCGUCGUUUGUGUUCUUAAUGUUUUCCUGAAAUAUUUUCACUUGCAGUUUUGUCUGUUAAAAUGGUUUCUCAACAACAAACUAAGGAUUCUGGCUCCAAGAAGCUUGGAAUGGUAGCUCCUCAAGACAAGUCUUCGAAGGAGAUGAAGUCUUCGAAGAAGAUGAAGUUUGCUUCAUCAUCUGCUGAGACAGAACAAACCAGCCAGACAACAAUCUCUGAUGAUUCAAAGACUGGUCGAGGUAUGAGCACAAUGCCUCGUGUUGUGAAGAGAAAGCUUCAGAAACUGAGGCCAAUUGUUGAGUACAAUAAAAGGGGGAAAGGUGUUGGCCAAGCACAUAUUGAGAUGCAGUCGUAUAUUGGUGUGUUGGCACGCUCCAGGAUCCCACUUGUGGACAAGAAAUGGUCCCAAAUCCCCAAGGAUAUAAAGGAGCAGAUUUGGGAAGCAGUUGACAUGGCUUUUGUUGUAGGCCAAGGGGGCAAGACCUCUGUUUUAGCUUCUGCUUCCAAGAAAUGGAAGGAUUUCAAGUCUACACUAACGAUGCAUUAUAUCCUUCCAUACACCAAUGACAGGGAGAAAUUAAGCCAACCCCCUGAAACAUAUAAAUUCAUAGAGAAAGCACAAUGGGAUGCCUUUGUAGCUUCAAGGCUAUCCAAAGAUUUUGAGUCUGUGCAUUCUCAACAUGCACAGAUUAGGGAGAAACUCGAGUACAAUCAUCGAUUGUCUCGAAAAGGAUAUGCUGGAUUGGAGGAUCAAUUGGAGGAAACCAUGCCUGGGGUAGAAAUUGAUCGAUCUACCUUAUGGAAGAGAGCUAGACAGGACAAACAUGGUAACAUCCCUGAUCCAAAGGUGGCAGAGAAAGCAAAAUUAAUUGUAAGCCUACUAUCACUCUGUUUUAAAUUUUUAUUAAACUGUGAAUUAUUCUUAUUACGUCGUAUGUUAUAUUUUUCGUCGUGUGAAUGAUAUUACCACGUCGAAAAGUUUUUAAAAACGUCGUUAAAGGUCUAAAUAGGAAUCACUACUAUGUUUUCUGUAAUUAUAGCAUAAGACGUCGGUGGUUCAUUUUCGCGUCGUGUGAAUGAUAUUACCACGUCGAAACUUUUUUAAAAACGUCGUUAACGGUCUAAAUAGGAAUCACUACUCUGUUAUCUUUAAUUAUAGCAUAAGAUGUCGGUUGUUUAUUCAUUUCGUCGUUUUAAAUAAAUAACCACGUCGGUAUAACUACCGUCGUGAUAAGUUAUAAUAACGUCGGUUUAUACGUUAUUGCGUCGUGUGAAAUUAUAUAAUACGUCGUUUGUACAUAAAUAACCGUCGUGUGUUUUUUUGUUUAUCUUUUUUUAGGAUGAAUUGCAGAAACAAGUCUCGGAAGGCAAAGUCAGAGUAGAUGGCAGCAAUGAUGUGCUGACCAUGGCUUUGGGCCCCGAGCAUCCAGGCAGACUGAGGGGAGUUGGUGCUGGUGUUUCCCCAAGGCAAUAUUUCAAUUUGCCCAAACCACAGAGGGUGAGCUUUGACGACCGUUUGAAGGACAGUUUAAGAGUUCUCCUUCAAGAAGAGACUAAAAAGAUGGAGGCUAAGGCAAGGGAAGAGGCCUUAAGGAUGGAGGCUAGGACAAAACAAUUGGUAGAGGCUGAGAGGGAGCAUUUCCUGAGUCAGCUUUCCCAAUUAAUUCCCAAUUUUGAUCCAAGCAUGCUUAAACCAAGAAUUAGCCAAAGCCCCAAAAAUCCAAUGUCUGACAAAGCUAGCUGCUCUGGAGGUGAUGUGAGAUCCCUACAUUUGGAGGAUGAUACUGCCAAAAUGGGGAAACAUCAGCCAGAUGAAGAGAAGGAAGAAGAAAAAAGAGAUGAAGAGAAGGAAGAAGAAAAGGAGAAAGAAGAUGAAGAAAAGCAUGACGACAAGGUAUGUUCACAUAACUUUGCCUUUUUUAUUUGUUUUUCAAAAUUUCAGACGUCGAUAUUUUUAUUUAAUCCGUCGUUUGUUUAAAACUUAGACGGCGGAAUUUUUUUAAGACGUAAUAAAAUAUUUAAACGACGGUUUUUGCACCGUCGUUUAAAUGGUUUCAGACGACGCUUUAUUCAUAAAACCGUCGUCUUUAUUGAAUUACCACGACAGUUUUUUCACCGUCGUUUAAAUACUUUUAAGACGACGUUUUAUUACUUAAACCGUCGUCUUUAUUGAAUUACCACGUCAUUUUUUUUAUUUCUUUAAACAGGUUAUUGAAGUUGGUGCUUAUUCAAAUAUGGAGGCGCCAUCUUCUUUAAAAACCCUUUGUCGUUUUGUGGAAACGACACUCCUGCCUGAGGAUAAGACACUCCAAUUUACAAUUGAUAAGGAGGUGUUUGGUGGUGAGCGCGAUACCUUCCUCCUGCCUGAAGAUAUUACACAAUUUGCAGGCAUGGAAGAAAUUGGAGCUACUGUAUUGGCUGUAUAUAUGAGGUUUGUACUUCUAAGAUAAUAACUCGUUGGUUUAUAUAUUGCGUCGUCUUAACUAACUAACCACGUCGUCUUAACUAACUACCGUCGUGAUAAAUAUAUUAUAACGUCCUUAUCUAUUUCAGUACGUCGUGUGAAAUAUUAUAAUACGUCGUUUUUUUAUACAUAACCGUCGUGUUUGUUUUUGCUGACUUGUUUAUAUUAUUUUAUGUAUUUAGGUACUUACACGAUGUUUUGAAACAAGCCAAUAUGUGCAGCAUGGUUGGCUUUAUUGACCCUGCUACAGUUAGUGCCAACUCUGGCACAAUAACUGAAAGAUCACGACUGGUAGCAGCUCGACUUCAGAAGACAGACGGUGAACAGCUUUUCAUGAUGCCUUACAAUCCAGGGUUAGUCUCCUUAGGAUUUUGUUUUUAUGAUUUUCAAUAAAUGACAGAUUAUAAACUAACCACGUCGGUGUUUUAUUUUAUUUAGUCGUUUGAAACUACUAACCACGUCGGUAUUUAUUUGUCGUCGUGAUAAAUAUAUAAUGUCGUCGUUAUCUACUUUAUUUCGUCGUGUGAAAUACUAUAAUACGUCGUUUUUGUAAAUAACCGUCGUUUUUAUAUUAAUUUUGUGCAGCCGUCAUUGGAUCUUGCUGAUUGUAAGAGCAAAGAAGGAGACCGUCUAUUUUCUGGAUCCUCUGCCAGGUCAUCGUGUGGUCGACGAAGAGGCGAAAAACAUUGUGAACAGUGCUUUAAAAAUAUAUCAUACCCACAUAGCCCGAGCAGGACGUAAAAAUGUAAUUUGGAAAACUCUCUCAGGCACACCAAAGCAACCCAACAAUGUCGAAUGCGGGUAUUAUGUGAUGCGCUUCAUGAGGGACAUCAUCAUGGAUCCUUCCUUGGGGUUUGAGAAUAAGGUAAGAAGAAAUUACCUUCAUACAUUUCACGUCGUUUUUUGUAUUAUCAACGACGGUCGUGUAAAAUUAACGUCGUUGAAUGGAUAUACUACGUCGGUUAUGAAAAAUAUCGUCGUCUGUGAUUGAAUUUCUUUUUAUUUAUAAACCCUAAUAGUCAUUGUUUAUGCAGUAUGCCAAGGGAAACCAGGAAGCUUCAUACCCCCAAGAAGCCAUUGAUGAAGUCCGGAAUGAAUGGGCAGAGUUUGUUUUCCAAAUUAUUAAACAGGGCAAUUAUUGAACACUUGAUAUUUAUGUAUAAUGUACAAAUUUUCUCUAUAAUAUGUAAUGUAAAAAUUUGUUGAGGUUUUCUUAAAUUAAAAAAAAAACAUACAAAUUGCUUAACCGACGUGUAAUACUUUUCCAACGACCUAAUAAAGUCAAAAACCGUCGUAUUUUGUUGUUUCGUGUUUUAAACAAAUACGACGUAAAAAUAUAGUUAGACGACGUUCUUUGAACAAUUGAGUCGUUUAUGGUUUACAACAUCUUCAAUUUCUUAAGGGUUCAGGGUAUCAUCGACGACGUUUAUGUAACGACAGCGGUUAAGUCGUGGAAUAUAUAUUUUACGUCGUAUAGUUAAAUAGCCGCCAUGGUUUCUCAUUUUAACGACGUCAUUUUAACGACUUAGUAGUCUAUUACAAUUUACAACGUCUACAAUUUAUUAACACCGACGUGGUUUGUUGUUGUGGUAAGAAUAUUUUAUUAUUUUUAUUUCAAAAUAUUCAAAAUAAAUUUAAAAUAAAUCAGAAAAUUGAAAAGUCAUCUCCUAUGAAGUCAUUGAUAUAUUUUCUUCCACAUAAACCUUGAAAAAAUUCAUUUUGAAUAACAAAAAUUUAAAAUGACCAUCCAAAACAAAAUUGUUUUGAUGAGUCAUAAAAUCACUUCUAGUUUUAUGGUUUAGGGUUUAGAGUCUAGGGUUUAGAGAUUAGGGUUGUUAUUUAUUGGGGUUUAUUUUUAAAGUAUAAUUUUUGGGUAGUCUAGGGUAUAUGUUAGGCUUUAAAACCAUAAAACCUUUUAUAAACUUAAUUUUUUAAAUUGUAUAAUUUAGUUUUAUGGGUUUAGGGUAUUAAUUUUUAACGACGGUGGUUGCGUCGUGGAAUACAUAUUUUACGUCGUACAGAAAAACAUACGACAUGGUUUACUCUUUAAACGACGUCAUUUUAAUAUGUAAGUCGGUUUAUAUAAUUUACAACGUCUUUAAUUUCUUAACACCGACGUGGUUUUUCAGUCGUCGUUAUAUAAAAAAUUCAAAAUAAAUUUAAAAUUAAUCCGAAAAAUGAAGCUUCAAAAUGAACGGCCUUACGUUCUUAAUUCGAAAAAUGAAGUUUCCGUCGUGGAAUAUUAAAUUUACGUCGGUACGUGUAGAACUUUCGCCUUGGUUUUUCUUUCGACGUUUUAAAACGCGCGAGCUCUAAAACCUAAAAUUUUUUAGAUUUGGCUCUUAUUCUUAUACUUCGAACCCUGAAACCUAAAAUUUUCAGAUUUCGCGCGACAUAACAUUUCGCUCUCUCACUUCUGCUCUAAUUAAAAGUUGCACUCUCCAGGCUCCGUCGAAUCUGUGAGCUCGUCCAACCUGUAAGUACAAACCCUAUCUUCCCCUUGUAAAUUCAUUGAAUGAUAUUAGGUUGUUUUGUUAAAGGGGUUCAUGUGUAUGCUUUGCGAUCUGUUAAUAAUGUGCUUAUAGGUAUGGGUUCAUGGAUUUUCUGUUUAAUGGGUUCAUGGAUUACAUUAUCUGUUAUGUUGAAUUGGGAAUGGAUUUAAUUUUGUCGUAUCUUUUAAUCACCCUAUGUUAUGUUGAAUUGGGAAUGGAUUUAUUGUUUUCAUGCUUGGUUUCAUGUAUAUGUUGGUUUCUUGCUUGGUUUCAUAUAUAUGUUGUGUUCUUAAUGGGUUUUGUGUUCUUGAAAAUAAACUGAGACACGACGAAUUUUAAGGCAUACGACGACGAUUAGACGACGGUUUUUUUAAACUACCGUCGUUGUAUUACUUAUACACGACGGUUUUUUCAUAAACCGUCGUUUGUAUUACUUAUAAUAGACGACGUCUGUUGAAAAUCCGUCGUCUAUAUAUGCCAAAUAUGUCUGUUUUUGUUUAAAACCCGUCGUCUCUGUUGUGUAUUACUUGCGAUUAGAUCAUUGUAUAAUCUGCUAUAGUGAUGGUCAUUGCCUGUAUUUUCACUUUAUUAUAGAUAAUAGGUUAUAGUGUCGGAGAUGGAUAAGUCAUGGAUGCACUCGGAUAGAAGAUCGAAGGCAUAUGAAUUUGGGGUGGAAGCAUUUUUGAACUUUGCUGUAGAAAAUCUUCUAACUACAACACAUAUCCGUUGUCCAUGUGUUAAAUGUGUUAAUUUGAAGUUGUUUGGGGUUGGAAUUAUAAGGGAUCACUUAUACUUUAAUGGAAUUGACCAAAGCUAUAAGAAUUGGACAUUUCACGGAGAACCUUGGGAAGCAACUACUAAUGCUAGUAGAAAUGUUGAAGAAGAUGAUGGCCAUAGUAGGUAUAGUUUUGUGUCUGAAGAAAUUGAUAUGGAUGAUAAUGAUUUUGGUGAUUUUGGUUCGGAUCCGUAUGAGUUUGCCAAUGUGAUUGGGGAUGGAGAUCAACCAGUGUACCCUGGUUGUAGAAAGUACACGAAGUUAUCGGCAUUAGUGAAGUUGUAUAAUUUGAAGGCAAAACAUGGGAUGAGUGAUGUCUGUUUUACAGAAUUAUUGACACUUCAAGGCGAUUUGCUUCCAGAAGGAAAUACAAUACCAACCUCCAUGUAUGAGGCUAAAAAGACUUUGUGUGCAUUGGGGCUGAGUUAUGAGAAAAUGCACGCAUGCCCCAAUGAUUGCAUCUUGUAUAGGAAGGAGUAUGAGGAUUCAACUAAUUGUCCUACUUGUGGUAUCUCAAGGUGGAAGGAAGGCAAAGAUUCAAUCUUGAAAGAGGGUGUGCCAGCGAAGGUGGUGUGGUAUUUUCCCCCAAUUCUAAGGUUUAAAAGGAUGUUUCAAUCACAUGAGACAGCUAAGAGUUUGACUUGGUGGCAUGCUGCUAGAAAAUCAAUUGACGGUCAGAUGUCUCAUCCGGCGGAUUCCCCGUCUUGGAAACUUCUUGAUGAUAAAUGGCCUGAGUUUGGUAAUGAGCCGAGAAACUUGAGAUUGGCUCUUUCAUCUGAUGGAUUCAAUCCCCACAGUUCUCUAAGUAGCAGAUAUAGUUGUUGGCCGGUUAUCUUAGUUACAUAUAAUCUCCCUCCAUGGCUGUGCAUGAAACGAAAGUUCAUGAUGUUAACCUUAUGAUUUCCGGUCCUAAACAACCCGGAAAUGAUAUAGANNNNNNNNNNNNNNNNNNNNNNNNNNNNNNNNNNNNNNNNNNNNNNNNNNNNNNNNNNNNNNNNNNNNNNNNNNNNNNNNNNNNNNNNNNNNNNNNNNNNNNNNNNNNNNNNNNNNNNNNNNNNNNNNNNNNNNNNNNNNNNNNNNNNNNNNNNNNNNNNNNNNNNNNNNNNNNNNNNNNNNNNNNNNNNNNNNNNNNNNNNNNNNNNNNNNNNNNNNNNNNNNNNNNNNNNNNNNNNNNNNNNNNNNNNNNNNNNNNNNNNNNNNNNNNNNNNNNNNNNNNNNNNNNNNNNNNNNNNNNNNNNNNNNNNNNNNNNNNNNNNNNNNNNNNNNNNNNNNNNNNNNNNNNNNNNNNNNNNNNNNNNNNNNNNNNNNNNNNNNNNNNNNNNNNNNNNNNNNNNNNNNNNNNNNNNNNNNNNNNNNNNNNNNNNNNNNNNNNNNNNNAUGCCGUGAGACUUAACGACAACUCCCCUCUGCUGCCUUACGAUAGUAUUAUAUGAGUACAUUGCUGGAGAUCCCUGGAAAAAAUAAAGAUGGGAUUGCUGCUCGAUUAGAUUUAUUGAACAUGGGGGUCAAAACUGAUUUGCAACCCGAGUAUGGAGAAAGACGUACUCGUUUGCCUCCUGGGCCUUGGAAUUUGUCAAGAGCAGAGAAAAGAGAGGUUUGCAAUUCUUUCUAUGGUAUGAAGGUCCCUGAAGGUUAUUCUUCAAAUAUUAAAAAUCUUGUAUCUUUACAAGAUUCAAGACUUCUUGGCCUUAAAUCACAUGAUUGUCAUACCUUAAUGCAACAAUUGCUCCCUGUGGCAAUUCGUUCUGUUUUGGAGAAGCCUGCAAGGUAUGCAAUAACUCGUUUGUGCUUCUUCUUCAAUGCUAUAUGUGCAAAGACUGUUGAUGUUUCCAAGCUAGAUAAGUUGGAAGAAGAUGUAGUAGUUACUCUGUGUUUGCUUGAGAAGUACUUUCCCCCUUCAUUCUUUGAUAUUAUGGUUCAUCUAGUAGUACAUCUUGUCAGAGAAGUUCGUCUAUGUGGGCCAGUAUAUUUUAGGUGGAUGUAUCCGUUUGAAAGAUAUAUGAAAGUGCUGAAGGGGUAUGUUCAGAAUCGUACUCGUCCCGAAGGUUGCAUUGCUGAGCGGUAUAUAGCUGAAGAAGCGGUAGAGUGUUGUACUCAGCAUUUAUCUGAUGUUAGUACAGUUGGAGUGCCUUCAAGCCAAAAGAUGGGACUUUCAAAGCCAUUAUCAGGUUGCACAGUGAGCGUAGUUGAUCAGGACCUGUUGAAUCAAGCACAUCUAUAUGUCUUGGAGAAUACGGAGGAAGUCCUACCUUAUAUCGAGUACGUAUGAGCUUUAUUCUUUAAGUUUCCAUUUUAAAUUAUUUCUUAUGUUUAUCUUCUAUAUUUAGGACCGUAAUGCUUGAAUUUUUCGUGUCAUGUAGGCAACAUAUGAUUCACAUCAAGACUGCUUAUCCAAAAUUUAGAAAGAGAACAAAGUGGCUGCAGGAUAAGCACAAUAGCACUUUCAUUCAAUGGCUACGCUUCAAGGUAUAUAUUGUUGAAUAACAUAUUUCUCUUUUAAUUUUCUUCUUAUUUAUAUGUUAGAUUGAAUUAAGAUAUGAUUAAUUUGCAGGUUCAAAGUGAACUUGAGGAAGACAAUCAUGGCGUAUCAAAAAAUUUAAGGUGGCUAGCAGCUGGUCCAAACAUGUCAGUGCCAUUAUAUAGGAGCUAUCUUAUUAAAGGUAUUAAAUUCAAUAUCAAGGCACAAGAUGAUGUGCGGACAACUCAAAAUAGUGGAGUUUAUUUACUUGCACAUACCAUGCAAGUUGCUAGUGCCAAGGAUAAAAACCCAAUUCUCUCAAAUAUGGGUUUCUAUGGUGUCAUUCAAGAAAUUUGGGACCUUGACUACCAAAAGUUUACAAUCCCAGUCUUUAGGUGUGAUUGGAUAGAUAGUUCUGGUCUUGUAGUCGACGAACUUGGAUUUACCCUUGUAGAUUUGAGUAAAAUUGGACAUAGGAAUGACCAAUUUGUUUUGGCUUCUCAAGUCAAACAAAUAUUUUUUGUUGACGACCCGAUGCAUCGUGGUUGGUCGGUAGUGUUAUCAAUGCCUAAUAGAGAAUAUAAUGAUGUUAUUGGUGAUGAAGUCUUAGGUGAUGUGAUAAUUGAGUGUGAGCCAUUUACUAGAGGGAUGCCAAAUGUUGACACAUUUGAUGAACUGGUGGGUGAGUUAGGCGGUCAAAAUAUUCGAGAUGGGUGUGAAGAUAUAUGGAUUGAAUGAUGCUUAUGUAAUUGGCAGUGUAUGACAUUAAUUUUGUAAUAUAUUGUAAUGUGAUUUCUUCACUUUCUACGUUCAAAUAAAACACGAUGUUAUUGUGAACCAGUUAUUCAGCAUAUUUACCGACGUCUUAAAGCAACGUAACAAUGAAGAACCACGACGCAAUUGUGAAGCAAUUAUUCAGGAUAUCACGUCGGGGAAGGAUUAAGAACCGUCAUGUAAUUCAAAAUAACACGACUCCAAUCCCAUAAUACCGACGUCUAAAAAACGAGAUAUAUAAUCUGAACGUUAAAAAAUACGACGUCAUCAUACAUUUUCCACGUCGCAAGUUCUUUUAUAAACGAAGAGGAACGAAAUGAAUUCCGACGGAAAUUCAUUAUAACCGCCGUCUAAUAACAAUUAAACGACGUUAUUUGUAAUACGGCUCUCAUCAUAAUCAACGCCGUCUAUAUGUUCUAUAAUACGGCUCUCAUUUAUUUGGAAUCGACGUUGUUUAGAAGUUCAACGUCGUCUAUAUUAUUAAGUGCGUCGUGAGUAAUGAUGAUAGAUAUAAAUACAACGUCGACUAUAUAAAUGCCACCGACGUUGUUUCGCAUUUCAACGUCAACUGUAUAAAUACAUACGUCGUAAAUAAUGACACUGACAACUAUUUCCACGUCAUCUUUUUUAGAAAAAUCGAAGUGGAAAAUUUAUUUCACGACGGUUGUUUGUAAAUAAGAGACGUAGUAUAUUUCAAUAACGUCGUCUUCUCAUGUAUUUAAAGACGUCAUAUUUUUUCUUGUCGUGUAAAUUAUAUUUAACGGCGUAGUAUUUUAGUUGUCGUCGUUGUAUGUAUAUCUUGCGGCCUUGUUCUUUUAACAUGUGUCAUAUUUUUCCUUUUUAACGACGGUGAUUUGUUUGAGUUGGUCUUCUAUUCUCAUCCUCGACUAUUUUCUAGAACUUUAGCAGACUAAACACGUCUGUUUUUAUUGUUUUCCGUCGUUGUUUGUUUUAACAACGUCUAAUAUUUAUCGUCGUUGUUUGUUUCUGAAAAUAUGACGUAUAAAUUUUGUAAUACGACUCUCAUAUAUUUGUAACCGACGUUGUUUCGUUUUUCAAUGUCUACUCAAUAAAUACAUACGUCGUAAAUAAUGACACUGACAACUAUUUCCACGUCAUCUUUUAUCGAAAAAUCGAAGUGGAAAAUUAAUUUUACGACGGCUGUUUUUAUAUAUGCGACGUAGUAGGUAUCAAUAACGUCGUCUUCUAAUGUAUUUAAAGACUUCAAAUUUUUUAUUGUCGUGAAAAUGAUAUUUAACGGCGUCGUAUUUUUAUUUUCGUCGUUGUAUGUCUAUCUUGCGGCCUUGUUCUCUUAAUAUGUGUCAUAUUUUUCCUUUUUAACGACGGUUUUUUUAGAGAGUUGGUCGUCUAUUCUCAUCCUCGACUGCUUUUUUAGAUCUUUUUGCAGUACAAAGACGUCGUUUUGUAUUUGUUGAUGACGUUGUAUAUUUUAACAAUGACGGUGAUUUAGCGUCGUGGUAUAUGAGGGAAAAGAUGACGGUGGAUUCCACGACCAUUGAAAAAUCGAAUACACGACGGUGAUUUACCGUCGUCUUUUUGCUUUUUUGUAGUAGUGUGGGGAACAUCAUAAUAUGGUGGGAGGAGUCAUUUGGUGACUUUUGAGUGAAAUUCAAUUGCUAACACUAUGCAAUACACUAACCACUCCAUUUUAGAACGAACUUCGUAUGAACCCGAUUGUCCAAUUUCAUGUACCAAUCGAUAUCGGAUUGAGCCCAAAACUUGGGGAACAUCAUAAUACGGUGGGAGGAGUCAUUUGGUGGCUUUUGAGUGAAAUCCAAUCUCUACAACUAUGCAAUACGCCAACCACUCCUUUUCAUAACGAACUUCGUACGAUCCUGAAUUGUCCAAUUUCAUGGACCAAUCGAUAUCGGAUUGAGUCCAAAACUUGGGGAACAUCAUAAUACGGUGGGAGGAGUCAUUUGGUGGGGUUUGAGUAAAAUCCAAUCUCCACAACUAUGCAACGUACGAACCACUCCAUUUCAUAACGAGCUUCGUACGAACUUGAAUUGUCCAAUUUCAUGGACCAAUCGAUAUCGGAUUGAGUCCAAAACUUGGGGAACGUCCUAAUACGGUGGGAGGAGUCAUUUGGUUUCUUUUGAGUGAAUUCCUAUGGCUAAAACUAUGCAAUACACCAACCACUCCAUUUCAGAACGAACUUCGUACGAACCUAAAUUGCCCAAUUUCAUGGACCAAUCGACAUCGGAUUGAGUCCAAAACUUGGGGAACAUCAUAAUAUGAUGGGAGGAGUCAUUUGGUGGCUUUUGAGUGAAAUCAAAUGGCUAAAACUAUGCAAUACACUAACUACUCCAUUUCAGAACGAACUUCGUACGAGCCAGAAUUGUCCAAUUUCAUAGACCAAUCGAUAUCGAAUUGAGUCCAAAACUUGGAUAUCAUCAUAAUACGGUGGGAGGAGUCAUUUGGUGGGUUUUGAGUGAAAUCCAGUGUCUACAACUAUGCAAUACACCAACCACUUCAUUUCAUAAUGAACUUCAUACGUACCUGAAUUGUCCAAUUUUAAGGACUAAUCGAUAUCGGAUUGAGUCCAAAACUUGGGGAACAACCUAAUACGGUGGGAGGAGUCAUCUGGUUUCUUUUGAGUGAAAUCCUAUGGCUAAAACUAUGCAAUACACCAACUACUCCAUUUCAGAAUGAACUUCGUCCGAACCUGAAUUGUCCAAUUUCAUGGACCAAUCGAUAUCGGGUUGAGUCCAAAACAUGGGGAACAUCAUAAAAUGACAGGAGGAGUCAUUUGGUGUCUUUUGAGUGAAAUCCUAUGGCUAAAACUAUGCAAUACACCAACUACUACAUUUCAGAAUGAACUUCGUCCGAACCUGAAUUGUCCAAUUUCAUGGACCAAUCGAUAUCGGAUUGAGUCCAAAACAUGGGCAACAUCAUAAAAUGACAGGAGGAGUCAUUUGGUGUCUUUUGAGUGAACUCCUAUGGCUAAAACUAUGCAAUACAACAACCACUCCAUUUCCUAAAGAACUUCGUACGAACCUGAAUUGCCCAAGUUCAUGGACCAAUCGAUAUCGGAUUGAGUCUAAACCCUGGGGAACAUCAUAAUACGGUGGGAGGAGUCAUUUGGUAUGUUUUGAGUGAAAUCCAAUGGCUAAAACCAUGCAAUACACCAACCACUCUAUUUCAGAAUGAACUUCGUACGAACCUGAAUUGUCCAAUUUCAUCGACCAAUCAAUAUCGGAUUGAGUCCAAAACUUGGGGAACAUCAUAAUACGGUGGGAGCAGUCAUUUGGUUGGUUUUCAGUGAAAUUCAAUCUCUACAACUGUGCAAUACACCGACCACUCCAUUUCAUAACGAACUUCGUACGAACCUGAAUUGUCCAAUUUCAUGGACCACUCGAUAUUAGAUUGAGUCCCAAACUUUGGGAACAUCAUAAUACGGUGGGAGGAGUCACUUCGUGGGUUUUCAGCGAAAUCCAAUCUCUACAACUAUGCAAUACACCAACCACCCAAUUUCGUAACGAACUUCGUACGAACCGGAAUUGUCCAAUUUCGUGGAUCAAUCGAUAUCCGAUUGAGUCCAAAACAUGGGGAACAUCAUAAUAUUAUGGGAGGAGUCAUUUGAUGUGUUUUCAGUGAAAUCCAAUCUCUACAACUAUGCAAUACACCAACCACCCCAUUUCAUAACAAACUUCGUACGAACCAGAAUUGCCCAAUUUCAUGGACCAAUCGAUAUCGGAUUUAGUCCAAAACUUGGGGAACACCAUAAUACGGUGGGAGGAGUCAUGUGGUGUCUUUUCAGUGAAAUCCAAUGGCUGAAACUACGCAAUACACCAAACACUCCAUUUGAGAACGAACUUAACCUGAAUUGUCCAAUUUCAUGGACCAAUCGAAAUCGGAUUGAGUCCAAAACUUGGGGAACAUCAUAAUACGGUGGGAGGAGUCAUUUGGUUGUUUUUGAGUGAAAUCCAAUCUCUACAACUGUGCAAUACACCAACCACUCCAUUUCAUAACGAACUUCAUACGAACCUGAAUUGUCCAAUUUCGUGGACCAAUCGAUAUUGGAUUGAGUCCAAAACUUGUGGAACAAGAUAAUAUGAUGGGAGGAGUCAUUUGUUGACUUUUGAGUGAAAUCCAAUGGCUAAAACUAUGCAAUACACUAACCACUCCGUUUCAUAACGAACUUCAUACGAACCUGAAUUGUCCAAUGUCAUGGACCAAUUGAUAUCGGAUUGAGUCCAAAACUUGGAGAACAUCAUAAUAUGAUUGGAGGAGUCAUUUGGUGACUUUUGAGUGAAAUCCAAUGGCUAAAACAAUGCAAUACACUAACCACUCCAUUUCAAAACGAACUUCGUACGAACCUGAAUUGUCCAAUUUCAUUGACCAAUCGAUAUCAAAUUGAGUCCAAAACUUGGGGAACAUCAUAAUAUGAUUGGAGGAGUCAUUUGGUGACUUUUGAGUGAAAUCCAAUGGCUAAAACUAUGCCACACACUAACCACUCCACUUAAGAACGAACUUCGUACGAAACCUGAAUUGUCCAAUUUCAUGGACCAAUCGAUAUCGGAUUGUGUCUGAAACUUGGGGAACAUCAUAACAUGAUGGGAGGAGUCAUUUGGUGACUUUUGAGUAAAAUCCAAUGGCUAAACUAUGCAAUACACUAACGACUUCAUUUUAGAACAAACUUCGUACGAACCUAAAUUGUCCAAUUUCAUGGACCAAUCGAUAUCGGAUUGAGUCCAAAACUUGGGGAACAUCAUAAUAUGAUGGAAGGAGUCGUUUGGUGACUUUUGAGUGAAAUCCAAUGGCUAAAACUUUGCAAUACACUAACCACUCCAUUUCAGAACAAACUUCGUACGAACCUGAAUUGUCCAAUUUCAUGGACCAAUCGAUAUCGGAUUGAGUCUGAAACUUGGGGAGCAUAAUAAUAUGAUGGAAGGAGUCAUUUGGUGACUUUUGAGUGAAAUCCAAUGGCUAAAACUAUGCAAUACAUUAACCACUCCAUUUCGGAACGAACUUCGUACGAACCUGAAUUGUCCAAUUUCAUGGACCAAUCGAUAUCGGAUUGAGUCCGAAACUUGGGGAACAUCAUAAUAUGAUGGGAGGAGUCCUUUGGUGCCUUUUGAGUGAAAUCCAACGGCUAAAACUCUGCAAUACACCAACCACUCCAUUUCAUAACGAACUUCAUACGAACCUGAAUUGUCCAAUUUCAUGGACCAAUCGAUAUUGGAUUGAGUCCAAAACUUGGGGAACAUCAUAAUACGGUGGGAGGAGUCAUUUGGUGGGUUUGAGUGAAAUCCAAUUUCUACAACGAUGCAGUACACCAACCACUCCAUUUCAUAAGGAACUUCGUAUGAACCUGAAUUGUUCAAUUUCAUGGACGAAUCGAUAUCGGAUUGAGGGCAAAACUUGGGGAACAUCCUAAUACGGUGGGAGGAGUCAUCUGGUGGCCUUUGAGUGAAAUCCAAUCCAUUUCAUAACGAACUUCGUACGAACCUGAAUUGUCCAAUUUCAUGGACCAAUCGAUAUCGGAUUGAGUCCAAAACUUUUGAAACAUCAUAAUAUGAUGGGAGGAGUCAUUUGGUGACUUUUCAGUGCAAUUCGAUUGCUAAAACUAUGCAAUACCCUAACCACUCCAUUUCGGAACGAACUUCGUACGAACCUGAAUUGUCCAAUUUCAUGGACCAAUCGAUAUCGGAUUGUGUCUGAAACUUGGGGAACAUCAUAAGAUGAUGGGAGGAGUCAUUUGGUGACUUUUGAGUAAAAUCCAAUGGCUAAAACUAUGCAAUACACUAACGGCUCCAUUUCAGAACAAAAUUGUCCAAUUUCUUGGACUAAUCGAUAUCGGAUUGAGUCCAAAACUUGGGGAACAUCAUAAUACGGUGGGAGGAGUCAUUUGGUGACUUUUGAGUGAAAUCCAAUCUCUACAACAAUGCAAUACACCAACCACCCCAUUUCAUAACAAACUUCGUAUGAACCUGAAUUGUCCAAUUUCAUGGACCAAUCGAUAUCGGAUUGUGUCCAAAACUUGGGGAACAUCAUAAAACGGUGGGAGGAGUCAUUUGGAGGGUUUUGAGUGAAAUCCAAUCUCUACAACUAUGCAAUACACCAACCACUCCAUUUCAUAACGAAAUUCGUACGAACCUGAAUUGUCCAAUUUCCUGGACCAAUCGAUAUCGGAUUGAGUCCAAAACUUUGGGAACAUCAUAAUAUGAUGGGAGGAGUCAUUUGGUGCCUUUUGAGUGAAAUCCAAUGGCUAAAAGUAUGCUAUACACCAACCACUCCAUUUCAUAACGAACUUCGUACGAACCUGAAUUGUCCAAUUUCAUGCACCAAUCGAUAUUGGAUUGGAGCCAAAACUUGGGGAACAUCGUAAUAUGAUGGUUGGAGUCAUUUAGUGACUUUUGAGUGAAAUCCAAUGGCUAAAACUAUGCACACUAACCACUCCAUUUCAGAACGAACUUCGUACGAACCUGUAUUAUCCAAUUUCGUGGACCAAUCAAUACAGGAUUGAGUCCGAAACCUGGGGAACAUCAUAAUAUGAUUGGAGGAGUCAUUUGGUGCCUUUUGAGUGAAAUCCAAUGGCUAAAACUAUGCAAUGCACCAACCACUCCAUUUCAUAACGAACUUUGUAGGAGCCUGAAUUGUCCAAUUAAAUGGACCAAUCGAUAUCGGAUUCAGUCCAAAACUUGGGGAACAUCAUAAUACGGUGCGAGGAGUCAUUUGGAGGGUUUUGAGUGAACUCUAAUCUCUACGACUAUGCAAUACACCAACCACUCCAUUUCAUAACGAACUUCGUACGAACCUAAAUUGUCCAAUUUCAUUGACCAUGACUUUUGAGUGAAAUCCAAUGGCUAAAACUAUGCAAUACACUAACCACUCCAUUUCAGAACAAACUUCGUACGAACCUGAAUUGUCUAAUUUCAUGGACCAAUCGAUAUCGGAUUGAGUCCAAAACUUGGGGAACAUCAUAAUACUACGUUAGGAGUCAUUUGGCGGGUUUUGAGUGAAAUCCAACCGCUACAACUAUGGAAUACACCAACCACUCCUUUUCAUAACGAACUUCGUGCGAACCUGAAUUGUCCAAUUUCAUGGACCAAUUGAUAUCGGAUUGAGUCCAAAACUUGUGGAACAAGAUAAUAUGAUUGGAGGAGUCGUUUGGUGACUUUUGAGUGAAAUCCAAUGGCUAAAACUAUGCAAUACACUAACCACUCCAUUUCAUAACGAACUUCGUGCGAACCUGAAUUGUCCAAUUUCAUGGACCAAUCGAUAUCGGAUUGAGUCCAAAACUUGUGGAACAAGAUAAUAUGAUAGGAGGAGUCAUUUGGUGCCUUUUGAGUGAAAUCCAAUGGCUAAAACUAUGCAAUACACCAACCACUCCAUUUCAUAACGAACUUCGUGCGAACCUGAAUUGUCCAAUUUCAUGGACCAAUUGAUAUCGGAUUGAGGCCAAAACUUGGGGAACAUCAUAAUAUGAUGGUUGGAGUCAUUUGGUGAGUUUUGAGUGAAAUCCAAUGGCUAAAACUAUAAAAUACACUAACCACUCCAUUUCAAAACGAACUUCGUACGAACCUGAAUUGUCCAAUUUCAUUGACCAAUCGAUAUCAAAUUGAGUCCAAAACUUGGGGAACAUCAUAAUAUGAUUGGAGGAGUCAUUUGGUGACUUUUGAGUGAAAUCCAAUGGCUAAAACUAUGCCACACACUAACCACUCCACUUAAGAACGAACUUCGUACGAAACCUGAAUUGUCCAAUUUCAUGGACCAAUCGAUAUCGGAUUGUGUCUGAAACUUGGGGAACAUCAUAACAUGAUGGGAGGAGUCAUUUGGUGACUUUUGAGUAAAAUCCAAUGGCUAAAACUAUGCAAUACACUAACGACUUCAUUUUAGAACAAACUUCGUACGAACCUAAAUUGUCCAAUUUCAUGGACCAAUCGAUAUCGGAUUGAGUCCAAAACUUGGGGGAACAUCAUAAUAUGAUGGAAGGAGUCGUUUGGUGACUUUUUGAGUGAAAUCCAAUGGCUAAAACUUUGCAAUACACUAACCACUCCAUUUCAGACAAACUUCGUACGAACCUGAUUUGUCCAAUUUCAUGGACCAAUCGAUAUCGGAUUGAGUCUGAAACUUGGGGAGCAUAAUAAUAUGAUGGAAGGAGUCAUUUGGUGACUUUUGAGUGAAUCCAAUGGCUAAACUAUGCAUACAUUUAUCCACUCCAUUUCGACGAACUUCGUACGAACCUGAAUUGUCCAAUUUCAUGGACCAAUCGAUAUCGGAUUGAGUCCAAAACUUUGGGAACAUCAGAAUAUAACGGGAGGAGCCAUUUGGUGACUUUUGAGUGAAAUCCAAUGCCUAAAACUAUGCAAUACACUAACCACUUCAUUUUAGAACGAACUUCGUACGAACUGAAUUGUCCAAUUUCUUGGACCAAUCGAUAUCGGAUUGAGUCCAAAACUUGGGGAACAUCAUAAUACGGUGGGAGGAGUCAUUUGGCGGGUUUUGAGUGAAAUCCAAUCUCUACAACUAUGCAAUACACCGACCACUCCAUUUCAUAACGAACUUCGUACGAACCUGAAUUGUCCAAUUUCACGGACCAAUCGAUAUCAGAUGGAGUCCAAAACUUUGGGAACAUCAGAAUAUAACGGGAGGAGCCAUUUGGUGACUUUUGAGUGAAAUCCAAUGCCUAAAACUAUGCAAUACACUAACCACUUCAUUUUAGAACGAACUUCGUACGAACCUGAAUUGUCCAAUUUCAUGGACCAAUCGAUAUCGGAUUGAGUCCAAAACGUGGGGAACAUCAUAAUACGGUGGGUGGAGUCAUUUGGUGUGUUUUGAGUAAAAUCCUAUCUCUAAAACUAUGCAAGACACCAACCUCUCCAUUUCAGAUUGAACUUCGUACGAACCUGAAUUGUCCAAUUUCUUGGACCAAUCGAUAUCGAAUUGAGUCCAAAACUUGGGGAACAUCAUAAUACGGAGGGAGGAGUCAUUUGGCGGGUUUUGAGUAAAAUCCAAUCUCCACAACUGUGCAACGUACGAACCACUCCAUUUCAUAACGAGCUUCGUACGAACUUGAAUUGUCCAAUUUCAUGGACCAAUCGAUAUCGAAUUGAGUCCAAAACUUGGGGAACAUCAUAAUACGGUGGGAGGUGUCAUUUGGUGUCUUUUGAGUGAAAUCCAAUCUCUACAACUAUGCAAUACACCAACCACUCCAUUUCAUAACGAACUUCGUCCGAACCUGAAUUGUCUAAUUUCAUGGACCAAUCGAUAUCGGAUUGAGUCCAAAACUUGGGGAACAUCAUAAUAUGGUGGGAGGAGUCAUUUGGCGGGUUUUGAGUGAAAUCCAAUCUCUACAACUAUGCAAUACACCAACGACUCCAUUUCAAAACGAACAUGAAUUGUCCAAUUUCAUGGACCAAUCGAUAUCGGAUUUAGUCCAAAACUUGUGGAACAAGAUAAUAUGAUAGGAGGAGUCAUUUGGUGACUUUUGAGUGAAAUUCAAUGGCUAAAACUAUGCAAUACACUAACCACUCCAUUUCAUAACGAACUUCGUACGAACCUGAAUUGUCCAAUUUCGUGGACCAAUCGAUAUCAGAUUGAGUCCAAAACUUGGGGAACAUCAUAAUAUAAUGGGAGGAGUCAUUUGGUGACUUUUGAGUGAAAUUCAAUGGCUAAAACUAUGCAAUACACUAACCACUCCAUUUCAGAGCGAACUUCGUACGAGCCUGAAUUGUCCAAUUUCAAGGAUCAAUCGAUAUCGGAUUGAGUCCAAAACUUGGGGAACAUCAUAAUACGUUGGGAGGAGUAAUUUGGUGUCUUUUGACUGAAAUCGAAUGGCUAAAACAAUGGAAUAAACCAACCACUCCAUUUCAGAAUGAACUUCGUAAGAACCUGAAUUGUCAGAUUUCAUGGACCAAUUGAUAUCGGAUUGAGUCCAAAACUUGGGGAACAUCCUAAUACGGUGGGACGAGUCAUUUGGUGUCUUUUGAGUGAAAUUCUAUGGCUAAAACUAUGCAAUACAACAACCACUCCAUUUCAGAACGAACUUCGUAUGAACCUGAAUUGUCCAAUUUCGUGGACCAAUCAAUAUCGGAUUGAGUCCAAAACUUGGGGAACAUCAUAAUACGGUGGGAGGAGUCAUUUGGUGGGUUUUGAGUGAAAUCCAAUCUCUACAACUAUGCAAUACACCAACCACUCCAUUUCAUAUCGAACUUCAUACGAAUCGGAAUUAUCCAAUUUCAUGGACCGAUCGAUAUCGGAUUGAGUCCAAAACUUGGGGAACAUCAUAAUACGGUGGGAGGAGUCGUUUGGUGUCUUUAGAGUGAAAUCCAAUGGCUAAAACUAUGCAAUACACCAACCACUACAUUUCAGAAUGAACUUCGUACGAACAUGAAUUGUCCAAUUUCAUGAACCAAUCUAUAUCGGAUUGAGUCCAAAACUAGGGCAACAUCAUAAUACGGUGGGAGGUGUCAUUUGGUGGGUUUUGAGGGAAAUCCAAUCUCUACAACUACGCAAUACACCAAGCACUUCAUUUCAUAACGAACUUCAUACGAACGUGGAUAUUCCAAUUUCAUGGACCAAGCGAUAUCGGAAUGAGUCCAAAACUUGGGGAACAUCAUAACACUGUGUGAGGAGUCAUUUGGUGUCAUAGUGAAAUUCUAUGGCUAAAACUACGCAAUACACCAACCUCUCCAUUUGAGAACGAACUUCCUACGAACCUGAAUUGUCCAAUUUCAUGGACCAAUCGAUAUCGGAUGGAGGCCAAAACUUGGGGAACAUCCUAAUACAGUGGGAGGAGUCAUCUGGUGGCCUUUGAGUGAAAUUCAAUGGCUAAAACUAUGCAAUACACCAAUCACUCCAUUUUAGAACGAACUUCCUACGAACCUGAAUUGUCUAAUUUCAUGGACCAAUCGAUUUCGGAUUCAGGCCAAAACUUGGGGAACAUCCUAAUACGGUGGGAGGAGUCAUCUGGUGGCCUUUGAGUGAAAUCCAAUGUCUACAACUAUGUAACACACAAACCACUCCAUUUCAUAACGAACUUCGUACAAACCUGAAUUGUCCAAUUUCAUGGACCAAUCGAUAUCGGAUUGAGUCGAAAACUUGGGGAACAUCAUAAUAUGGUGGGAGUAGUCAUUUGGUGGGUUUUGAGUGAAAUCCAAUCUCUACAACUAUGCAAUACACCAACCACUCCAUUUCAUAACGAACUUCAUACGAACCUGAAUUAUCCAAUUUCAUGGACCAAUCGAUAUCGGAUUGAGUCCAAAACUUGGGAAACAUCAUCAUACGGUGGGAUGAGUCAUUUGGUUGGUUUUGAGUGAAAUCCAAUCUCUACAACUAUGCAAUACACUAACCACUCCAUUUCAUAACGAACUUCAUAUGAACUUGAAUUGUCCAAUUUCAUAGACCAAUCGAUAUCGGAUUGAGUCCAAAACUUGGGGAACAUCAUAAUAUGGUGGGAGGAGUCAUUUGGUGUCUUUUGAGUGAAAUCCAAUGGCUAAAACUAUGCCAUACACCAACCACUCCAUUUCAGAAUGAACUUCAUACGAACCUGAAUUGUCCAAUUUCAUGGACCAAUCGAUAUCGGAUUGAGUCCAAAACUUGGGCAACAUCAUAAUACGGUGGGAGGUGUCAUUUGGUGGGUUUUGAGUGAAAUCCAAUCUCUACAACUAUGCAAUACACCAACCACUCCAUUUCAUGACGAACUUCGUACGAACCUCAAUUGUCCAAUUAUAUGGACCAAUGGAUACCGGAUUGAGUCCAAAACUCGGGGAACAUCAUAAUACGAUGGGAGGAGUCAUUUGGUGGGUUUUGACUGAAAUCCAAUCUCUACAACUAUGCAAUACACCGACCACUCCAUUUUAGAACGAACUUCGUUCGAACUUGAAUUGUCCAAUUUCAUGGACCGAUCGAUAUCAGAUUGAGAUCAAAACGUGGGGAGCAACAUACUGUGGUGGGUGGAGUCAUUUGGUGGCCUUGAAGUGAAAUCCAAUGGGAUAAACUAUGCAAUACACCAACCACUCCAUUUCGGAACGUACUUCAUACAAACCUGAAUUGUCCAAUUUCGUGGACCAAUCAAUAUCGGAUUGAGUCCAAACCUUGGGAAUCAUCAUAAUACGAUGGGAAGAGUCAUUUGGUGGGUUUUGAGUGAAAUCGAAUCUCUACAACUAUGCAAUACACCAACCACUCUAUUUCAGAACGAACUUCGUACAAACCUGAAUUGUCCAAUUUUAUGGAGCAUUCGAUAUCGGAUGGAGCCCAAAACUUGGGGAACAUCAUAAUACGGUGGGACGAUUCAUUUGGUGUCUUUUGAGUGAAAUCCAAUGGCUAAAACUAUGCAAUACAUCAACCACCCUAUUUCAUAACGAACUUCGUACGAAGUUGAAUUAUCCAAUUUCAUGGACCAAUCGAUAUUGGAUUGAGUCUUAAACUUGGGGAACAUCAUAAAAUGAUGGGAGGAGUCAUUUGGUGACUUUUGAGUGAAAUCCAAUGGCUAAAACUAUGCAAUACACUAACUACUCCAUUUCAGAACGAACUUCGUUCGAACCUGAAUUAUCCAAUUUCAUGGACCAAUCGAUAUCGGAUUGGGGAAUCAUCAUAAUCCGAUGGGAGGAGUCAUUUGGUGGGUUUUGAGUGAAAUCCAAUCUCUACAACUGUGCCAUGCACCGACCACUCCAUUUCAUAACGAACUUCAUACGAACCUGAAUUGUCCAAUUUCAUCGACCAAUCGAUAUCGGAUUGAGUCCAAAACAUGGGGAUCAGCAGAAAUACGGUGGGAGGAGUCAUUUCGUGGGUUUUGAGAGAAAUGCAAUCUCUACAAUUAUGCAAUACACCAACCACCAUAUUUCAUAACGAACUUCGUACGAACCUGAAUUGUCCAAUCUCAUGGACCAAUCGAUAUGGGAUUGAGUCCAAAACUUUGGGAACAUCAUAAUAUGGUGGGAGGAUUCAUUUGGUGGGUUCUGAGUGAAAUACAAUCUCUACAACUAUGCAAUACACCAACAACUCCAUUUCAGAACGAACUUCGUACGAACCUGAAUUGUGCAAUUUCGUGGACCAAUCGAUAUCGGAUUGAGUCCAAAACUUGUGGAACAUCAUAAUACGAUGGGAGGUGUCAUUUGGUGGGUUUUGAGUGAAAUCCAAUCUCUACAACUAUGCAACACACCAACCACUCCGUUGCAUAACGAACUUCGUACGAACCUGAACUGUCCAAUUUCAGGGACCAAUCGAUAUCGGAUUGAGUCCAAAACUUGGGGAACAUCAUAAUAUGAUGGGAGGAGUCAUUUGGUGACUUUUGAGUGAAAUCCAAUGGCUAAAACUACGCAAUACACCAACUACUCUAUUUCAGAACGAACUUCGUACGAACCUGAAUUGUCCAAUUUCAUGGACCACUCCAUUUCAGAACGAACUUCAUAUGAACCUGAAUUGUCCAUUUUUAGGGACCAAUCGAUAUCGGAUUGAGUCCAAAACCUAGGAAUCUUCAUAAUACGGUGGGAGGAGUCAUUUGGUGGGUUUUGAGUGAAAUCGAAUCUCUACAACUAUGCAAAACACCAACCACAACAUUUCAUAACGAACUUCGUAGGAACCUGAAUUGUCCAAGUUCUUGGACCAAUCGAUAUCGGAUUGAGUCCAAAACUUGGGCAACAUCUUAAUAUGAUGGGAGGAGUCAUUUGGUGACUUUUGAGUGAAAUCCAAUUUCAGGGACCAAUCGAUAUCGGAUUGAGUCCAAAACUUGGAGAACUUCAUAAUACGGUGGGAGGAGUCAUUUGGUGGGUUUUGAGUGAAAUUCAAUCUCUACAACUAUGCAAUACACCAACCACUCCAUUUCAUCACAAACUUCGUACGAACCUGAAUUGUCCAAUUUCAUGUUCCAAUCGAUAUAGGAUUGAGUCCAAAACUUGGAGAACAACAUAAUAUGAUGGGAGGACUCAUUUGGUGACUUUCGAGUGAGAUCCAAUUGCAAAAACUAUGCAAUACACUAACCACUCCAUUUCAGAACGAACUUUGUACGAACCUGAAUUGUCCAAUUUCAUGGACCAAUCGAGAUCGGAUUGAGUCCAAAACUUGGGGAACAUCAUAAUACGGUGGGAGGAGUCAUUUGGCCGGUUUUGAGUGAAAUCCUACCCCGACAACUAUGCAAUACACCAUCCACUCCAUUUCAUAACGAACUUCGUACGAACCUGAAUUGUCUAACUUCAUGGACAAAUCGAUAUUGGAUUGAGUCCAAAACAUGGGGAACAUCAUAAUAUGAUGGGAGGAGUCAUUUGGUGUCUUUUGACUGAAAUCCAACAGCUAAAACUAUGCAAUACACCAACCACUCCAUUUCAGAACGAACUUUCGUACGAACGUGAAUUGUCCAAUUUAAUGGAACAAUCGAUAUCGGAUUGAGUCCAAAACUUGGGGAACAUCAUAAUACGGUGGGAGUUGUCAUUUGUUGGAUUUUGAGUGAAAUCCAAUCGCUACAACUAUGCAAUACCCCAACCACUCCAUUUCAUGACGAACUUCGUACGAACCUGAAUUGUCCAAUUUCAUGGACCAAUCGAUAUCGGAUUGAGUCCAAAACUUGGGGAACACCAUAAUACGGUGGAAGGAGUCAUUUGGUGGGAUUUGAGUCAAAUACAAUCUCAACAACUGUGCAAUACACCAACCACUCCAUUUUAUACCCAACUUCGUACAAACCUGAAUUGUCCAAUUUCAUGGACCAAUCGAUAUCAGAUUGAGUCCAAAACUAGGGGAACAUCAUACUAUGAUGAGGGGAGUCAUUUGGUGUCUUUUGACUGAAAUCCAAUGGCAAAAACUAUGCAAUACACCAUCCACUCCAUUUCAGAACGAACUUCGUAGGAACCUGAAUUGUCCAAUUUUUUGGACCAAUCGAUAUUGGAUUGAGUCCAAAACUUGGGGAAUAUCAUAAUGUGGUGGGAGGAGUCAUUUGGUGGGUUUUGAGUGAAAUCCAAUCUCUACAACUAUGCAAUAUACCAACCACUCUAUUUCAUAACGAACUUCGUACGAACCUAAAUUGUCCAAUUUCAUGGACCAAUCAAUAUCGGAUUGAGUCUAAAACAUGAGGAAUAUCAUAAUACGGUGGGAGGAGUCAUUUGGUGGGUUUGGAGUGAAAUCCAAUCUCUACAACUGUCCAAUACAUCAAUCACUCCAUUUCAUAACGAACUUGGAAUGAACCUGAAUUGUCCAAUUUCAUGGACCAAUCGAUAUCGGAUUGAGUCCAAAACUUGGGGAACAUCAUAAUACCCUGGGAGUCGUUUGGUGUCUUUUGAGUGAACUCCUAUGGCUAAAACUAUGCAAUACAGCAAGCACUCCAUUUCAGAACGAACUUCGUACGAAUAUGAAUUGUCCAAUUGAUGGACCAUCGAUAUCAGAUGAGUCCAAAACUUGGGGAACAUCAUAAUACGGUGGGAGGAGUCAUUUGGUGUGUUUUGAGUGAAAUCCAAUCUCUACAACUAUGCAAUACACCAACCACUCCAUUUCAUAACGAACUUCUUACGAACCUAAGUUGUCCAAUUUCAUGGACCAAUCAAUAUCGGAUUGAGUCUAAAACAUGGGGAAUAUCAUAAUACGGUGGGAGGAGUCAUUUGGUGGGUUUGGAGUGAAAUCCAAUCUCUACAACUAUCCAAUACAUCAAUCACUCCAUUUCAUAACGAACUUGGUACGAACUUGAAUUGUCCAAUUUUAUGGACCAAUCCAUAUCGGAUUGAGUCCAAAACUUAGGGAACACCAUAAUACGGUGGGAGUCGUUUGGUGUCGUUUGAGUGAACUCCUAUGCCUAAAACUAUGCAAUACAGCAAGCACUCCAUUUCAGAACGAACUUCGUACGAACAUGAAUUGUCCAAUUUAAUGGACCAAUCGAUAUCAGAUUGAGUCCAAAACUUGGGGAACAUCAUAAUACGGUGGGAGGAGUCAUUUGGUGUCUUUUGACUGAAAUCCAAUGGCUAAAACUAUGCAAUACACCAACCACUCCAUUUCAUAAUGAACUUCAUACGAACAUGAAUUGUCCAAUUUAAUGGACCAAUCGAUAUGAGAUUGAGUCCAAAACUUGGGGAACAUCAUAAUACGGUGGGAGGAGUCAUUUGGUGGAUUUUGAGUGAAAUCCAAUCUCUACAACUAUGCAAUACACCAACCACUCCAUUUCAUAACGAACUUCGUACGACCCUGAAUUGUCCAAUUUCAUGGACCAAUCGAUAUCGGAUUGAGUCCAAAACAUGGGGAACAUCAUAAUGCGGUGGGAGGAGUCCUUUGGUGGGUUUUGAGUGAAAUCCAAUCUCUACAAUUAUGCAAUACACCAACUACUCCAUUUCAGAACGAACUUCGUACGAGGGUGAAUUGUCCAAUUUCAUGGACCAAUCGAUAUCGGAUUGAGUCCAAAACUUGGGAAACAACAUAAUAUGAUGGUUGGAGUCAUUUGGUGAUAUUUGAGUGAAAUCCAAUGGCUAAAACUAUGCAAUAUACAAACCACUCCAUUUCAGAAUGAACUUUGUACGAACCUGAAUUGUCCAAUUUCAUGGACCAAUCGAUAUCGGUUUGAGUCCAAAACUUGGGGAUCAUCAAAAUACAGUGGGAGGAGUCAUUUUGGUGGGAUUUGAGUGAAAUCCAAUCUCUACAACUAUGCAAUACACCACCAGUCCAUUUCAUAACGAACUUGGUACGGACCUGAAUUGUCCAAUUUCAUGGACCAAUCGAUAUCGGAUUGAGUCCAAAACAUGGGGAACAUCAUAAUGCGGUGGGAGGAGUCAUUUGGUGGGAUUUGAGCGAAAUCCAAUCUCUACAACUAUGCAAUACACCACCAGUCCAUUUCAUAACGAACUUCGUACAAACCUGAAUUGUCCAAUUUCAUGUUCCAAUCGAUAUCGGAUUGAGUCCAAAACUUGGGGAACAUUACAAUAUGAUGGGAGGAGUCAUUUGGUGAUUUUUGAGUGAAAUCCAAUGGCUAAAACUAUGCAAUACACUAAUCACUCCAUUUCAGAACAAACUUCGUACGAACUUAAAUUGUCGAAUUUGAUGGACCAAUCGAUAUCGAAUUGAGUCCAAAACUUGGGGAACAUCAUAAUACAGUGGGAGGAGUCAUUUGGUGGCUUUUGAUUGAAAUCCAAUCUCUACAACUAUGCAAUACACCAACUACUCCAUUUCAUAACGAACUUCGUUUGAACCUGAAUUGUCCAAUUUCAUGGACCAAUCGAUAUCGGAUUGAGUCCAAAACAUGGGGAACAUCAUAAUAUGAUGGGAGGAGUCAUUUGGUGUCUUGUAAGUGAACUCCUAUGGCUAAAACUAUGGAAUACACCAACCACUCCAUUUCAGAAUGAACUUCGUACGAACCUGAAUUGUCCAAUAUCAUGGGCCAAUCGAUAUCGGAUUAAGUUCAAAACUUGGGUAACAUCACAAUAUUGUUGGAGGAGUCAUUUGGUGACUUUUGAGUGAAAUCCAAUGGCUAAAACUUUGAAAUAGACAUGCCACUCCAUUUCAGAACGAACUUUUUUAAGAACCUAAAUUGUAUAAUUUCAUGGACCAACCGAUAUCGGAUUGAGUCCAAAACUUGGGGAACUUCAUAAUAUGGUGGGAGGAGUCAUUUGGUGGCUUUUGAGUGAAAUCCAAUCUCUACAACUAUGCAAUACACUAACCACUCCAUUUAAGAACGAACUUCGUACGAAACUGAAUUGUCCAAUUUCAUGGACCAAUCAAUAUCGGAUUGUGUCCAAAACUUGGGGAACAUCGUAAUAUGAUGGGAGGAGUCAUUUGGUGUCUUUUCAGUGAAAUCCAAUGGCUAAACCUAUGCAAUACACCAACCACUCCAUUUCAGAACGAACUUCGUACGAACCUGAAUUGGCCUAUUUUUGGGACCAAUCGAUAUCGGAUUGAGUCGAAAACGUGGGGAGCAUCAUACUGUGGUUGGUGGAGUUAUUUGGUGGCUUUCGAGUGAAAUCCAAUGGGAAAAACUGUGCAAUACACCAAUCACUCCAUUUCACAACGAACGUGAAUUGUCCAAUUUCAGGGACCAAUCGAUAUCGGAUUGAGUCCAAAACUUGGGAAUCAUCAUAAUACGAUGGGAGGAGUCAUUUGGUGGGUUUUGAGUGAAAUCCAAUCUCUACAACUAUGUAACACACGAACCACUCCAUUUCAUAACGAACUUCGUACGAACCUGAAUUGUCCACUUUCAUGGACCAAUCGAUUUCGGAUUGAGUCCAAACCUUGGGGAUCAUCAUAAUACGGUGGGAGGACUCAUUUUGUGGAUUUGGAAAGAAAUCCAAUCUCUACAACUAUGCAAUACACCAACUACCCUAUUUCGUAACGAACUUCGUACGAACCUGAAUUGUCCAAUUUCAAGGACCAAUUGAUAUCGGAUUGAGUCCAAAACUUGGGGAACAUCAUAAUACGGUGGGAGGAGUCAUUUGGUUUGUUUUGAGUGAAACCCAAUCUCUACAACUAUGCAAUAAAGCAACCACUCCAUUUCAUAACGAACUUCAUAUGAACCUGAAUUAUCCAAUUUCAUGGACCAAUCGAUAUCGGAUUGAGUCCAGAACUUGGGGAACAUCAUAAUACGGUGGGAGGAGUCAUUUGGUGUCUUUUGAGUGAAAUCCAAUGGCUAAAACUAUGCAAUACACCAACCACUCCAUUACAGAACGAACUUCGUACGAACAUGAAUUGUCCAAUUUCAUGGACCAAUAGAUAUCGGAUUGACUUCAAAACUUGGGGAACAUCAUAAUACAGUGAGUGGAGUCAUUUGGUGGGUUUUGAGGGAAAUCCAAUCUCUACAACUGUGCAAUACACCAACCACUCCAUUUCAUAACGAACUUCGUAUGAACAUGAAUUGUCCAAUUUCAUGGACCAAGCGAUAUCGGAAUGAGUCCAAAACUUGGGGAACAUCCUAAUAUGGUGGGAGGAGUCAUUUGGUGUCUUUUGAGUGAAAUCCUAGGGCUAAAACUAUGCAAUACACCAACCACUCCAGUUCAGAACGAACUUCGUGCGAACCUGAAUUGUCAAAUUUCAUGGACCAAUCGAUAUCAGAUUGAGUCCAAAACUUACUGACCAACAUAAUGUUGUGGGAGGUGUCAUUUUGUAAGUUUUGUGUGAAAUCCAAAGGAUAAAACAAUGUAAUACACCAACCACUCCAUUUCAGAACGAGCUUUGUACGAACCUGAAUUGUCCAAUUUCAUAGACCAAUCGAUAUCGGAUUCAGUCCAAAACUUGGGGAACAUAAUAAUAUUGUGAGAGGAGUUAUUUGGUUCGUUUUGAGUGAAAUCCAAUCUCUAGAACUACACAAUACACAAACCACUCCAUUUCAACACGAACUUCGUACGAACCUGAAUUGGCCGAUUUUUGGGACCAGUCGAUGUUGGAUGGAGUCCAAAACUUUGGGAACAUCGUAAUAUAGUGGGAGUAGUCAUUUGGUGGGGUUUGAUUGAAAUCCAGUGGCCAAAACUGUGAAAUACACCAACCACACCAUUUCAGAACGAACUUCGUUCAAAACUGAAUUGUCCAAUUUCAGGGCCAAUCAAUAUCGGAUUGAGUCCAAAACUUGGGGAACAUCAUAAUAUUGUGGGAGGAGUCAUUUGGUGGGUUUUUAUGAAAUCCAAUCUCUAGAACUAUACAAUACACCAAAGCUUCAUACAAACCUUAAUUGUCCAAUUUCAUGGACCAAUCGAUAUCGGAGAUCCAAAACUUGGGGAAGAUCAUAAUAUGGUGGCAGGAGUCAUUUGGUGAGUUUUGAGCAAAAUCGAAUUGCCAAAACUGUGCAAUACAUCAACCACUCCAUUUCAGAACGAACUUCGUUUGAAACUGAAUUGUCCGAUUUUGUGGACCAAUCAAUAUUGGAUUGAGUCCAAAACUUGGGGAACAUCAUAAUAUUGUGGGAGGAGUAAUUUCUUGGGUUUUGAAUGAAAUCCAAUCUCUUGGACGAUACAGUACACCAACCACUCCAUUUCAUAACGAACUUCGUACGAACCUGAAUUGUUCAAUUUCAUGGAAAAAUCAAUAUUGGAUUGAGUGUAAAACUUGGGGAACAUCAUAAUGUUGUGGGAGGAGUCAUUUGGUGAGUUUUGAGUGAAAUCCAAUUGCCAAAACUAUGCAACACACCAACCAAUCCAUUUCAGAACGAGCUUCGUAUGAACCUGAAUAUUCCGAUUUCAUCGACCAAUUGAUAUCGGAUAGAGUCCAAAAAUUGGGGAACGUCAUAAUAUUGUGGCAGUCAUUUGGUGGGUUUUGUGUGAAAUCCAAUCCCUAGAACUAUACAAUACACCAACCACUCCAUUUGGGAACGAACUUCGUACAAACCUGAAUUGUCCGAUUUCGUCGACCAAACGAUAUUAGAUUGAGUCCAAAACUUGGGGAACAUCAAAAUAUUUUCGGAGGAGUCAUUUGUGGGGUUUGAGUGAAAUCCAAUCUCUAGAACCAUACAAUACACCGACCACUCCAUUUCAGAACAUACUUCGAACGAACCUAAAUUGUCCAAUUUCAUGGACUAGUCGAUAUCGAAUUGAGUCCAAAACUUGGGGAACAUCAUAAUGUUGUGGGAGGAGUCAUUUGGUGAGUUUUGAGCAAAAUCUGAUGGCAAAAACAAUGGCAUAGACCAACGACUGCAUUUUAGAACGAACGUCGUACGAAACUAAAUUGUCCGAAUUCGUGGACCAAUCGAUAUCGGAUUGAGUCCAAAACUUGCGGAACAUCAUAAUGUUGUGGGAGGAGUCAGUUGGUGGGUUUUGAGUGAAAUCAAAUCUCUAGAACUAUACAAUGCGCCAACCACUCCAUUUCAGAACGAAGUUCGUAUGAACCUAAAUGUCCAAUUUCAUGGACCAAUCGAUAUCAGAUUGAGUCCAAAACUUGGGGAACAUCAUAAUAUAGUGGGAGGAGUCUAUUAGUGGGUUUUGUGUCAAAUCCAAGGGCAAAAACAAUGCAAUACACCACCCACUUCAUACGAACCUGAAUUGUCCAAUUUCGUGGACCAAUCGAUAUCGGAUUGAGUCCACAACUUGGGAAACAUCAUAAUAUGGUGGGAGGAGUCAUUUAGUGACUUUUGAGUGAAAUCCAAUGGCAAAAACUUUGCAAUACACCAACUACUUCAUUUCAUAACGUACUACGUACGUACUGGAAUUGUCCGAUUUCAUGGACCAAUCGAUAUCGGAUUGAGUACAAAACCUGGUGAACAUCUAAUAUGAUGGGAAGAGUCAUUUGGUGGGUUUGAGUGAAACCCUAUCUCUUGAACCAUGCAAUACACCAACCUCUCCAUUUCAUAAGGAACUUCAUAUGAACAUGAACAGUCCGAUUUCAUGGACCAAUCGAUAUCGAAUUGAGUCCAAAACUUGGGGAACAUCAUAAUAUGGUGGGAGGAGUCGUUUGGUGACUUUUGAGUGAAAUCCGAUGGCUAAAACUAUGCAAAACACCAACCACUCCAUUUCAUCACGAACUUCGUACAAACCUGAAUUGUCCAAUUUCAUAGACCAAUCGAUAUCGGAUUGAGUUCAAAACUUGGGGAACAUCAUAAUAUGGUGGGAGGAGUCGUUUGGUGACUUUUGAGUGAAAUCCAAUGGCUAAAACUAUGCAAUACACCAACCACUCCAUUUUAGAACGAACUUCGUACGAACCUGAAUUGUCCAAUUUCAUGGACCAGUCGAAAUCGGAUUGAGUCCAAAACUUGGGGAACAUAAUAAUACGGUGGGAGGAGUCAUUUGGUGGGUUUUGAGUGAAAUCCAAUCUCUACAACUAUGCAAUACACUAACCACUCCACUUCAUAACUAACUUCAUACGAACUUGAAUUGUCCAAUUUCAUGGACCAAUCGAUAUCGGAUUGAGUCCAAAAUUUGGGGAACAUCAUAAUAUGGUGGGGGAAGUCAUGUGGUGACAUUUGAGUGAAAUCCAACGGCUAAAAGAAUGCAAUACCCCCAACCACUCGAUUUUUUAACAAACUUCGUAUGAACAUGAAUUGUCCAAUUUCAUGGACCAAUCAAUGUCGGAUUGAGUCUAAAACUUGGUGAACAUCAUAAUAUGGUGGGAGGAGUCAUUUGGUGACUUGUGAGUGAAAUCCAAUGGCUAAAAUAUUGAAAUACACAAACCACUCCAUUUCAGAACGAACUUUGUACGAACCUGAAUUGUCCAAUUUCAUGGAUCAAUCGAUAUCGGAUUGAGUCCAAAACGUGGGGAACAUCAUAAUAUGGUGGGCGGAGUCAUUUGGUGACUUUUGAGUGAAAUACAAUGGGUAAAACUUUGCAAUACACCAACCAGUUCAUUUCAGAAUGAACUUCGUACGAACCUGAAUUGUCCAAUUUCAUGGACCAAUCGAUAUCGGAUUGAGUCCAAAACUUGAGGAAAAUCAUAAUAUGAUGGGAGGAGUCAUUUGGAGACUUUUGAUUGAAAUUCAAUGGCUAAAACUAUGCAAUACACUAACCACUCCAUUUCAGAACGAACUUCGUACGAGCCUGAAUUGUCCAAUUUGAUGGACCAAUCGAUAUCGGAUUGAGUCCAAAACUUGGGGAACAUCAUAAUACGGUGGGAGGAGCCAUUUGGUGGCUUUUGAGUGAAAUCCAAUCUCUACAACUAUGCAACACACCAACCACUCCAUUUCAGAACGAACUUCGUACGAACCUGAAUUGUCCAAUUUCAUGGACCAAUCGAUAUCGGAUUGAGUCCAAAACUUGGGGAACAUCAUAAUACGGUGGGAGGACUCAUUUUGUGGGUUUUGAGUGAAAUCCAGUCUCUACAACUAUGCAAUACACCAACCACUCCAUUUUAUAACGCACUUCGUACGAACCUGAAUCGGCCAACUUCAAGGACCAAUCGAUAUCGGAUUGAGUCUAAAACUUGGGGAACAUCCUAAUACGGCGGGAGGAGUCAUUUGGUUGCUUUUGAGUGAAAUCCUAUGGCUAAAACUACGCUAUACACCAACCACUCCAUUUCAGAAGGAACUUCGUACGAAACUGAACUGUCCAAUUUCAUGGACCAAUCGAUAUCGGAUUGAGUCCAAAACAUGGCGAACAUCGUAAUACGAUGGGAGGAGUCAUUUGGUGUCUUUUAAGUGAACUCCUAUGGCUAAAACUACGGAAUACACCAACCACUCCAUUUCCGAACGAACUUCAUACGAACCUGAAUUGUCUAAUUUCAUGGACCAAUCGAUAUUGGAUUGAGUCCAAAACUUGGGGAACAUCAUAAUACGUUGGGAGGAGUCAUUUCGGGGGUUUUGAGUGAAAUCCAAUCUCUACAACUAGGCAAUACACCAACCACUCCAUUUCAUAACGAAUCUCGUACGAAGCUGAAUUGUCCAAUUUCAUGGACCAAUCGAUAUCGGAUUGAGUCCAAAACUUGGGGAACAUCAUAAUAUGUUGGCUGGAGUCAUUUGGUGACAUUUGAGUGAAAUCCAAUGGCUAAAACUAUGCAAUACACUAACCACUCCAUUUCAGAACGAACUUUGUACGAACCUGAAUUGUCCAAUUUCAUGGACCAAUCGAUAUCGGAUUGAGUCCAAAACAAGGGGAACAUCACAAUAUGAUGGGAGGAGUUAUUUGGUGUCUUUUGACUGAAAUCCAAUGGCUAAAACUAUGCAAUACACCAACCACUCCAUUUCAGAACGAACUUCGUACGAACCUGAAUUGUCCAAUUUCAUGGACCAAUCGAUAUCGGAUUGAGUCCAAAACUUGGGGAACAUCAUAAUAUGAUGGGAGGAGUCAUUUGGUUUCAUUUUAGUGAACUCCUGUGGCUAAAACUAUGCAAUACACCAACCACUCCAUUUCAGAACGAACUUCGUACGAACCUGAACUGUCCAAUUUCAUGGACCAAUCGAUAUCGGAUUGAGUCCAAAACAUGGCGAACAUCAUAAUAUGAUGGGAGGAGUCAUUUGGUGUCUUUUAAGUGAACUCCUAUGGCUAAAACUACGGAAUACACCAACCAUUCCAUUUUCGAAUGAACUUCGUACGAACCUGAAUUGUCCAAUUUCAUGGACCAAUCGAUAUCGGAUUGACUCCAAAACUUGGGGAACUUCAUAAUACGGUGGGAGGAGUCAUUUGGUGUCUUUUUAGUUAAAGCCAAUGGCUAAAACUAUGCAAUACACCAACCACUCCAUUUUAGAACGAACUUCGUACGAACCUGAAUUGUCCAAUUUCAUGGACCAGUCGAAAUCGGAUUGAGUCCAAAACUUGGGGAACAUAAUAAUACGGUGGGAGGAGUCAUUUGGUGGGUUUUGAGUGAAAUCCAAUCCCUACAACUAUGCAAUACACUAACCACUCCACUUCAUAACUAACUUCAUACGAACUUGAAUUGUCCAAUUUCAUCGGCCAAUCGAUAUCGUAUUGAGUCUAAAAUAUGGGAAACAUCAUGAUACGGUGCGAGGAGUCAUUUGGUGGGUUUUGAGUGAAAUCCAAUCUCUACAACUAUGAAAUACAACAACCACUCCAUUUCAGAACGAACUUUGUACGAACUUGAAUUGUCCAAUUUCAUGGACCAAUCGAUAUCGAAAUGAGUCCAAACCCUGGGGAACAUCAUAAUACGGUGGGAGGAGUCAUUUAGUGUCUUUUGAGUGAAAUUCAAUGGCUAAAACUAUGCAAUACACCAACCACUCAUUUCAGAACGAACUUCGUACGAACCUGAAUUGUCCAAUUUCAUGAACCAAUCGAUAUAGGAUUGAGUCCAAAACUUGGGGAACAUCAUAAUACGGUGGGAGGAGUCAUUUGGUGUCUUUGAGUGAAAUCCAAUGGCUAAAACUAUGCAAUACACCAACCACUCCAUUCUCAGAUACGAACUUCGUACGAACUUGAAUUGUCCAAUUUCAUGGACCAAUCGAUAUCGGAUUGAGUCCAAAACUUGGGGAACAUCAUAAUACGGUGGGAGGAGUCAUUCGGUGGGUUUUGAGUUAAAUCCAACCUCUAUAACUUUGCAAUACACCAACCGCUCCAUUUCAGAACGAACUUCGUACGAACCUGAAUUGUCCAAUUUCAUGGACCAAUCGAUAUCGGAUUGAGUCCAAAACUUGGGGAACAUCAUAAUACGGUUGGAGGAGUCAUUUGGUGUCUUUUGACUGAAAUCCAAUGGCUACAACUAUGCAAUACACCAACCACUCCAUUUCAGAACGAACUUCGUACGAACCUGAAUUGUCCAAUUUCAUGGACCAAUCGAUAUCGGAUUGGGUCCAAAACUUGGGGAACAUCCUAACACGGUGGCAGGAGUCAUUUGGUGGUUUUUGAGUGAAAUUCAAUCUCUACAACUGUGCAGUACACCAACUACUCCAUGUCAUAAUGAACUUCGUACGAACCUGAAUUGUCCAAUUUCUUGGAAAAAUCGAUAUCGGAUUGAGUCCAAAACUUGGGAUUCAUCAUAAUAACGUUGUAGGAGUCAUUUGGUGGGAUUUGAGUGAAAUCCAAUUUCUACAACUAUGCAAUACACCAACCACUCCAUUUCAGAACGAACUUCGUAUGAACCUAAAUUGUGCAAUUUCAUGGACCAAUCGAUAUCGGCUUGAGUCCAAAACUUGGGGGACAUCAUAAUACGGUGGCAGGAGUCAUUUGGUGCGUUUUGAGUGAAAUCCAAUCUCUACAACUAUGCAAUACACCCACCACUCUAUUUCAGAACGAAGUACGUACGAACCUGAAUUCUCCAAUUUCAUGGACCAAUUGAUAUCGGAUUGAGUCCAAAACGUGGGAACAACAUAAUACGGAGGGAGGAGUCAUUUGGCGGGGUUUCAGUGAAAUCCAAUCUCUACAACUAUGCAAUACACCGACCACUCCAUUUCAUAACGAACUUCGUAUAAACCUGAAUUGUCCAAUUUAAUGGACCAAUCGGUAACGGAUUGAGUCCAAAACUUUGGGAACAUCAUAAUACGGUGGGAGGAGUCAUUUGGUGGGUUUUGAGUGAAAUCCAAUCUCUACAACUAUGCAAUACGCCAACCACUCCAUUUCAUAACGAACUUCGUACGAACCUGAAUUGUCCAAUUUCAUGUUCCAAUCGAUAUCGGAUUGAGUCCAAAACUUGGGGAAUAUCAUAAUACGGUGGGAGGAGUCGUUUGGUGGGUUUUGAGUGAAAUCCAAUCUCUACAACUAUGCAAUACACCAACCACUCCAUUUCAGAACGAACUUCGUACAAACCUGAAUUGUCCAAUUUCAUGGACCGAUCGAUAUCGGAUUGAGUGGAAAACCUGGGGAACAUCAUAAUACGGUGGGAGGUGUCAUUUGGUGUCUUUCAAGUGAAAUCCAAUGGCUAAAACUAUGCAAUACACCAACCACUCCAUUUCCGAACGAAGUUCGUAGGAACCUGAAUUGCCCAAGUUCUUGGACCAAUCGAUAUCGGAUUGAGUCCAAAACUUGGGGAACAACAUAAUAUGGUGGGAGGAGUCAUUUGGUGUCUUUUGACUGAAAUCUAUUGGCUAAAACUAUGCAAUAACCAACCACCCCAUUUCAGAACGAACUUCGUACGAGCCUGAAUUGUCCAAUUUCUUGGACCAAUCGAUAUCGGAUUGAGUCCAAAACAUGGGGAACAUCAUAAUAUGAUGGGAGGAGUCAUUUGAUGUCUUUUGACUGAAAUUCAAUGGCUAAAACUAUGCAAUACACUAACCACUCCAUUUCAGAACGAACUUCGUACGAACCUUAAUUGUCCAAUUUUAUGGACCGAUCAAUAUCGAAUUGAGUGAAAAACCUGGGGAACAUCAUAAUACGGUGGAAGGUGUCAUUUGGUGUCUUUCGAGUGAAAUCCUAUGGCUAAAACUAUGCAAUACACCAACCACUCCAUUUCCGAACGAAGUUCGUAGGAACCUGAAUUGCCCAAGUUCUUGGACCAAUCGAUAUCGGAUUGAGUCCAAAACUUGGGGAACAACAUAAUAUGGUGGGAGGAAUCAUUUGGUGUCUUUUGACUGAAAUCUAUUGGCUAAAACUAUGCAAUAACCAACCACCCCAUUUCAGAACGAACUUCGUACGAACCUGAAUUGUCCAAUUUCAUGGACUAAUCGAUAUCGGAUUGAGUCCAAAACUUGGGGAACAUCAUAACACGGUGGGAGGAGUCAUUUGGUGGGUUUUGAGUGAAAUGCAAUCUCUACAACUAUGCAAUACGCAAACCACUCCAUUUCAUAACGAGCUUCGUACGAACCUGAAUUGUCCAAUUUCAUGUUCCAAUCGAUAUCGGAUUGAGUCCAAAACUUGGGGAAUAUCAUAAUACGGUGGGAGGAGUUGUUUGGUGGGUUUUGAGUGAAAUCCGAUCUCUACAACUAUGCAAUACACCAACCACUCCAUUUCAGAACGAACUUCGUACGAACCUUAAUUGUCCAAUUUCAUGGACCGAUCAAUAUCGAAUUGAGUGAAAAACCUGGGGACCAUCAUAAUACGGUGGAGGGUGUCAUUUGGUGUCUUUCGAGUGAAAUCCAAUGGUUAAAACUAUGCAAAACAACAACCACUCCAUUUCAGAACGAACUUCGUACGAACCUGAAUUGUCCAAUUUCAUGGAACAAUCGAUAUCGGAUUGAGUACAAAACUUUGGGAACAUCAUAAUACGGUGGGAGGAGUCAUUUGAUGGGUUUUGAGUGAAUUCCAAUCUCUACAACUAUGCAAUACACCAACCACUCCAUUUCAGAACGAACUUCGUACGAACCUGAAUUGUCCAAUUUCAUGGAACAAUCGAUAUCGGAUUGAGUACAAAACUUGGGGAACAUCAUAAUACGGUGGGAGGAGUCAUUUGAUGGGUUUUGAGUGAAUUCCAAUCUCUACAACUAUGCAAUACACCAACCACUCCAUUUCAUAACAAACUUCGUACGAACCAGAAUUGUCCAAAUUCUUGUACCAAUCGAUAUCGGAUUGAGUCCAAAACUUGGGGAUCAUCAGAAUACGGUGGGAGGAGUCAUUUGGUGGGAUUUGAGUGAAAUCCAAUAUCUACAACUAUGCAAUACACCAACCACACCAUUUCAUAACUAACUUCGUACGAACCUGAAUUGUCCAAUUUCAUGGACCAAUCGAUAUCGGAUUGAGUCCAAAACUUGCGGAACAUCGUAAUACGGUGGGAGGAGUCAUUUGGUGGGUUUUGAGUGAAAUCCAAUCUCUACAACUAUGCAAUACACCGACCACUCUAUUUCAUAAAGAACUUUGUACGUACCUGAAUUGUCCAAUUUCUUGGACCAAUCUAUAUCGGAUUGAGUCCAAAACGUGGGGAUCAUCAUAAUACGGUGGGAGGAGUCAUUUGGUGGGUUUUGAGUAAAAUCCAAUCUCUACAACUAUGCCAUACACUAACCACUUCAUUUCAGAACGAACUUCGUACGAACCUGAAUUGUCCAAUUUCAUACACCAAUCGAUAUCGGUUGAGUCCAAAACUUGGGGAACAUCAUAAUACGGUGGGAGGAGUCAUUUGGUGGCUUUCGAGUGAAAUCCAAUCUCUAGAACUAUGCAAUACACCAACCACUCCAUUUCAUAAAGAACUUCGUACGAACCUGAAUUGUCCAAUUUCAUGGACCAAUCGAAAUCGGAUUGAGCCCAAAACAUGGAGAUCAUCAUAAUACAGUGGGCGGAGUCAUUUGGUGGGAUUUGAGUGAAAUCCAAUCUCUACAACCAUGCAAUACACCAACCACUCCAUUUCAGAACGAACUUCGUACGAACCUGAAUUGUCCAAUUUCAUGAAACAAUCGAUAUCAGAUUGACUCCAGAACUUGGGGAACAUCGUAAUACGGGGGGAGGAGUCAUUUGGUGGGUUUUGAGCGAAUUCCAAUCUCUACAACUAUGCAACACACCAACCACUCCAUUUCCCAACGAACUUCGAACGAACCUGAGUUGUCCAAUUUCAUGGACCAAUCGAUAUCGGAUUGAGUCCAAAAGUUGGGGAUCAUCUUAAUAUGGUGGGAGGAGUCAUUUGGUGGCUUCUGAGUGAAAUCCAAUCUCUACAACUAUGCAAUACGCCAACCACUCCAUUUCAUAAAGAACUUCGUACGAACCUGAAUUGUCCAAUUUCAUGGACCAAUCGAUAUCAAAUUGAGUCCAAAACUUGGGGAAUAUCAUAAUAUGAUGGGAGGAGUCAUUUGGUGACUGAAAUCCAAUAGCUCAAACUAUGCAAUACACCAACCACUCCAUUUCAGAACGAACUUCGUACGAACCUGAAUUGUCCAAUUUAAUGAACCAAUCAAUAUCGGAUUGACUCCAAAACUUGGGGAAUAUCGUAAUACAGUGGGAGGAGUCAUUUGGUGGGUUUUGAGUGAAAUCCAAUCUCUACAACUAUGCAAUACACCAACCACUCCAUUUCAUAAAGAACUUCGUACGAACCUUAAUUGUCCAAUUUCAUGGACCAAUCGAAAUCGGAUUGAGCCCAAAACAUGGAGAUCAUCAUAAUACAGUGGGCGGAGUCAUUUGGUGGGAUUUGAGUGAAAUCCAAUCUCUACAACCAUGCAAUACACCAACCACUCCAUUUCAGAACGAACUUCGUACGAACCUGAAUUGUCCAAUUUCAUGAAACAAUCGAUAUCAGAUUGACUCCAGAACUUGGGGAACAUCGUAAUACGGGGGGAGGAGUCAUUUGGUGGGUUUUGAGCGAAUUCCAAUCUCUACAACUAUGCAACACACCAACCACUCCAUUUCCUAACGAACUUCGAACGAACCUGAGUUGUCCAAUUUCAUGGACCAAUCGAUAUCGGAUUGAGUCCAAAAGUUGGGGAUCAUCUUAAUAUGGUGGGAGGAGUCAUUUGGUGGCUUCUGAGUGAAAUCCAAUCUCUACAACUAUGCAAUACGCCAACCACUCCAUUUCAUAAAGAACUUCGUACGAACCUGAAUUGUCCAAUUUCAUGGACCAAUCGAUAUCAAAUUGAGUCCAAAACUUGGGGAAUAUCAUAAUAUGAUGGGAGGAGUCAUUUGGUGACUGAAAUCCAAUAGCUCAAACUAUGCAAUACACCAACCACUCCAUUUCAGAACGAACUUCGUACGAACCUGAAUUGUCCAAUUUCAUGAACCAAUCAAUAUCGGAUUGACUCCAAAACUUGGGGAAUAUCGUAAUACAGUGGGAGGAGUCAUUUGGUGGGUUUUGAGUGAAAUCCAAUCUCUACAACUAUGCAAUACACCAACCACUCCAUUUCCUAACGAAUUUCCUACGAACCGGAGUUGCCCAAUUUCUUGGACCAAUCUAUAUCGGAUUGAGUCCAAAACUUGGGGAACAUCAUAAUACGGUGGGAGGAGUCAUUUAGUGGCUUUUGAGUGAAAUCCAACCUCUACAACUAUGCAAUACACCAACCACUGCAUUUCAGAACGAACUUCGUACGAACCUGAACUGUCCAAUUUCAUGGACCAAUCGACAUCGAAUUGAGUCCAAAACUUAGGGGACAUCAUAAUACGGUGGGAGGAGUCAUUUGGUGGGUUUUGACUGAAAUCCAAUCUCUACAACUAUGCAAUACACCAACCACUCCAUUUCAGAACGAACUUCGUACGAACCUGAAUUGUCCAAUUUCAUGGACCAAUCGAUAUCGGAUUGAGUCCACAACUUGGGGAACGUAAUAAUACGGUAGGAGGAGUCAUUUGAUAGGUUUUGAGUGAAAUCCAAUCUUUACAACUAUGCAACACACCAACCACUCCAUUUCAUAACGAACUUGGUACGAACCUGACUUGUCCAAUUUCUUGGACCAAUCUAUAUCGGAUUGAGUCCAAAACUGGGGGAUCAUCAUAAUACGGUGGGAGGAGUCAUUUGGUGGGAUUUGAGUGAAAUCCAAUCUCUACAACUAUGCAAUACACCAACCACUCCAUUUCAUUACGAACUUCGUGCGAACCUGAAUUGUCCAAUUUCACGGACCAAUCUGUAUCGGAUUGAGUCCAAAACUUGGGGAACAUCAUAAUACGGCAGGAGGAGUCAUUUGGUGGGUUUUGAGUGAAAUCCAAUCUUUACAACUAUGCAACACACCAACCACUCCAUUUCAAAACGAACUUCGUACGAACCUAAAUUGUCGAAUUUCAAGGACCAAUCGACAUCGGAUUGAGUCCAAAACUUGGCUAACAUCGUAAUACGAUGGGAGAAUUCAUUUGGUGGCUUUUGAGUGAAAUCCAAUCUCUACAACUAUGCAAUACUCUAACCACUCCAUUUCAUAAAGAACUUCGUACGAAUCUGAAUUGUUCAAUUUCAUGGACCAAUCGAUAUCUGAUUGAGUCCAAAAUUUGGGGAACAUCAUAAUACGGUGGGAGAAUUCAUUUGGUGGCCUUUGGGUGAAAUCCAAUCUCUACAACUAUGCAAUACAUCAACCACUCCAUUUCAUAACGAACUUCGUACGAACCUGAAUUGUCCAAUUUCUUGGACCAAUCCAUAUCGGAUUGAGGCCAAAACUUGGGGAACAUCAUAAUACGAUGGGAGGAUUCAUUUGGGGACUUUUGAGUGAAAUCCAACGGCUAAAACUAUGCAAUACACUAACCACUCCAUUUCAGAACGAACUUCGUACGAACCUGAAUUGUCGAAUUUCAUGGACCAAUCGAUAUCGGAUUGAGUCCAAAACUUAGGGUACAUCAUAAUAUGGUGGGAGAAUUCAUUUGGUGGGUUUUGAGUGAAAUCCAAUCUCUACAACUAUGCAAUACACCAACCACUCCAUUUCAUAAUGAACUUCGUACGAACUUGAAUUGUCCAAUUUCAUGUGCCAAUUGAUAUCUGAUUGAGUCCAAAACUUGGGGAACAUCAUAAUAUGAUGGUUGGAGUCAUUUCGUGACUUUUGAGUGAAAACCAAUGGCUAAAACUUUGCAAUACACUAACCACUCCAUUUCAGGACGAACUUCGUACGAACCUGAAUUGUCCAAUUUCAUGGACCAAUCGAUAUCGGAUUGAGUCCAAAAUGUGGGGAUCACCAUAAUACGGUGGGCGGAGUCAUUUGGUGGGAUUUGAGUGAAAUCCAAUCCCUAAAACUAUGCAAUACACCAACUACUCCAUUUCAGAACGAACUUUGUACGAACCUGAAUUGUCCAAUUUCAUGAACCAAUCGAUAUCGGAUUGACUCCGAAAGUUGGGGAACAUCGUAAUACAGUGGGAGGAGUCGUUCGGUGGGUUUUGAGUGAAAUCCAAUCUUUACAACUAUGCAAUACACCAACCACUCCAUUUCAUAACGAACUUUGUACGAACCUGAGUUGUCCAAUUUCUUGGACCAAUCUAUAUCGGAUUGAGUCCAAAACUUGGGGAACAAUAUAAUACGGUGGGAGGAGUCAUUUAGUGGCUUUUGAGUGAAAUCCAAUUGGUAAAACUGUGCAAUACACCAACCACUCCAUUUCAGAAAGAACUUCGCACGAACCUGAGUUGUCUAAUUUAAUGGACCAAUCGAUAUCGGAUUGAGUACAAAACUUGGGGAACAUCAUAAUACGGUGGGAGUUGUCAUUUGGUGGAUUUUGAGUGAAAUCCAAUCUCUACAACUAUGCAACACCAACCACUCCAUUUCAUGAUGAACUUCGUACGAACCUGAAUUGUCCAAUUCCAUAGACCAAUCGAUAUCGGAUUGAAUCCAAAACUUGGGGAACAUCGUAUUAUGAUGGUUGGAGUCAUUUGGUGACUUUUGAGUGAAAUCCAAUGGCUAAAACUAUGCAAUACACUAACCACUCCAUUUCAGAACGAACUUCGUACGAACCUGAAUUGUCAAAUUUCAUGGACCAAUCGAUAUCGGAUUGAGUCCAAAACAGGGGGAACAUCAUAAUAUAUGGGAGGAGUCAUUUGGUGUCUUCUGAGUGAACUCCUAUGGCUAAAACUAUGCAAAACACCAACCACUAUAUUUCAGAACGAACUUCGUACGAACCUGAAUUGUCCAAUUUCAUCGACCAAUCGGUAUCAGAUUGAGUCCAAAACUUGGGGAACAUCAUAAUACGGUGGGAGGAGUCAUUUGGUGGGUUUUGGGUAAAUUCCAAUGUCUACAACUAGGCAAUACACCAACCACUCCAUUUCAUAACGAACUUCGUACGAACUUGAAUUGUCCAAUUUCACGUUCCAAUCGAUACCGGAUUGAGUCCAAAACAUGGGGAACAUUAUAAUAUCAUGGGAGGACUCGUUUGGUGACUUUUGAGUGAAAUCCAAUUGCUAAAACGAUGCAAUACACUAACCACUCCAUUUCAGAACGAACUUCUUACGAACCUGAAUUGUCCAUUUUCAUGGACCAAUCGAUAUCGGAUUCAGUCCAAAACUUGGGGAACAUCAUAAUACGGUGGGAGGAGUCAUUUGGUGGGUUUUGAGUGAAAUCCAAUCUCUACAACUAUGCAAUACACCAACCACUCCAUUUCAGAAUGUACUUCGUACGAACCUGAAUUGUCCAAUUUCAUGGACCAAUCGAUAUCGGAUUGAGUCCAAAACUUGGGGCAUAUCAUAACACGGUGGGAGGAGUCAUUUGGUGGCUUUUGAGUGGAAUCCAAUCCCUGCAACUAUGCAAUACACCAACUACUCCAGUUCAUGACGAACUUCGAGCGAACCUGAAUUGUCCAAUUUCAUGGACCAAUCGAUAUCGGAUUGUGUCCAAAAGAUGGGGAACAUCAUAAUACGGUCGGAGGAGUCAUUUGGUGGGUUGUGAGUGAAAUCCAAUCUCUUCAACUAUGCAAUACACCAACCACGCAAUUUCAGAACGAACUUCGUACGAAACUGAAUUGUCCAAUUUCAUGGACCAAUUGAUAUCGGAUUGUGUCCGAAACUUGGGGAACAUCAUAAUGUGAUGGGAGCAGUCGUUCGGUGUCUUUUGAGUGAAAUCCAAUGGCUAAAACUAUGCAAUACAGCAACCACUCCAUUUCAGAACGAACUUCGUUCGAACUCGAAUUGCCCAAUUUCAUGGACCAAUCGAUAUCGGAUUGAGUCCAAAACGUGGGGAGCAUCAUAAUAUGGUGCGUGGAGUGAUUUGGUGGCUUUUGAGUGAAAUCCAAUGGGAAAAACUAUAAAAUAUACCAACCACUCCAUUUCAUAACGAACUUCGUACGAACCUGUAUUGUCCAAUUUCGUGAACCAAUCGAUAUCGGAUUGAGUCCAAAACUUGGGCAACACCAUAAUAUGAUGGGAGAAGUCAUUUGGUGACUUUUGAGUGAAAUCCAAUGGCUAAAACUAUGCAAUACACAAAACCACUCCAUUUCAGAACGAACUUCGUACAAACCUGAAUUGUCCAAUUUCAUGGACCAAUCGAUAUCGGAUUGAGUCCAAAACAUGGGGAACAUCAUAAUAUGAUGGGAGGAGUCAUUUCGUGGCUUUUGACUGAAAUCAAAUGGCUAAAACUCUGCAAUACACUAACCACUCCACUCCAUUUCAACAUCAGAAUUGGUUCAAGGGUUUCCUCUCAUGAAUUUAUUUUCACUCAUGUUGUUUAUUUUUGUUUUAAUCUCUUUGAACAUGAUGUGUAACUAAAUUCAUAGCUAGGGAUUUCGAUGUAGCCUUGCAACAUUGAUCCAUGUUUCUAAUUUAGAGUAUUCAGUUCAUCAAUUUAUUUCUUGUUUCAUUCACUGAAUCUAUUGUUCAAUUUGUUUGUCAAUUUUAAUGUUUGAUCACCGCUAGAGUUGCCUACAGAUUAUCUAGACAAGGUUAUAGUAAACAUCAUGCUUAAUCUUGUUAGACAUGUGAAUGAAUGAAGAGAAUGCUAUGCAAACAUCAUGCUGUGUAUUUUCUUUGGUUCUUUAACGUUUUCUUGCAUGCUAAUGACUCUUAACUUGGAACCAAAGUUGAACAUCCCAACUAGGUUGCAGAUUAGGAGAAUUUGAUCAAAACCACACAUCAUAUGGCUGAUCAUAUAUAUGUAAAACGAACUCUGGAAACAGGUUGGUAGUUGAGUACGGUUUAAUUUUAUAAACAUGGAAUUAGUUUUGCAAUGGUGAAUUCGAAAUCCCUGGUCUCUUCCCUAUUCUUUCUACAUCAAUAUAUUAUUCACUACUACAUUCUUUUUGCAUUGGAAGUUAUUUUUCAUUUACAACACAAAAACUACUUUCAAAUUGUCACUUUCAUUUUUAGUUAGGGUUCUUUCGAAACUAGUAAUUUAUAGAGGUCCAAUCGGUCCCUGUGGUUCGAUACCCUUACUUGUACCAUUAUACUAACCAUAUAUUGGCACUUGGAAGGAACACAACAAAAUUUUGGCGCCGUUGCCGGGGACUGAUUUCAAUCUUCUAUAAUUGCUUGUUCUCAAACCCUAAUUUCAUUUUUAUUUUUGUUUCUCAGGUAGUAUAUGUCAGAUACACUUGCUGAGAUAGGCCAAAGACUUGAACGGUUGAAGAGCAACACUUUUGAGAAGUCUAUAUCAGCUAGUGCCCAAACUAGCAGUGUAGAAGAGGACAAUAGUUCUUCUGGCCCAACGAGUGUAGAUUCUUUCGAUAACUCUAAUUCUGACAGAGAAGAAGAGAUGGCUGACAAUAACGAUGAAAAUCGAGCUUUGGAAGAUUAUGCUCAACCGGUUAUACCAAAUUCCCCUUCGUGCAUCUUGCUGCCUACUGAAGCUAGAAAUUAUGAUCUCAAAUCUUCACAUUUUCACAUGCUUCCUUCUUUUUAUGGUUUACCUAACGAAGAUCCAUUAGCCCAUAUUAAGGAAUUCUACAAUGUUGUGAGUAGUUUACCUUUGCAGGGAGUGACUGAAGCAAAUCUGAGGAUGAGGGUUUUUCCUUAUACAUUGAAAGAUAGAGCAAAGGGUUGGCUAAUGACUUUAGCACCUGGUUCGCUCACCACUUGGGAUGCCGUAGCUAAGAAAUUUUUGGAGAAGUUCUUCUCUACUCAAAAGACAGCUACUUUGAGAGGGCAAAUCUUUAACUUUAAACAAGAUGAUGGAGAACCUUUCAAUGAAUGUUGGGAGCGUUUCAAAGGCCUGUUGCUGCAAUGUCCACAUCAUGGGUUACCUCUUUACUUACAAAUGCAAAUUUUUUAUGAGGGACUAACCCAAACAUGUCAAUCGACUGUUGAUAAUGCAGCAGGUGGAGCUUUGAAGAAAAAAAAUGCUCAAGAGUCAUAUAACAUUUAUGAGAUGUUGGGAUCUAAUGCUCCACACAAAGAUACAAGAGGUAAACGAGUUGGAGUGUAUGAAAUGAGUUCUAAUAAUGAUCUGGCCUUGCAGGUGGCUAGUUUGGAAAAGAAGCUCGAUUCUAUGAUCAAUAUGGUGCCUAAGAUAGCUGAGGUGUGUACCAUUUGCAAUAUACCAGGUCAUCCAACUUAUCAAUGCUCGGCUAGUGAGGCUUAUCCCGAAUUUGUUCAAGAGCAAGUGAAUCUCAUGAAUUCUUACAAUCAGAGGCCGAGGAAUGACCCGUUCUCUAAUACAUAUAACCCGGGUUGGAGAGAUCAUCCCAAUCUCUCAUGGAAGAAUAACAAUCAAUUUCAAAAUUUCCAACCAAAGCAUGCCACUACGCUUAAAGAUACGGUCAAAAUGCUAGCUCAAAACACUGUUCAAUUCCAGCAAACUACCAAUAGUACUCUCCAACAACAUUCAGCUGCUCUAACCAAAAUGGAGACACAAUUAGGUCAGAUUGCUGAUGCUUUGAGUCAAAGAGAACCCGGAAAAUUUCCAAGCCAACCGGUGAUACUUCAAAGGAACCAAGAGCAAGCCAAAGCGGUCAUAACUCUUAGAAGUGGUAAGGUUAUUAAUAAUGGAGUUGGCAAUGAAGUUACUAAUGAAUCUGAUCAUGUGAAUGCAGGUCCCACUCAAGAAGAGAAUGAGAAACCGAAUGACGAUCCAAGCAAUGCCACUUCUUCGUUUGAAGCUCCAAAUUUUCACAAGGCUGAAAAACCUUACUCUCCACCCAUUCCAUUUCCUGGAAGACUUGCCAAAAGCAAGCAGGAUAAGUCAUUUAAAGAAAUUUUUGAUAUAUUAAGUAAAGUGAAUGUUAAUUUACCUUUGCUUGAUGUCAUUAGGAAUAUGCCAGCGUAUGGGAAAUUUUUCAAGGAGCUAAACACUUACAAGAGGAAGUAUGGACCUAAUGAGAAGGUGUUGGUGUCUGAAAAUGUGAGUGCUGCGCUUCAAAGAAAGCUCCCACCAAAACUCAAGGAUCCGGGCAGUUUUUCUAUCAAUAUCACCAUUGGAGAUAAGCUAGUUGAAAAGGCUAUGCUUGACUUGGGGGCUAGCAUCAAUUUAAUGCCCUAUUCAGUGUACCUUCAAUUAGGUUUGGGGGGUUUGAAGGCAACAACUAUUUCAUUGCAACUUGCUGAUCGAUCAGUGAAAUAUCCAAGAGGUAUAGUGGAAGAUAUCUUAGUUCAAGUUGACAAACUAAUUUUGCCUGCUGAUUUUGUAGUGUUGGACAUGGAAGAGGCUCCUCUACCUGAUCGUGAGUUACCUAUUAUUCUUGGGAGACCCUUUAUGGCCACGGCAAAGACGAUCAUAGAUGUGCAAAAUGGUCUCCUCACCAUGACUGUGCUAGGAGAAACUGUACAAUUCAAAGUGUUUGAAUCUCUUUCUCACCCUUCUAGUUCAAUUGAUUGUUGUUCGAUUGAUGUGCUUGAUUCACUUGUUUUCUCUAAGUUUUUGCUGGCACAAUCCAAUGAUCCAUUACAAUAUGUUUUGAGUCAAUCUCAAAAUGACUUUGAUGAAGAAGUGCUCAUGGAGAUGGUGGCUGCCUUGGAAGCAUUAAAAUAAUAUCCCUCCACAUUUUCGCCUCUUAUAGAGCCAUUAGAACCAUCUACCACACAUCUGAUCCCUUCUAUUGUUAAACCUCCAAAACUAGACCUUAAACCACUUCCAUCACAUCUAAAAUAUGCUUACCUAGCUGAGUUUGAAACUCUCCCAGUUAUAAUAGCAUCUGACCUCACCCGUUUGGAAGAAGAUAAGCUAAUUAGGGUGCUAAAAGAGUUCAAAUCAGCCAUUGGUUGGUCUAUUGCAGAUAUCAAGGGAAUAAGCCCUACCAUGUGUCUGCAUCGAAUUUUAUUGGAGGGAGCGAAACCAACUCGUGAACCACAAAGAAGGCUCAAUCCACACAUGAAGGAAGUAGUGAGAGCUGAAGUGCUGAAGUUGCUAGAUGUGGGUAUCAUAUACCCGAUUUCUGAUAGCAAAUGGGUCAGCGCUGUUCACGUAGUGCCUAAGAGGAUUGGAAUCACAGUGGUAAAAAAUGAGCAUAAAGAGCUUGUUCAAACGAGACCUGCAGCUAGUUGGCGUGUUUGCACCGAUUACAGGAAGUUGAAUUCAGACACUAGAAAAGCGUCUUUCUGCAAACAGCGUUCGCCAGUUGAAGUUCAUACCUUUUUUCUUCUAUUUUAAUGGGGAUUUCCCUUUUUUAAGUGCUCUCCCCUGCUAUCGCUGCGCUUAUUAUUUUCCUAUGCCUUUUAUUGAUCAAAUGGUUGAGCGAUUAGCUGGUCACUCAUAUUAUUGUUUUCUUGAUGGAUAUUCAGGUUAUAAUCAAAUUGUGAUUGCUUCGGAAGAUCAAGAGAAGACUACAUUCACCUGUCCUUUUGACACUUUUGCAUAUAGGAGGAUGCCUUUUGGCCUUUGCAAUGCCCCAGCAACAUUCCAAAGAUGUAUGCUAGCAAUCUUUUCAGAUAUGAUUGAGAGAUUUAUUGAGGUAUUCAUGGACGAUUUUUCAGUUUUUGGUUCUUCUUUUGAUAAUUGUCUUAACCAUCUCUCUCUAGUGCUUCAAAGAUGUCAGGAAACAAAUUUGAUUCUCAACUGGGAAAAGUGUCAAUUUAUGGUGAAACAAGGUGUUGUGUUGGGGCAUGUAAUAUCCAACAAGGGUAUUGAAGUUGACAAAGCAAAAAUUGACAUCAUCUCAAAUAUGGCAGCCCCUGCUUCAGUGAAGGGAGUGAGAAGCUUUCUAGGACAUGCUGGUUUUUAUCGUCGUUUCAUUAAGGAUUUUUCCAAGAUCACUCAUCCAUUGUGCAAUCUUUUGGCCAAAGAUGUUGUAUUUCACUUUGAUAAAGAUUGUAUGAAUGCAUUUAAUACCUUGAAACGUGAACUAACCUCUGCUCCUAUCAUUAUGGCACCAGAUUGGUCUUUGCCUUUUGAGCUAAUGUGUGAUGCCUCUGACUAUGCUAUUGGUGCUGUUUUAGGUCAAAGAGUAAAUAAGCUGCCACACGUAAUAUACUAUGCAAGUCUGACGUUAAACGAUGCUCAACUCAAUUACUCUACAACUGAGAAGGAGUUGCUUGCUGUUGUGUUUGCUUUAGAGAAAUUUCGUUCAUAUCUUGUUGGCUCUAAAGUUAUUGUUUACUCUGAUCAUGCAGCUCUUAGGUUUUUGUUGACCAAGAAAGAUGCUAAACUACGUUUGAUCAGAUGCAUACUCUUGUUUCAAGAGUUUGACCUAGAAAUUCGAGACAAGAAAGGGAGUGAAAAUGUUGUUGCUGAUCACUUGUCAUGUCUUGUUGAUGAAAACCAUGGAGAUGGACAAAUUUUGCCUCUCAACGAAUCAUUCCCGGAUGAACAACUCUUUGUCAUUCAAGAUAAAGAGCCAUGGUAUGCUGAUUUUGUCAAUUAUCUUGCUUCUGGUGUAAUUAGAGAUGAUUUGACUUUUCAGGAGAGAAAGAAGUUCUUUUCAAUGGUGAAACACUACAUGUGGGAUGAGCCCUAUUUGUUCAAGUAUUGCCCUGACCAAAUCAUUCGAAGAUGUGUUCCAGAGAGUGAGCAGUGAAGCAUACUAACAUUCAGUCAUGCAUUGGCAUGCGGAGGUCAUUUCAGUGCCAAAAAGACAGCUUUAAAGGUUUUACAAUCUGGUUUCUUUUGGCCUACAUUGUUUAAAGAUGCUUUUGAUUUUUGCUCUAAGUGUGAUAGGUGUCAGAAAAUGGGGAGCAUCAGUCGCAGGAAUGAAAUGCCAUUAAACAACAUUUUAGUGAUAGAGCUGUUUGAUGUGUGGGGAAUUGACUUCAUGGGACCAUUCCCAUCUUCUUUUGGAUACAUAUACAUACUAGUGGCAGUAGAUUAUGUAUCAAAAUGGGUUGAGGCAACAGCUACACGAACUAAUGAUCACAAAGUUGUUUUGAAUUUUCUCAAAGAUAUUAUUUUCACUAGGUUUGGAACUCCGAGAGCUAUCAUUAGCGAUGGUGGCAGUCACUUCUGCAACAAACCUUUCGAGGCAUUGAUGAAGAAGUACAACAUCACACAUAAAGUGGCAACUCCAUACCAUCCUCAAACCUCUGGACAAGUGGAAAUCAGCAAUAGAGAAAUAAAGAACAUCUUGAUGAAAACCGUCGGCCUUACAAGGAAGGAUUGGUCACUAAGGUUGAAUGAUGCACUUUGGGCGUAUCGAACAGCGUACAAGACCCCAAUUGGAAUGAGCCCUUAUCGACUGGUGUUUGGAAAGGCAUGUCAUCUGCCAAUGGAGCUCGAGCACCGUGCAUAUUGGGCCAUAAAGAAGUUCAAUUUUGAUCUCAAAGAAGCUGGUACAGUGAGGAAGCUCCAACUCAAUGAGUUGGAAGAGCUCAGAAAUGAAUCAUAUGAGAAUGCAAGGAUCUACAAAGAACGAACCAAGCUCUACCAUGACAAAGCAAUUCUUAGGAAGGAGUUUUAACCAGGUAUGAAAGUACUUUUGUAUGACUCACGUUUGCGACUGUUUCCAGGUAAAUUGAAGUCUAGAUGGGUUGGACCAUUCAAAGUGCUUCAAGUAUUUCCCCAUGGAGCUAUGGAGAUAGAAAACAUCAAGAAUGGCACCCAUUUUAAGGUCAAUGGACAGCGUUUGAAGCCUUAUUUGGAGAAUGUUUCACAGGAGCAGGUUUAUGUCGUUAUAGAUUCUCUCGAGUUUAUGGCAACUUAGACACACUACCAUGUCUUGCCUAGACAUUAAAUAAAGCGCUUGCUAGGAGGCAACCUAGCUGGGUUUGUGUUCUUUCCGUUUAUUUGUGUUGGUUUUUAGUUUUUAUUUUAUUUCUUUCCGUACACACUGUGCCAAUUUGCAUUGCAUCCAUUCCAUUCAUUUUUUUUUUCAAAGCGUCGAGGACAAUGCUUAGUUUAGGUUUGGGGGUGUGGGAUUUUCGUUUGUUUUUAGUUCUGGUUAAAGUUUGCUUUUGCUUACUAAUGUGAAUGUAUAUGAGGGCUAUGGUUUACAAUGAGGACUACUGUGAUGUCAUGAAAAAGUUCAUAUCAUAUCUUUUUUUUUCAAAGCUGUUACUCUUGGAAUCAUGGUGGUUAAAGUAUCAUGCUCAAAUUCUAGAAGAAGAAUUGUGGAGACUACCCUAGUGAGUGAUUUUGAGCCUAUUUACUUCUUUGAGAGGGUUUAAAGUGUUUGUACUCCUAUCUUUUUGCUUCAAUGUCAUUUCAAAUUAUCUCAUUAUUUUUGUUUGAUUGAACGCUAAGAAUUGUUCGCUUUCACAGAUACCAUGUGUUUGGUAACAUUCAUGAAUGAAUUCAUUGAGACGAUGUUAGGCUAUGCAUGUCUUAACCACCAAAAGGCCUAAUUUCUUACCUUUAUGUGUGUGCCAUUACCCCAUUUUGAAGCCAAUCAUUUUUAGCCAUUUUCUUUUCUCACAUUUGUUUCCCCAUAUCCUUUUAUCUCAAUAUGAGAUAUUUAGCCCAUUACAGCUAUACCCUAUAGUUUGGGGAAUACCAAAGUGAUGAAGACAAAGAUAAUUCGAGCUCUACAUCAAGAAAGUGGUAUGUACCGAGGUAUGUGUGCUGGAAUUGUAGAAAAAAAGAAAGAAAAAAGAAACAAAGUUUUAGAAAAAGAAAAGAAAAGAAAAAGACUCAAAGAGGAUGUAAUUUCUAAAUUCUUCCAUUAUCGCACGGGUCCUGGAUGCCACGAACAAACAACAAAGAUCAAUUCAAGAGGAGAGCUUGCUGCUUUCACAAGGAAGACACUUUGGUAUGUCCCAAGCUUUAGUAUUUCCUAUCCUUUCUUUCAUAGCCCCUGACCUAAGCCUUACAUUACACACCUUGUGAAAGACCUAGCUGAUCUUUGGGGAUGUAUUCAUGGGUGCUGCUAAGUAUGCGUGCUAUCCAUAAUCUUAGUGUUUAAUUCCUUUCAUGAGAUAUGUCCAGAAAUUGUGCUUUUAUUUCAUAUCUCAUAUGUGUGGAUUUUGAUUCCCUUUUACAUAACUUCACUCACAUAUGUUUGAGGAGAGACCACACCUUAGGAUCUGAGUGAAAAUUUGAGUGCUAUCUGUGAGGACUAGAGUUGAGGCGAUUUCUAUCUUCGGCAUGAUGUGUAACUAAAUUCAUAGCUAGGGAUUUCGAUGUAGCCUUGCAACAUUGAUCCAUGUUUCUAAUUUAGAGUAUUCAGUUCAUCAAUCUGUUUCUUGUUUAAUUCACUGAAUCUAUUGUUCAAUUUGUUUGUCAAUUUUAAUGUUUGAUCACCAUUAGAGUUGCCUACAGAUUAUCUAGACAAGGUUAUAGUAAACAUCAUGCUUAAUCUUGUUAGACAUGUGAAUGAAUGAAGAGAAUGCUAUGCAAACAUCAUGCUGUGUAUUUUCUUUGGUUCUUUAACGUUUUCUUGCAUGCGAAUGACUCUUAACUUGGAACCAAAGUUGAACAUCCCAACUAGGUUGCAGAUUAGGAGAAUUUGAUUAAAACCACACAUCAUAUGGCUGAUCAUAUAUAUGAAAAACGAACUCUGGAAACAGGUUGGUAGUUGAGUACGGUUUAAUUUUAUAAACAUGGAAUUAGUUUUGCAAUGGUGAAUUCGAAAUCCCUUGUCUCUUCCCUAUUCUUUCUACAUCAAUAUAUUAUUCACUACUACAUUCUUUUUGCAUUGGAAGUUAUUUUUCAUUUACAACACAAAAACUACUUUCAAAUUGUCACUUUCAUUUUUAGUUAGGGUUCUUUCAAAACUAGUAAUUUAUAGAGGUCGAAUCGGUCCCUGUGGUUCGACACCCUUACUUGUACCAUUAUACUAACCAUAUAUUGGCACUUGGAAGGAACACAACAGAGGAUUCACUUGGUGGGUUUUGAGUGAAAUCCAAUCUCUACAACUGUGCAAUAUACCAAGCACUCCAUUUCGUAACGAACUUCAUACGAACCUGAAUUGUCCAAUUUCAUGGACCAAUCGAUAUUGUAUUGAGUCCAGAACUUGGGGAACAUAAUAAUACUGUGGGAGGAGUCAUUUGGUGGGUUUUGAGUGAAAUCCAAUCUCUACAACUAUGCAAUACACCAACCACUCCAUUUCAUAACGAACUUCGUACGAACCUGAAUUGUCCAAUUUCAUGGACCAAUCGAUAUCGGAUUGAGUCCAAAACUUGGCGAACAUCAUAAUAUGAUAGGAGGAGUAUUUGAUGAAUUUUGAGUGAAAUCCAAUGGCAAAAACUAUGCAAUACACUAACCACUCCAUUUCAGAAUGAACUUCGUACGAACCUGAAUUGUCCAAUUUCGUGGACCAGUCGAUAUCGGAUUGAGUCCGAAACUUGGGGAACAUCAUAAUAUGAUGGGAGGAGUCAUUUGGUGCAUUUUGAGUGAAAUCCAAUGGCCAACACUAUGCAACACACCAACCACUCCAUUUCAUAACGAAUUUCGUACGAACCUGAAUUGUCCAAUUUGAUAGACAAAUCGAUCUCGAAUUGAGUCCAAAACUUGGGGCACAUCAUAAUAUGAUGGGAGGAGUCAUUUGGUGACUUUUGAGUGAAAUCCAAUGGCUACAACAUUGCAAUACACUAACCACUCCAUUUCAGAACGAACUUCGUACGAACCAGAAUUGUCCAAUUUCACGGACCAAUCGAUAUCGAAUUGAGUCCAAAACUUGGGGAACAUCGUAAUAUGGUGGGAGAAGUCAUUUGGUGGGUUUUGAGUGAAAUCCAAACUCUACAACUACGCAAUACACCAACCCCACCAUUUCAUAAUGAUAUUGGACAAACCUGAAUUGUCCAAUUUCAUGGACCAAUCAAUAUCAGAUUGAUGGAAAAACUUGGGAAACAUCAUAAUACGAUGGUUGGAGUCAUUUGGUGACUUUUGAGUGAAAUCCAAUGGCUAAAACUUUGCAGUACACUAACCACUCCAUUUUAGAACGAACUUCGUACGAACCUGAAUUGUCCAAUUUCAUGGACCAAUCGAUAUCGGAUUGAGUCCGAAACUUAGGGAACAUCGUAAGAUGAUGAGAGGAGUCAUUUGGUGCCUUUUCAGUGAAAUCCAAUGGCUAAAACUAUGCAAUACACCAACCACUCCAUUUCAUAACGAACUUCGUACGAGCAUGAAUUGUCCAAUUUCAUGGACCAAUCGAUAUCGGCUUAAGCCCAAAACUUGGGGAACAUCAUACUGCGGUGGGAGGAGUCAUUUGGAGGGUUUUGAGUGAAAUUCAAUCACUACAACUAUGCAGUACACCAACCACUCCAUUUCAUAACGAACUUCGUACGAACCUGAAUUGUCCAAUUUCAUGAACCAAUCGAUAUCGGAUUAAGUCCAAAACUUGGGGCACAUCAUAAUGUGAUGGGAGGAGUCAUUUGGUGACUUUUGAGUGAAAUCCAAUGGCUAAAGCUAUGCAAUACACUAACCACUCCAUUUCAGAACGAACUUCGUACGAACCUGAAUUGUCCAAUUUCAUGGACCAAUCGAUAUUGGAUUGAGUCCAAAACUUGGGGAACAUCAUAAUAUGGUGGGAGAAGUCAUUUGGCGGGUUUUGAGUGAAAUCCAAUCUGUACAACUAUGUAACACACCAACCACUCCAUUUCAUAACGAACUUCGUACGAACAUGAAUUGUCCAAUUUCAUAGACCAAUCGAUAUCGAAUUGAGUCCAAAACUUGGGGAACAUCAAAAUAUGGUGGGGAGAAGUCAUUUGGUGGGUUUUGAGUGAAAUCCAAUCUCUACAACUACGCAAUACACCAACCCCACCAUUUCAUAACGAUAUCGGACGAACCUGAAUUGUCCAAUUUCAUGGACCAAUCAAUAUCAGAUUGAUGGCAAAACUUGGGAAACAUCAUAAUAUGAUGGUUGGAGUCAUUUGGUGACUUUUGAGUGAAAUCCAAUGGCUAAAACUUUGCAGUACACUAACCACUCCAUUUUAGAACGAACUUCGUACGAACCUGAAUUGUCCAAUUUCAUGGACCAAUCGAUUUCGGAUUGAGUCCGAAACUUAGGGAACAUCGUAAGAUGAUGAGAGGAGUCCUUUGGUGCCUUUUCAGUGAAAUCCAAUGGCUAAAACUAUGCAAUACACCAACCACUCCAUUUCAUAACGAACUUCGUACGAGCAUGAAUUGUCCAAUUUCAUGGACCAAUCGAUAUCGGCUUAAGCCCAAAACUUGGGGAACAUCAUAAUACGGUGGGAGGAGUCAUUUGGAGGGUUUUGAGUGAAAUUCAAUCUCUACAACUAUGCAGUACACCAACCACUCCAUUUCAUAACGAACUUCCUACGAACCUGAAUUGUCCCAUUUCAUGGACCAAUCGAUAUCGGAUUAAGUCCAAAACUUGGGGCACAUCAUAAUGUGAUGGGAGGAGUCAUUUGGUGACUUUUGAGUGAAAUCCAAUGGCUAAAGCUAUGCAAUACACUAACCACUCCAUUUCAGAACGAACUUCGUACGAACUUGAAUUGUCCAAUUUCAUGGACCAAUCGAUUUUGGAUUGAGUCCAAAACUUGGGGAACAUCAUAAUACGGUGGGAGGAGUCAUUUGGUGGCUUUUGAGUGAAAUCGAAUCGCUACAACUAUUCAAUACACCUACCACUCCAUUUCAUAACGAACUUCGUACGAACCUGAAUUGUCCAAUUUCAUAGACCAAUCGAUAUCGGAUUGAGUCCAAAGCUUGGGGAACAUCAUAAUACGGUGGGAGGAGUCAUUUGGUGGCUUUUGAGUGAAAUCCAAUCUCUACAACUAUGCAAUAUUCCAACCACUCCAUUUCAUAACAAACUUCGUACGAACCAGAAUUGUCCAAUUCCUUGGACCAAUCGAUAUCGGAUUGAGUCCAAAACUUGGGGAACAUCAUAAUACGGUGGGAGGAGUCAUUUGGUGGGUUUUCAGUGAAAUCCAAUCUCUACAACUGUGCAAUACACCAAGCACUGCAUUUCAUAACGAACUUCAUACGAACCUGAGUUGUCCAAUUUCAUGGACCAAUCGAUAUUGGAUUGAGUCCAAAACUUGGGGAACGUCAUAAUAUGAUGGGAGGAGUCAUUUGGUGACUUUUGAGUGAAAUCCAAUGGCAAAAACAAUGCAAUACACUAACCACUCCAUUUCAGAAUGAACCUCGUACGAACCUGAAUUGUCCAAUUUCAUGGACCAGUCGAUAUCGGAUUGAGUCCGAAAGUUCGGAACAUCAUAAUAUGAAGGGAGGAGUCAUUUGGUGCCUUUUGAGUGAAAUCCAAUGGCCAAAACUAUGCAAUACACCGACCACUCCAUUUCAAAACGAACUACGUACGAACCUGAAUUGUCCAAUUUCAUGGACCAAUCCAUAUCGGAUUGAGGCCAAAACUUGGGGAACAUCAUAAUAUGAUGGUUGGAGUCAUUUGGUGACUUUUGAGUGAAAUCCAAUUUCUACAACUAUGUAAUACACCAACCACUCUAUUUCAUAAUGAACUUCGGACGAACCUGAAUUGUCCAAUUUCAUGGUCCAAUCGAUAUCGGAUUAAGUCCAAAACUUGGGGCACAUCAUAAUAUGAUGGGAGGAGUCAUUUGCUAACUUUCGAGUGAAAUCCAAUGGCUAAAACUAUGCAAUACACUAACCACUCCAUAUUAGAACGAACUUCGUACGAACCUGAAUUGUUCGAUUUCGUGGACCAAUCGAUAUCGGAUUGAGUCCGAAACUUGGGGAACAUCACAAUAUUGUGGGAGGAGUCAUUUGGUGCCUUUCGAGUGAAAUCCAAUGGCCAAACUAUGCAAUACACGAACCACUACAUUUCAUAACGAACUUCGUACGAACCUGAAUUGUCCAAUUUCAUGGACCAAUCGAUAUCGAUUGAGUCCAAAACUUGGGGAACAUCAUAAUAUGAUGGGAGGAGUCAUUUGGUGACUUUUGAGUGAAAUCCAAUGGCAAAAACUGUGCAAUAAACUAACCAUUCCAUUUCAGAUUGAACUUCGUACGAACUUGAAUUGUCCAAUUUCAUGGACCAGUCGAUAUCGGAUUGAGUCCGAAAGUCGGGGAACAUCAUAAUAUGAAGGGAGGAGUCAUCUGGUGCCUUUUGAGUGAAAUCCAAUGGCCAAAACAAUGCAAUACACCGACCACUCCAUUUCAUAACGAACUACGUACGAACCUGAAUUGUCCAAUUUCAUGGACCAAUCGAUAUCGAAUUGAGUCCAAAACUUGGGGCACAUCAUAAUAUGAUGGGAGGAGUCAUUUGCUGACUUUUGAGUGAAAUCCAAUGGCAAAAACUAUGUAAUACACCAACCACUCCAUUUCAUAACGAACUUCGGACGAACCUGAAUUGUCCAAUUUCAUGGACCAAUCGAUAUCGGACUGAGUCCAAAACUUGGGGCACAUCAUAAUAUGAUGGGAGGAGUCAUUUGCUGACUUUCGAGUGAAAUCCAAUGGCUAAAACUAUGCAAUACACUAACCACUCCAUUUCAGAACGAACUUCGUACUAACCUUAAUUGUUCGAUUUCGUGGACCAAUCGAUAUCGGAUUGAGUCCGAAACUUGGGGAACAUCGCAAUAUUAUGGGAGGAGUCAUUUGGUGCCUUUUGAGUGAAAUCCAAUGGUCAAAACUAUGCAAUACACCAACCACUACAUUUCAUAACGAACUUCGUACGAACCUGAAUUGUCCAAUUUCAUGGACCAAUCGAUAUCGAAUUGAGUCCAAAACUUGGGGCACAUCAUAAUAUGAUGGGAGGAGUCAUUUGCUGACUUUUGAGUGAAAUCCAAUGGCAAAAACUAUGCAAUACACUAACCACUCCAUUUCAGAACGAACUUCGUACGAACCUGAAUUGUCCAAUUUCAUGGACCAAUCGAUAUCGGAUUGAGUCCAAAACUUGGGGAACAUCAUAAUAUGAUGGGAGGAGUCAUUUGGUGACUUUUGAGUGAAAUCCAACGGCAAAAACUAUGCAAUACACUAACCAUUCCAUUUCAUAAUGAACUUCGUACGACCUGAAUUUUCCAAUUUCAUGGACUAGUCGAUAUCGGAUUGAGUCGGAAACUUCGGGAACAUCAUAAUAUGAUGGGAGGAGUCAUUUCGUGCCUUUUGAGUGAAAUCCAAUGGCCAAAACUAUGCAAUACACCGACCACUCCAUUUCAUAACGAACUACGUUCGAAUCUGAAUUGUCCAAUUUCUUGGACCAAUCGAUAUCGGAUUGAGUCCAAAACUUAGGGAACAUCAUAAUACGGUGGGAGGAGUCAUUUGGUGGGUUUUGAGUGAAAUCCAAUCUCUACAACUGUGCAAUACACCAAGCACUGCAUUUCAUAACGAACAUCAUACGAACCUGAAUUGUCCAAUUUCAUGGACCAAUCGAUAUUGGAUUGAGUCCAAAACUUGGGGAACGUUAUAAUAUGAUGGGUGGAGUCAUUUGGUGACUUUUGAGUGAAAUCCAAUGGCAAAAACUAUGCAAUACACUAACCACUCCAUUUCAGAAUGAACUUCGUACGAACCUGAAUUGUCCAAUUUCGUGGACCAGUCGAUAUCGGAUUGAGUCCGAAACUUGGGGAACAUCAUAAUAUGAUGGGAGGAGUCAUUUGGUGCAUUUUGAGUGAAUCCAACGGCCAACACUAUGCAACACACCAACCACUCAAUUUCAUAACGAACUUCGUACGAACCUGAAUUGUCCAAUUUGAUAGACAAAUCGAUAUCGAAUUGAGUCCAAAACUUGGGGCACAUCAUAGUAUGAUGGGAGGAGUCAUUUGGUGCCUUUUGAGUGAAAUCCAAUGGCAAAAACUGUGCAAUACACUAACCAUUCCAUUUCAGAAUGAACUUCGUACGAACCUGAAUUGUCCAAUUUCAUGGACCAGUCAAUAUCGGAUUGUGUCCGAAAGUCGGGGAACAUCAUAAUAUGAAGGGAGGAGUCAUCUGGUGCCUUUUGAGUGAAAUCCAAUGGCCAAAACUAUGCAAUACCCCAACCACUACAUUUCAUCACGAACUUCGUACGAACCUGAAUUGUCCAAUUUCAUGGACCAAUCGAUAUCGGAUUGAGUCCAAAACUUGGGGAACAUCAUAAUAUCAUGGGAGGAGUCAUUUGGUGACUUUUGAGUGAAAUCCAAUGGCAAAAACUAUGCAAUACACUAACCAUUCCAUUUCAUAAUGAACUUCGUACGACCUGAAUUUUCCAAUUUCAUGGACUAGUCGAUAUCGGAUUGAGUCCGAAACUUGGGGAACAUCAUAAUAUGAUGGGAGGAGUCAUUUCGUGCCUUUUGAGUGAAAUCCAAUGGCCAAAACUAUGCAAUCCACCAACCACUCCAUUUCAUAACGAACUUCGUACGAACCUGAAUUGUCCAAUUUCAUGGGCCAAUCGAUAUCGGAUUGAGGCCCAAACUUGGGGAACAUCAUAAUAUGAUGGUUGGAGUCAUUUGGUGACUUUUGAGUGAAAUCCAAUCUCUACAACUAUGCAAUACACCAACCACUCCAUUUCAUAACGAACUUCGGACGAACCUGAAUUGUCCAAUUUCAUGGACCAAUCGAUAUCGAAUUGAGUCCAAAACUUGGGGCACAUCAUAAUAUGAUGGGAGGAGUCAUUUGCUGACUUUUGAGUGAAAUCCAAUGGCAAAAACUAUGCAAUACACUAACCAUUCCAUUUCAGAACGAACUUCGUACGAACCUGAAUUGUCCAAUUUCGCGGACCAAUUGAUAUCGGAUUGAGUCCAAAACUUGGGGAGCAUCAUAAUACGGUGGGAGGAAUCAUUGGGUGGCUUUUGAUUGAAAUCCAAUCUCUACAACUAUGCAAUACACCCACCGCUCCAUUUCAUAACGAACUUCGUACGAACCUGAAUUGUUCAAUUUUAUGGACCAAUCGGUAUCGGAUUGAGUCCAAAACUUAGGGAUCAUCAUAAUACGGUGGGAGGAGUCAUUUGGUGGAUUUGAGUGAAAUCCAAUCUGUACAACUAUGUAACACACCAACCACUCCAUUUCAUAACGAACUUCGUACGAACAUGAAUUGUCCAAUUUCAUGGACCAAUCGAUAUCGGAUUGAGUCCAAAACUUGGGGAACAUCGUAAUACGGUGGGAGGAGUCAUUCUGGUGCCUUUGAGUGAAAUCCAAUCUCUACAACUGUGCAAUACACCAAGCACUCCAUUUCAUAACGAACUUCAUGCGAACCUGAAUUGUCCGAUUUCAUGGACCAAUCGAUAUUGGAUUGAGUCCAAAACUUGGGGAACAUCAUAAUAUGAUGGGUGGAGUCAUUUGGUGUCUUUUGAGUGAAAUCCUAUGGCUAAAACUAUGCAAUACACCAACCACUCUAUUUCAGAACGAACUUCGUUCGAACCUGAAUUGUCCAAUUUCAUGGACCAAUCGAUAUCGGAAUGAGUCCAAAACUUGGGGAACAUCAUAAUACGAUAGUUGGAGUCAUUUGGUGACUUUUGAGUGAAAUCCAAUCUCUACAACUAUGCAACACACCAACCACUCCAUUUCAUAACGAACUUCGUACGAACCUGAAUUGUCUAAUUUCACGGACCAAUCAAUAUCGGAUAGAGUCCAAAACUUGGGGAACAUCAUAAUACGGUGGGAGGAGUCAUUUGGCGGGUUUUGAGUGAAAUCCAAUCUCUGCAACUAUGCAAUACACCAACCACUCUAUUUCAUAACGAACUUCGUACGAACCUGAAUUGUUCAAUUUCAUGAACAAAUCGAUAUCGGAUUGAGUCCAAAACAUGGGGAACACCAUAAUAUGAUGGGAGGAGUCAUUUGGUGACUUUUGAGUGAAAUCCAAUGGCUAAAACUAUGCAAGACACUAACCACUCCAUUUUAGAAUGAACUUUGUAUGAACCUGAAUUGUCCAAUUUCAUGGACCAAUCGAUAUCGGAUUGAGUCCAAAACUUGGGGGGCAUAAUAAUACGGUGGGACGAGUCAUUUGGUGGGUUUUGAGUGAAAUCCAAUCUCUACAACUGUGCAAUACACCAACCACUCCAUUUCAGAACGAACUUCGUACGAACCUGAAUUGUCCAAUUUCUUGGACCAAUCGAUAUCGGAUUGAGUCCAAAACUUGGGGAACAUCGUAAUACGGUGGGAGGAGUCAUUUGGUGCCUUUUGAGUGAAAUCCAAUCUCUACAACUGUGCAAUAGACCAAGCACUCUAUUUCAUAACGAAAUUCAUGCGAACCUGAAUUGUCCGAUUUCAUGGACAAAACGAUAUUGGAUUGAGUCCAAAACUUGGGGAACAUCAUAAUAUGAUGGGAGGAGUCGUUUGGUGUCUUUUGAGUGAACUCCUAUGGCUAAAACUAUGCAAUACACCAACCACUCUAUUUCAGAACGAACUUCGUACGAACCUGAAUUGUCCAAUUUCUUGGACCAAUCGAUAUCGGAUUGAGUCCAAAACUUGAGGCACAUCAAAAUAUGAUGGGAGGAGUCAUUUGCUGACUUUUGAGUGAAAUCCAAUGGCAAAAACUAUGCAAUACACUAACCACUCCAUUUCAGAACGAACUUGGUAUGAACCUGAAUUGUCCAAUUUCGCAGACCAAUCGAUAUCGGAUUGAGGCCAAAACUUGGGGCACAUCAUAAUACGAUGGUUGGAGUCAUUUGGUCACUUUUGAGUGAAAUCCAAUCUCCACAACUAUGCAAUACACCAACCACCCCAUUUCAUAACGAACUUCGUACGGCCCUGAAUUGUCCAAUUUCAACGACCAAUCAAUAUCGGAUUGAGUCCAAAACUUGGGGAACAUCAUAAUACGGUGGGAGGAGUCAUUUCGCGGGUUUUGAGUGAAAUCCAAUCUCUGCAACUAUGGAAUACAGCAACCACUCCAUUUCAUAACGAACUUCGUACGAACCUGAAUUGUUCAAUUUCAUGAACCAAUCGAUAUCGGAUUGAGUCCAAAACAUGGGGAACACCAUAAUAUGAUGGGAGGAGUCAUUUGGUGACUUUUGAGUGAAAUCCAAUGGCUAAAUCUAUGCAAGACACUAACCACUCCAUUUCAGAACGAACUUUGUAUGAACCUGAAUUGUCCAAUUUCAUGGACUAAUCGAUAUUGGAUUGAGUCCAAAACUUGGGGAGCAUGAUCAUACGGUGGGAGGAGUCAUUUGGUGACUUUUGAGUGAAAUCCAAUCUCUACAACUAUGCAAUACUCCAACCACUCCAUUUCAUAACGAACUUCGUACGAACCCGAAUUGUCCAAUUUCAUUGACCAAUCGAUAUCGGAUUGAGUCCAAAACUUGGGGAGCAUAAUAAUACGGUGGGACGAGUCAUUUGGUGGGUUUUGAGUGAAAUCCAAUCUCUACAACUGUGCAAUACACCAACCACUCCAUUUCGUAACGAACUUCGUCCGAACCUGAAUUGUCCAAUUUCACGGACCAAUCAAUAUUGGAUUGAGUCCAAACCUUGGGGAACAUCAUAAUACGGUGGGUGGAGUCAUUUGGCUGGUUUCGAGUGAAAUCCAAUCUCUGCAACUACGCAAUACACCAACCACUACAUUUCAAAACGAACUUCGGACGAACCUGAAUUGUCCAAUUUCGCGGACCAAUCGAUAUCGGAUUGAGUCCAAAACAUGGAUAACAUCAUAAUAUGAUGGGAGGACUCAUUUGGUAACUUUUGAGUGAAAUCCUAUGUCUAAAACUAUGCAAUACACCAACCACUCUAUUACAGAACGAACUUCGUACGAACCUGAAUUGUCCAAUUUAAUAGACCAAUCGAUAUCGGAUUGAGUCCAAAACUUGGGGAACAUCAUAAUAUGAUGGGAGGUGUCAUUUGGUAGCUUUUGAGUGAAAUUCAAUCUCUACAACUAUGCAAUACACUAACCUCUCCAUUUAAGAACGAACUUCGUACUAGCCUGAAUUGUCCAAUUUCAUGGACCAAUCGAUAUCAGAUUGAGUCCAAAACUUGGGGAACAUCAUAAUACGGUGGGAGGAGUCAUUUGGUGACUUUUGAGUGAACUCCUAUGGCCAAAACUAUGCAAUACACCAACCACUCUAUUUUAGAACGAACUUCGUACAAACCUGAAUUUUCCAAUUUCAUGGACCAAUCGAUAUCGGAUUGAGUCCAAAACUUGGGGAACAUCAGCAUACAGUGGGAGGAGUCAUUUGGUGUCUUUUGAGUGAACUCCUAUGGCUAAAACUUUGCAAUACAUAAACCACACUACUUCAGAACAAACUUCGUACGAACCUGGAUUUUCCAAUUCCAUGUACCAAUCGAUAUCGGAUUCAGUCCAAAACUUGGGGAACAUCAUAAUAUGAUGGGAGGAGUCAUUUGGGGACUUUUGAGUGAAAUCCAAUGGCUAAAACUUUGAAAUACGCAAACCAUUCCAUUUCAGAACUAACUUUGUAAGAACCUGAAUUAUAUAAUUUCAUGGACCAACCGAUAUCGGAUUGAGUCCAAAACUUGGGGAACAUCAUAAUAUGGUAGGAGGAGUCAUUUGGUGGCUUUUGAGUUAAAUCCAAUCUCUACAACUAUGCAAUACACAAACCACUCCAUUUCAGAACGAACUUCGUACGAACCUGAAUUGUCCAAUUUAAUGGACCAAUCGAUAUCGGAUUAAGUACAAAACCUGGGGAACAUCAUAAUACAGUGGGAGUUGUCAUUUGGUGGAUUUUGAGUAAAAUUCAAUCUCUACAACUAUGCAAUACACCAACCACUCCAUUUCAUGAUGAACUUCGUACGAACCCGAAUUGUCCAAUUUCAUGGACCAAUCGAACUAUGAUUGAGUCCAAAACUUGGGGAACAUCAUAAUAUGAUGGGAGGAGUCAUUUGGUGACUUUUGAGUGAAAUUCAAUGGCUAAAACUAUGCAAUACACUAACCACUCCAUUUUAGAGCGAACUUCGUACAAGCCUGAAUUGUCCAAUUUCAUGGACCAAUCGAUAUCGGAUUGACUCCAAAACUUGGGGCACAUCAUAAUAUGAUGGGAGGAGUCAUUUGCUGACUAUUGAGUGAAAUCCAAUGGCUAGAACUAUUCAAUACACUAACCACUCCAUUUCAGAACGAACUUCGUACGAACCUGAAUUGUCCGAUUUCGUGGACCAAUCGAUAUCGGAUUGAGUCCGAAACUUGGGGAACAUCAUAAUAUUAUGAGAGGAGUCAUUCGGUGCAUUUUGAGUGAAAUCCAAUCUCCAAAACUGUGCAAUACACCAACCACUCCAUUUCGUAACGAACUUCGUAUGAACCUGAAUUGGCCAAUUUCAUAGACCAAUCGAUAUCGGACUGAGUCCAAAACUUGGGGCACAUCAUAAUAUGAUGGGAGGAGUCAUUUGGUGCCUUUUGAGUGAAAUCCAAUGGCGAAAAUUAUGCAAUACACCAACCACUCCAUUUCAUAACGAACUUCGUACGAACCUGAAUUGGCCAAUUUCAUGGCCCAAUUGAUAUCGGAUUGUGGCCAAAACUUGGGGAACGUCAUAAUAUGAUGGUUGGAGGCAUUUGGUGACUUUUGAGUGAAAUCCAAUCCCUACAACUAUGCAAUACACCAACCACUCCAUUUCUUGGCGAACUUCGUACGAACCUGAAUUGUCCAAUUUCAUGGACCAAUCGACAUCAGAUUGAACCCAAAAUUUGGGGAACAUCAUAUUAUGAUUGUUGGAGUCAUUUGGUGACUUUUGAGUGGAAUCCAAUGGCUAAAACUGUGCAAUACACUAACCACUCCGUUUCAGAACGAAGUUCGUACAAACCGGAAUUGUCCAAUUUCAUGGACCAAUCGAUAUAGGAUAGAGUCCAAACCGUGGGGAACAUCAUAAUACGGUGGGAGGAGUCAUUUGGUGGGUUUUGGUUGAAAUCCAAUCUCUACAAGUAUGCAAUAUACCAACCACUCCAUUUCAUGACGAACUUCGUACGAACUUCAAUUGUCCAAUUUCAUGGACCCAUCGAUAUCGGAUUGAGUCCCAAACCUGAGGAGCAUAAUAAUAUAAUGGGAGGAGUGAUUUGGUGACUUUUGAGUGAAAUCCAAAGACUAAAACGAUGCAUUACACUAACCACUCUAUUUAAGAGCGAACUUCGUACGAGCCUGGAUUGUCCAAUUUCAUGGACCAAUUGAUAUCGGAUUGACUCCAAAACUUGGGGAACAUCAUAAUACGGUGGGAGGAGUCAUUUGGUGGGUUUUGUGUGAAAUCCAAUCUCUAAAACUAUGCAAUACACCAACCGCUCCAUUUCAUAACGAACUUCGUACGUACCUGAAUUGUCCAAUUUCAUGGACCAAUCGAUAUCGGAUUGAGUCCAAAACUUGUGGAACAUCAUAAUAUGAUGCGAGGAGUCAUUUGGUGGCUUUUGAGUGAAAUCCAAUGGCUAAAACGAUGCAAUACACCAACCACUCCAUUUCAGAACGAACUUCGUACGAAGUUGAAAUUGUUCAAUUUCGUGGACCAAUCGAUAUCGGAUUUAGUCCAAAACUUGGGGAACGUCCUAAUACGGUGGGAGGAUUCAUUUGGUGUCUUUUGAGUGAAAUUCAAUGGCUAAAACUAUGCAAUACACCAACCACUCCAUUUCAUAAUGAACUUCGUACGAACCUGAAUUGUCCAAUUUGAUGGACCAAUUGAUAUCGGAUUGAGUCCAAUCCUUAGGGAACACCAUAAUACAGUGGGAGGAGUCAUUUGGUAUGUUUUGACUGAAAUCCAAUGGUUAAAACUAUUCAAUACACCAACCACUCCAUUUCAGAACUAACUUCGUACGAACCUGAAUUGUCCAAUUUCAUGGACCAACUGAUAUCGGAUUGAGUCCAAAACUUGGAGACAUCAUAAUACGGUUGGAGGAGUCAUUUGGUGGGUUUUGAGUGAAAUUCAAUCUCUACAACUAUGCAAUACACCAACCACUCCAUUUCAUAACGAACUUCGUAUGAACCUGAAUUGUCCAAUUUUCACGGACGAAUCGAUAUAGGAUUGAGUCCAAAAAUUGGGGAACAACAUAAUAUGAUGGUUGGAGUCAUUUGGUGACUUUUGAGUGAAAUCCAAGGGCUAAAACUAUGCACUACACUAACCACUCCAUUUGAGAACGAACUUUGAACGAACCUGAAUUGUCCAAUUUCAUGGACCAAUCGAUAUCGGAUAGAGUCCAAACCCUAGGGAACAUCAUAAUACGAUGGGAGGAGUCAUUUGGUUGCUUUUGAUUGAAAUCCAAACUCUACAACUAUGCAAUACACCAACGACUCUAUUUCAUGACGAACUUCGUACGAACCUCAAUUGUCCAAUUUCAUGGACCAAUCGAUAUCGGAUUGAGUCCAAAACUUGGGGAACAUCAGAAUACGGUGGGAGGAGUCAUUUGGUGGCUUUUGCGUGAAUUCCAAUGGGAAAAACUAUGCAAUACACCAACCACUCCAUUUUAGAACGAACUUCGUACGAACCUGUAUUGUCCAAUUUCAGGGACCAAUCGAUAUCGGAUUGAGUCCAAAACUCGGGGAACAUCAUAAUACGGUGGGAGGAGUCAUUUGGUGGCUUUUGAGUGAAAUCCAAUCACUACAACAAUGCAAUACCCCAAGUACUCCAUUUCAUAACGAACUUCGUACAAACCUGAAUUGUGCAAUUUCAUGGAUCAAUCGAUAUCGGUUUGAGUCCAAAACAAGGGGAACAUCAUAAUAUGACGGGAGGAGUCAUUUGGUGUCUUUUGAGUGAACUCCUAUGGCUAAAACUAUGCAAUACACCAACCACUCCAUUUCAGAAUGAACUUCGUACGAACUUGAAUUGUCCAAUUUCAUGGACCAAUCGAUAUCGGAUAGAGUCCAAACCGUGGGGAACAUCAUAAUACGGUGGGAGGAGUCAUUUGGUGGGUUUUGAUUGAAAUCCAAUCUCUACAACUAUGCAAUACACCAACCACACCAUUUCAUGACAAACUUCGUACGAACCUGAAUUGUCCAAUUUCAUAGACCAAUCGAUAUUGGAUUGAGUCCAAAACUUGGGGAACAUCAUAAUAUGAUGGGAGGAGUCAUUUUGUGACUUUUGAGUGAAAUCCAAUGGCUAAAACGAUGCAAUAUACUAACCACUCCAUUUUAGAGCGAACUUCGUACGAGCCUGAAUUGUCCAAUUUCAUGGACCAAUCGAUAUCGGAUUGACUCCAAAACUUGGGGAACAUCAUAAUAUGAUGGGUGGAUUCAUUUGAUGACUUUUGAGUGAAAUCCAGUGGCUAAAACUUUGAAAUGCAAAAACCAACCCAUUUCAGAACGAACUUCGAAUGAACAUGAAUUGUCCAAUAUCAUGGACCAAUCGAUAUCGGAUUGAGUACAAAACUUGGGGAACAUCAUACUACGGUGGGAGUUGUCAUUUGGUGGAUUUUGAGUGAAAUCCAAUCUCUACAACUAUGCAAUACACCAACCACUCCAUUUCAUGACGAACUUCGUACGAACUUGAAUUGUCCAAUUUCGUGGACCAAUCGAUAUCGGAUUGAAUCCAAAACUUGGGGAUCGUUCAUCAUACGGUGGGAGGAGUCUUUUGGUGGGUUUUGAGUGAAAUCAAAUAUCUAGAACUAUGCAAUACACCAACCACUCUAUUUCAUAACGAACUUCUUACGAACCUGAAUUGUCCAAUUUCAUGGACCAAUCGAUAUCGGAUUGAGUCCAAAUCUUGGGGAACAUCAUAAUACGGUGGGAGGAGUCAUUUGGUGUCUUUUCAGUGAAAUCCAACGGCUAAAACUAUUCAAUACACCAACCACUCCAUUUCAGAACGAACUUCAUACGAACCUAAAUUGUCCAAUUUCGUGGACCAAUCGAUAUCGGAUUGACUCCAAAACUUGGGGAACGUCCUAAUACAGUGGGAGGCAUCAUUUGGUGUCUUCUGAGUGAAAUCGAAUGGCUAAAAAUAUGCAAUACAGCAGCCACUCUAUUUCAGAACGAACUUCGUACGAAUUUGAAUUGUCCAAUUUCAUGGACCAAUCGAUAUCGGAUUGAGUGCAAAACGUGGGGAGCAUCAUACUAUGGUGGGUGGAGUCAUUUGGUGGCUUUUGAGUGAAAUCCAAUGGGAAAAAAGUAUGCAAUACACCAACCACUCCAUUGCAUAACGAACUUCGUACGAACCUGUAUUGUCCAAUUUCAUGGACCUAUCGAUAUCGGAUUUAGUCCAAAACUUGGGGAUGAUCAUAAUAUGGUGGGAGGAGUCAUUUCGUGGGUUUUGAGUGAAAUCCAAUCUCUACAACUAUGCAAUACACCAACCACCCUAUUUCGUAAUGAACUUCAUGCGAACCUGAAUUGUCCAAUUUCAUGGACCAAUCGAUAUCGGAUUGAGUCCAAAACUUGGGGAACAUCAUAAUAUGAUGGCAGGAGUCAUUUGGUGACUUUUGAGUGAAAUCCAAUGGCUAAAACUAUGCAAUACACUAACCACUCCAUUUCAUAACGAACUUCCUACGAACCUGAAUUGUGCAAUUUCAUGGACCAAUCGAUAUCGGAUAGAUUCCAAAAGUUAAGGAACAUCAUAAGACAUUGGGAGGAGUCAUUUGGUGCCUUUUGACUAAAAUCCAAUGGCAAAAACUAUGCAAUACACCAACCACUUCAUUUCGUAACGAACUUCAUACGAACCUGAAUUGCCCAAUUUCGUGGACCAAUCGAUAUCGGAUUGACUCCAAAACUUGGGGAACGUCCUAAUACAGUGGGAGGCGUCAUUUGGUGUCUUUUGAGUGAAAUCCAAUGGCUAAAACUAUGCAAUACAGCAGCCACUCCAUUUCAGAAUAAACUUCGUACGAACUUGAAUUGUCCAAUUUCAAGGACCAAUCGAUAUCGGAUUGAGUCCAAAACGUGGGGAGCAUCAUACUAUGAUGGGUGGAGUCAUUUGGUGGCUUUUGAGUGAAAUUCAAUGGGAAAAAAGUAUGCAAUACACCAACCACUCCAUUGCAUGACGAACUUCGUACGAACCUGUAUUGUCCAAUUUCAUGGACCAAUCGAUAUCGGAUUUAGUCCAAAACUUGGGGAUCAUCAUAAUAAGGUGGGAGGAGUCAUUUCGUUGGUUUUGAGUGAAAUCCAAUCUCUACAACUAUGCAAUACACCAACCACCCUAUUUCGUAAUGAACUUCGUGCGAACCUGAAUUGUCUAAUUUCAUGGACCAAUCGAUAUCGGAUUGAGUCCAAAACUUGGGGAACAUCAUAAUACAAUGGGAGAAGUCAUUUGGUGACUUUUGAGUGAAAUCCAAUGGCUAAAAUUGUGCAAUACACUAACCACUCCAUUUCAGAACGAAUUUCCUACGAACCUGAAUUGUCCAAUUUCAUGGACCAAUCGAUAUCGGAUUGAGUCCAAAACUUAAGGAACAUCAUAAGACGGUGAGAGGAGUCAUUUGGUGGGUGUUGAGUGAAAUCCAAUCUCUACAACUAUGCAAUACACCAACCACUCCAUUUCAUAACGAACUUCGUACGAACCUGAAUUGUCCAAUUUGUUGGACCAAUCUAUAUCGGAUUAAGCCCAAAACUUGGGGAUCAUCAUCAUACGGUGGGAGGAGUCAUUUGGUGGAUUUUGAGUGAAAUCCAAUAUCUAGAACUAUGCAAUACACCAACCACUCCAUUUCAUAAUGAACUUCGUACAAACCUGAAUUGUCCAAUUUCAUGGACCAAUCGAUAUCGGAUUGAGUCCAAAACUUGGGGAACGUCCUAAUACAGUGGGAGGAGUCAUUUGGUGUCUUUUGAGUGAAAUCCUACGGCUAAAACUAUGCAACAAACCAACCACUUCAUUGCAGAACGAACUUCGUACGAACCUAAAUUGUCCAAUUUCGUGGACCAAUCGAUAUCGGAUUGAGUCCAAAACUUGGGGAACGUCAUAAUAUGAUGGGAGAAGUCAUUUGUUGACUUUUGAGUGAAAUCCAAUGGCUAAAACUAUGCAAUACACUAACCACUCCAUUUCAGAACGAACUUCGUACUUACUUGAAUUGUCCAAUUUCAAGGACCAAUCGAUAUCGGAUUGAGUACGAAAGUUGGGGAACAUCAAAAUACGGUGGGAGGAGUCAUUUGGCGGGUUUUGCGUGAAAUCCAAUCUCUACAACUAGUAAUACUCCAACCACUCCAAUUCAUAAUGAACUUCUUACGAACCUGAAUUGUCCAAUUUCAUGGACCAAUCGAUAUCAGAUUGAGUCCAAAGCUUGGGGAACAUCAUAAUACGGUGGGAGGAGUCAUUUGGUGUCUUUUGACUGAAAUCCAAUGGCUAAAACUAUGCAAUACACCAACCACUCCAUUUCAGAACGAACUUCGUACGAACCUGAAUUGUCCACUUUUAAGGACCAAUCGAUAUCGGAUUGAGUCCAAAACUUUGGGAACAUCAUAAUACUGUGGGAGGAUUCAUUUGGUUCGUUUUGAGUGAAAUCCAAGCUCUACAACUAUGCAAUACACCAACAACUCCAUUUCAGAACGAACUUCGUACCAACCUAAAUUGUCCAAUUCCAUGGACCAAUCGAUAUCAGAUUGAGUCCAAAACUUAGGGAACAUCAUAAUACGGUGGGAGGAGUCAUUUGGUGGGUUUUGAGUGAAAUCCAAUCUCUACAACUAUGCAACACACCAACCACUCCAUUGCAUAACGAACUUCGUACGAACCAGAAUUGUCCAAUUUCAUGGACCAAUCCAUAUCGGAUUGAGUCCAAAACUUGGGGAACAUAAUAAUAUGAUGGGAGGAGUCAUGUGGUGUCCUUUGACUGAAAUCCAAUGGCUAAAACUAUGCAAUACACCAACCACUCUAUUUCAGAACGAACUUCGUACGAACCUGAAUUGUCCAAUUUCAAGGACCAAUCGAUAUCGGAGUGAGUGUAAAACUUAGGGAACAUCGUAAAAUGGUGGGAGGAGUCGUUUGGUGGGUUUUGAGUGAAACAAAAUCUCUACAACCAUGCAAUACACCAACCACCCUAUUGACCAAUCGAUAUUGGAUUGUGUCCAAAACUUGGGGAACAUCAUAAUAUGGUGGGAGGAGUCAUUUGGUGACUUUUGAGUGAAAUCUAACGGCUAAAACUAUGCAAUACACGAACGACUCCAUUUCAGAACGAACUUCGUAUGAAUUUGAAUUGUCCAAUUUUAAGGACCAAUCGAUAUCAGAUUAAUUCCAAAACUGCGGGACAUCAUAAUAUAUGGUGGGAGAAGUCAUUUGGUGACUUUUGAGUGAAAUCCAAUGGCUAAAACUACGCAAUACACCGACCAAUCCAUUUCGUAACGAACUUCAUACGAACCUGGAUUCACCAAUUUCAUGGAACAAUCGACAUCGAAUUGAGUCUAGAACUUGGGGAACGUCCUAACACGGCGGGAGGAGUCAUUUGGUGUCUUUUGAGUGAAAUUCAAUGGCUAAAACUAUGCAAUACACCAACCACUCCAUUUCAUAAUGAACUUCGUACGAACCUGAAUUGUCCAAUUUGAUGGACCAAUCGAUAUCGGAUUGAGUCCAGAAGUUGGGGAACGUCCUAAUACGGUGGGAGGAGUCAUUUGGUGUCUUUUGAGGGAAAUCCAAUUUCUAAAACUGUGCAAUACACCAACCACUCCAUUUCAUAAUGAACUUCGUACGAACCUGAAUUGUCCAAUUUGAUGGACCAAUCGAUAUCGAAUUAAGUCCAAACCUUGGGGAACAUCAUAAUACAGUGGGAGGAGUCAUUUGGUAUCUUUUGACUGAAAUCCAAUGGCUAAAACUGUGCAAUACACCAACCAAUCCAUUUCAGAAUGAACUUCUUACGAACCUGAACUAUCCAAUUUCAUGGACCAAUCGAUAACGGAUUGAGUCCAAAACUUGGGGAACAUCAUAAUACGGUGGGAGGAGUCAUUUGGUUGGGUUUGAGUGAAAUCCAAUCUCUAAAACUAUGCAAUACACCAACCACUCCAUUUCAGAACGAACUUCGUACGAACUUGAAUUGUCCAAUUUCAUGGACCAAUCGAUAUCGGAUUGAGUCCAAAACGUGGGGAGCAUCAUACUAUGGUGGGUGGAGUCAUUUGGUGGCUUUUGAGUGAAAUCCAAUGGGAAAAAAGUAUGCAAUACACCAACCACUCCAUUGCAUAACGAACUUCGUACUGUCCAAUUUGAUGGACCAAUCGAUAUCGGAUUUAGUCCAAAACUUGGGGAUCAUCAUAAUACGGUGGGAGGAGUCAUUUGGUGACUUUUGAGUGAAAUCCACUGGCUAAAACUAUGCAAUACACCAACCACCCUAUUUUGAAACGAACUUCGUGCGAACCUGAAUUGUCCAAUUUCAUGGACCAAUCGAUAUCGGAUUGAGUCCAAAAGUUGGGGAACAUCAUAAUACGAUGGGAGGAGUCAUUUGGUGACUUUUGAGUGAAAUCCAAUGGCUAAAGCUAUGCAAUACACUAACCACUCCAUUUCAUAACGAACUUCCUACGAACUUGAAUUGUGCAAUUUCAUGGACCAAUCGAUAUCGGAUAGAUUCCAAAAGUUAAGGAACAUCAUAAGACAGUGGGAGGAGUCAUUUGGUGGGUUUUGAGUGAAAUCCAAUGACAGGACCCGAAUUAAAUUCCGCUUUGGAAUUUGAGUCGAACCCUGUGCGUGUCCGACACUUGGCAAAUGUCGAGCACGAAAGACCUAUUUGCCCUUUUUCUUAAAAUUUUGACUUGGACUUCGAAAAAUUUCGGCAGAGUCUCCCCUAAAUUUCGUUCAAUCCAAAACUUACACUUGUCAUAACGAGCAUAAUCAUCCAAACAACCAACAGCCAGCACUUCAAUAAACAUGCUAAAAGUUCCAUUCUCACUCUAGGGCAAUAUAUCAGAGCAAUUUUGAUAGCUUACGGAUUACUUAAUUGGUUUGCAUACCAACAUUUUUGAACUAGAAGGCGCGGAAGUCACGAUGGCCUGGUGGUGGGUGUCUUGUGCACGCUACAGCCUGGGGCCGCAAAACAGUUGAAAGUGUGAGUGGACCAAAAAUAAAGGUUCAUAAAAUAUCUAAGAAUAUACUAACCCCCGAUGUAAAAAUAAGGAAAUAAAUUCAAACACGUAUUCUGCAUUUAAAGCAUACUAAACUCAAGGCAUUAUAUGUAAAUCAUAUUCGAACUCGAUACUUCUCGCAUAAAAACAAUGAAAUCAACUACAGUUGAGUAAAACUGAAUAUCUAAACUAUCUUGGAAACAUAUGAAAGUCAACGCAGUUACAUAUUUAUAGAAAUAUAUGCAAUCGCUUUCAAGAGCAAUAAAACUUGCAUGAAAGCAUUGAAAUCCAAUUUGGAUAAAAGUGCUGAAAUCAAACCUGCAAUAAAGCAAUGUACUCAAAACUUGAAUUAAAGCACUGCAAUUAAUCAAAACUACCACUCGGAUGUACCCCUGUAAUUCCGUCAAUUUCCCUGGCAGGUCUCGGCGACACACAGUCUAUCCGAGCAGCAAAUCCUGGCAGGAUACAGGGGACUAUAGUUAGCCUGAUCCGCUGGCAGGUCUCGGUGACACAAAGUCAACUCGAGCUGCUCUGGCAGGAUUCAGGGGACCGUAGUCAGCCUGAUUCGCAAUCCUGGCAGGUCUCGGGGACACGAAGUCAGCCGAGCCACAAAUCCUGGCAGGUCUCGGGACACCAAGUCUGCCGAGCCGCAAAUCUUGGCAGGUCUCGGGACACCAAGUCUGCCGAGCCACAAAUCCUGGCACUCACGGUCCGAGCGUCCCCGAAACUCGUGAGGCAAUGUCAAGUGCACUGACAGAGCUGUAAAUAGACUGGAUGUCCGUAGACAUCGGUCCAUCUGAGGGUAAUCACCAUAACUGGGUACACACGGUGGUUAAAAAUAAAUAUUUUAGAAAAAUCUGAUAAAUCACUGUAUUUGGCAAGUCUGAAACUAAGCUGCUAUUUUCUCUGAUAUAAAUCUCAACUCUGCUUUCUGUCACUUUCUACCAUGUUCAACUAAGCAGCAUAGAAAUAAAGAUAUUUGACGGCACAAAUCAUGCUCGGAAAACAUUUGGUAAAACUUAUUCAAAAUCAAAUAAUGAAAUUUACUCAUAUAAACUCAUUUAUAAAAACUUAUUUAUAUAAAAUCAAUAUAAAAUCAUUUAUGUAAACUCAUUUAUAUAAAGCAUUUAUAUAACUCAUUUAUAUAAAAUCUUUUAUGAAAGAAAGUCCACUCACUCCUGGUCCGAGCUCGCUAGACCUCCUGACGGUCUCUCUUGCGGGCCUGUCUGGUCCCGGGUGCCUGGGUAAACCAUCAUGCAUGUUUGAUUAAUAAAACUGCUCGGUAACUUUUUAAGUAAAACUCUGACCCCCGACUUCUAGAAGUGCGUGCACUAACUUUAAAGUCAUUUUCCUGCCCACUUAGGUAUUUCAGGUAUUUACAAUCGUCUGAAAAGACUCAAGACUUCAUUAAGCGAUAAACUUCCACCUUGGUCGAGGCGGAACCCCGUGGGGUCCACGACCUCCAAUGACCAAUCUGAGAGUUCCUUUAAGUUCCUCACGUUUAAGGAACCAUAUCCUGCAAGUUUGUCUGAAACUGACGAUCGGAUUGAGAACGAUCGUGAAAUCAUAAAAUUUCCAAACCCUAGCCUCAGGGUUCGCGAUUUCGGAGUAUCCGGGACUCCGAUUCACGAUCCGUCGAAUCCUACACGAUUCUGAAAUUAUAUGGAACAACAUAUCCGAAAUUGAGCGCGAUCCAACGGUUCGGCAAUAUUGAACCCGAAAAUCGCACAAUAUGGAAAAUCUAUUCGGGGCUCAAACGGAAUCCAAAUUGAGAUCCGCGAAAUCCUAUGCGCUCGUGAUAACAUAAGGAUCGCAACAAGACACAGUGCCACUGCACUACCCUCACCCACGCGCCCCAGCACGCGCCGGCAGCGAUGGGUGUCUAAAGCGAUUUCGGCUCGCCGGAAAAACUUCAAAUCACGGCUCCAAACUCCUACCCUAGGUAAAACACCAUAUUUGGAGCCACUUUUGUUCUUGGACCUACCCUAAAAAGUGGCCGGAAGUGGCCGAACACACCAACCACUCCAUUAAGAACGAACUUCGUACGAACCUGAAUUGUCCAAUUUCAUGGACCAAUCGAUAUCCGAUUGAGUCCAAACCUUGGGGAAUGUCAUAAUACAGUGGGAGGAGUCAUUUGGUGUCUUUUGACUGAAAUCCAAUGGCUAAAACUAUGCAAUACACCAACCACUCCAUUUCAUAACGAACUUCGUACGAACCUGAAUUGUCCAAUUUCAUGGACCAAUCGAUAUCGGAUUGAGUCCAAACCUUGGGGAAUGUCAUAAUACGGUGGGCGGAGUCAUUUGGUGUCUUUUGACUGAAAUCCAGUGGCUAAAACUAUGCAAUAAACCAACCACUCCAUUUCAGAAAGAACUUCGUACGAACCUGAACUGUCCAAUUUCAUGGACCAAUCGAUAUCGAACUAAGUCCAAAACUUGGGAAACAUCAUAAUACGGUGGGAGGAGUCAUUUGGUGGGUUUUGAGUGAAAUCCAAUCAGUAAAACUAUGCAAUACACCAACCGCUCCAUUUCAGAAAGAACUUCGUACGAACCUGAAUUGUCCAAUUUCAUGGACCAAUCGAUAUCGGAUUGAGUCAAAAACUUGGGAAACAACAUAAUUCGAUGGGAGGAGUCAUUUGGGGUCUUUUGACUGAAAUCCAAUGGCUAAAACUAUGCAAUACACCAACCACUCCAUUUCAUAACGAACUUCGGACGAACCUGAAUUGUCCAAUUUCAUGGACCAAUUGAUAUCGGAUUGACUCCAAAACCUGGCGAACGUCCUAAUACGGUGGGAGGAGUCAUUUGGGGUCUUUUGACUGAAAUCCAAUGGCUAAAACUAUGCAAUACACCAACCACUCCAUUUCAUAACGAACUUCGUACGAACCUGAAUUGUCCAAUUUCAUGGACCAAUCGAUAUCGGAUUGUGUCCGAAACUUAGGGAACAUCAUAAUAUGAUGGGAGGAGUCAUUUGGUUCCUUUUGAGUGAAAUACAGUUGCUAAAACUAUGCAAUACACUAACCACUCAAUUUCAUGGACCAAUCGAUAUCGGAUUGUCCAAUUUCAUGCACCAAUCGAUAUCGGAUUGACUCCAAAACUUUGGGAACGUCCUAAUACGGUUGGAGGCGUCAUUUGGUGUCUUUUGAGCGAAAUCCAAUGGCUAAAACUAUGCAAUACAGCAACCACUCCAUUUCAAAACAAACAUCGUUCGAACUUGAAUUGUCCAAUUUCAUGGACCAAUCGAUAUCGGAUUGAGUCCAAAACGUGGGGAGCAUCCUACUAUGGUGGGUGGAGUCAUUUGGUGGCUUUUGAGUGAAAUCCAAUGGGAAAAAAGUAUGUAAUACACCAACCACUCCAUUUGAUAACGAACUUCGUACGAACCUGUGCUGUCCAAUUUGUUGGAGCAAUCGAUAUCGGAUUUAGUCCAAAACUUGGGGAUCAUCAUAAUACGGUGGGAUGAGUCAUUUCGUGAGUUUUGAGUGAAUUCCAAUCUCUCCAACUAUGCAAUACACCAACCACCCUAUUUCAUAACGAACUUCGUGCGAACCUGAAUUGUCCAAUUUCAUGGACCAAUCGAUAUCGGAUUGAGUCCAAAACUUGGGGAACAUCAUAAUACGAUGGGAGGAGUCAUUUGGUGACUUUUGAGUGAAAUCCAAUGGCAAAAACUAUGCAGUACACCAACCACUCUAUUUCAGAACGAACUUCGUACGAACCUGAAUUGUCCAAUUUCAUGGACCAAUCAAUAUCGGAUUGAGUCCAAAACUUGGGGAACAUCAUAAUACGAUGGCAGGAGUCAUUUGAUCACUUUUGAGUGAAAUCCAAUGGCUAAAACUAUGCAAUACACUAAACACGCCAUUUCAGAACGAACUUCCUACGAACCUGAAGUGUCCAAUUUCAUGGACCAAUCGAUAUCGGAUUGAGUCCAAAACUUGGGGAAUAUCAGAAUACGGUGGGAGGAGUCAUUUGGAGGGUUUUGAGUGAAAUCCAAUCUCUACAACGAUGCAAUACACCAACCACUCCAUUUCAUGACGAACUACGUACGAACCUGAAUUGUCCAAUUUCACGGACCAAUCGAUAUCGGAUUGAGUCCAAAAAUUAGGGAACAACAUAAUAUGAUGGUUGGAGUCAUUUGGUGACUUUUGGGUGAAAUCCAAUGGCUAAAACUAUGCAAUACACUAAACACUUCAUUUCAGAACGAACUUCGUACGAACCUGAAUUGUCCAAUUUCAUGGACCAAUCGAUAUCGGAUAGAAACCAAACCCUGGGGAACAUGAUAAUACGGUGGGAGGAGUCAAUUGGUGGGUUUUGAUUGAAAUCCAAUCUCUACAACUAUGCAAUACACCAACCACUCCAUUUGAGGGCGAACUUCGUACGAAGCUGAAUUGUCCAAUUUCAUGAACCAAUCGAUAUCGGAUUGAGUCCAAAACUUGGGGAACAUCAUACUACAGUGGGAGGAAUCACUUGGUGGGUUUUGAGUGAAAUCCAAUCUCUAAAACUAUGCAAUACACCAACCACUCCAUUUCGGAAAGAACUUCGUUGGAACUUGAAUUGUCCAAUUUCAUGGACCAAUCGAUGUCGGAUUGAGUUCAAAACUUGGGGAACAAGAUAAUACGGUGGGAGGAGUCAUUUGGUGUCUUUUGACUGAAAUCCAAUCUCUACAACUAUGCAAGACACCAACCACUCCAUUUCAUAACGAACUUCGUACGAACCUGAAUUGUCCAAUUUCAUCGACCAAACGAUAUCGGAUUCACCUCUUCGAUUGACAGGUGCGUAUAUUUCGAGGACGAAAUUUGUAUAAGGGGGGUAGGUUGUAAUGACCCAAACCUAAAAUUCAUAUUUAAUGAGUAAUUUAUUAUGCGGAAAGACAAUUUUGCCGUUUGACUAAAUUAUGAACUCAAAGUUGACUUUUUGACCGAAAAGGAAUUUGACAAUUCCACAUGCACCGUUGCGUAGAGCACGACGACACGAGUUCAUAGACACGAAGUGAGCUCAAAUCGGAGUUUUAACAAAGAAAAUACGAUUAAAAUAUCACCAGGGGCAAAAUGAUAAAUUGGAAAAUCAGAAUUUUUAUAUAACCUCACCUCUCUCUCUCUCUUUCUCUCUCCCCGAGCCCUCCUCCCUCUCUGUUUUCUUUCUCUCCCUCCCGUCGCCCUCCACUUGUUAGAGCCGCCACCACCGGCCAUUCCAAGCAGCAAGACCGGAGCCAAAACGACCGGCGUCGCGCCGCCACCACACCCAGCCCAGCCCGUUGCCAGCCGCUGCCGUCAGCCGCCGGAAACGGUGAAAAAACGAGUCGGUUUUGUCAAAUCUUCCAACCGCUCGUUCUCCUUCAAUUCUCUUCCAAAUUUGUCGAGUAAGGUAUGGUUUUCUAGCUAUUUUUCAUGCUCUAGCUGAUGGUUGGGUAGGUUUGCAUCGAUUUUGACCGUAGCUAGCUCAGUUUGUAAAUUGAAAUUCGGGCGACUUUCGGCCUCCGUGUUUGGCCACUUCCGGUCAGUUUUUGGGGUAGUUCCAAGAACAAAAGUGACUCCAAAUGGGGUGUUUUACCUAGGAUAGGAGUUUGGAGUCCUGGUUCCGAGAUUUUUCGACCACCCGAAAUCGCUUAAGACACCCAAAUCUGCCCGCGCGUGCUGGGGCGCGUGGGCGAGGGUGGUGAAGUAAUUUUGUACAGUUUUGUGACCCUCGUGUCGUCACGAGCGCGUAGGAUUUCGCGGAUCUCGAUUCGGAGUUCGUUUGAGCCCCGAACGGAUUUUUCAUAUCGCGUGAUCCUUGGGUGCAGUGUCGUCAAAUCGUUGGAUCACACUGAAUUUUGGAUAUGUCAGUCUACAUGAUUUCAGGAUCGUGUAGGAGUCGACGGAUUGCGAAUCGGAGUCCCGGAUACUCCGAAAUCGCGAACCCUAGGGCUAGGGUUUAGAACUUAUGCGAUUACACGAUCGUGAUUAAUCCGACCGUCCGAUUGACACCAAUACCCUCGGGACAUGUGUCCUAAAUAUAUUGGACCUUCUAGCGGCAUCCGGAUCAUAUUGUACCCGUGGGGUUCCGGAUUGACUUUUUGGGCUUUAGCGCUUUUGAGUCCCAAGAUACCGCUAAACGAUUCCACGUGGAAGGAAAGCUGUUAUGGGCAUAGGGAUCACUUUAAAUUGACGCACGUCCUUUUAGGAGCCGGGGGUAGGGUUUUUAAUUUAAUACUAUAUUGUAUUAAUAGAAUAUUAUGGUCAUUGAAUCAGGCACCCGGGCACCAGUUGACCCGCAGGAGGGACCUUCAAGAGGUCCAGCGAGUUCGGACUAUCAGUGAGUGGACUCUUUGUUUUCAUAAAUGAAUUUAAGCAGUUCAGUUUCAGUUAUCAGCUGUUUUAUUCUGUUAAAUAUUUUAUGUUGCAUGCUGCCGAGUGACAUUUCCUUUAAAGAAUAUAGGAACAGAUAUUCUUAUUUAUUAUCAGAUAAAUGGCAGCAGAAUUUUAAAGGUUACAGAAAGUUAAUUAUUCAACAGAUUUCCUUCAGAAACUUUAUAUUUUCUUAAAUCACUUUGUACCCAGUUAUUAAAUGUUGCCUUCGAUUUAUAUUUGUUGCCUUCGGUUUAGUCAGCAUGCUUGACAGUUGCCCCACGAGAUCCUUGGUACUCGAACUCGUGUGGAGCAAGUAAUGCGGAUAAAGGUGGACUACGGUCCCCUGAAUCCUGCGAGUUGCGGCUCGGACUGACUUCGUGUCACUGAGACAUGCGAGUAUGUGUCACCCAUGGUGAUGCAAGGAAUUGACGGAUAUAAGGAUUUGACGGAAAUAGGGGUACACCUAAGUGAUAGUUUUCAACUGUUUUCAAAUGUAGAGUUAUAUACAUGCAUUGAUUUCAGAAAUAAAGAAAAUAAGCUAGUUUGUAUAACUGUUUUUACAGUGGGGUUAGUAUGUUCAUAUAGUAUUUUCUAAACUUUGUUUUUGGGUCCACUCACCCUUCUUGUUGUUUUGCGCCCCCAGGCAGUAGACGUGCACAGGAAUCCACCACCGGGCCACUUCCCAUCUUCCGUGCCUUUCUUUGAUGUAGGAUUUGUAUUUUGUACAAAGAUUCACUCUUUUGUAAAUUCUUAGAAGUCGCUCUGAUAUUUUGCCCUAGACUGAGUUUUGAUCUCUUGGAAUGUAUAUAUACAUAUGCUGGCAGUUGGUUGUAUAUAUGUAUACUUGUUUGGCAGGUGUGAAUGUUUUGGUAUUGAGCCAGUUACAAGGGAAACUCUGCCGGUUUUUCGGUAGAAGUCAACCUUGUUAUUUUAUCGUGUUUUGUAUAGAAGGGCAAAUAGGUCUUUUGUGCACGACAUUUGCCAGGUGUCGGACAUGCACAGGGUCUGACUCGGAUUCCAAAGCGGAAUUUGGAUCGGGUCCUGUGAAAUCGUAUUCGGAUUGAGUCCAAAACUUGUGGAACAAGAUAAUAUGGUGGGAGGAGUCAUUUGGUGACUUUUGAGUGAAAUCCAAAGGCUAAAACUAUGCAAUACACUAACCACUCAUUUCAUAACGAACUUCGUACGAACCUGAAUUGUCCAAUUUCAUGGACCAAUCGAUAUCGGAUUGAGUCCAAAACUUGGGGAACAUCAUAAUACAAUGGGUGGAGUCAUUUGGCAGGUUCUGAGUGAAAUCCAACCUCUACAACUAUGCAAUACACCAACCACUCCAUUUCAUAACGAACUUCGUAUGAACCUGAAUUGUCCAAUUUCAUGGACCCAUCGAAAUCUGAUUGAGUCCAAAACUUGUGGAACAAGAUAAUAUGACGGGAGGAGUCAUUUGGUGACUUUUGAGUGAAAUCCAAUGGCUAAAACUAUGCAAUACACUAACCACUCCAUUUCAUAACGAAUUUUGUACGAACCUGAACUGUCCAAUUUCAUGGACCAAUCGAUAUCGGAUUGAGUCCACAACUUGGGGAAUAUCAUAACACUGUGGGAGGAGUCAUUUGGUGGCUUUUGAGAGAAAUCCAAUCUCUACAACUAUGCAAUACACAAACCACUCCAUUUCAUAACGAACUUCGUACGAACCUGAAUUGUCCAAUUUUAUGGACCAAUCGACAUUGGAUUGAGUCCAAAAUAUGGGGAACAUCAUAAUAUGAUGGGAGGAGUCAUUUGGUGGCUUUUGACUGAAAUCCAAUGGCUAAAACUGUGCAAUACUCCAACCACUCCAUUUCAUAACGAACUUCGUACGAACCAGAAUUGUCCAAUUUCAUGGACCAAUCGAUAUCGGAUUGAGUCCAAAACCUGUGGAACAAGAUAAUAUGGUGGGAGGAGUCAUUUGGUGACUUUUGAGUGAAAUCCAAUGGCUAAAACUAUGCAAUACACUAACCACUCAUUUCAUAACGAACUUCAUACGAACCUGAAUUGUCCAAUUUCAUGGACCAAUCGAUAUCGGAUUGAGUCCAAAACUUGGGGAACAUCAUAAUACAAUGGGUGGAGUCAUUUGGCAGGUUUUGAGUGAAAUCCAACCUCUACAACUAUGCAAUACACCAACCACUCCAUUUCAUAACGAACUUCAUACGAACCUGAAUUGUCCAAUUUCAUGGACCCAUCGAUAUCUGAUCGAGUCCAAAACUUGUGGAACAAGAUAAUAUGAUGGGAGGAGUCAUUUGGUGAGUUUUGAGUGAAAUCCAAUGGCUAAAACUAUGCAAUACACUAACCACUCCAUUUCAUAACGAACUUCGUACGAACCUGAACUGUCCAAUUUCAUGGACCAAUCGAUAUCGGAUUGAGUCCAAAACUUGGGGAACAUCAUAAUAUGAUGGGAGGUGUCAUUUUGUGACUUUUGAGUGAAAUCCAACUGCUAAAACUAUGCAAUACACCAACCACUCCAUUUCGGAACGAACUUCGUACGAACCUGAAUUGUCCAAUUUCAUGGACCAAUCGAUAUCGGAUUGAGUCCAAAACUUGGGGAACAUCAUAAUACGGUGGGGAGGAGUCAUUUCGUGACUUUUGAGUGAAAUCCAAUGGCUAAAACUAUGCUAUACACAAACACCCCUUUCUAACGAACUUCGUAGAACCUAAAUUGUCCAUUUAUGGACCAAUCAUAUCGGAUUGAGUCCAAAACUUGGGGAACAUCAUCACAUGAUGGGAGGAGUCAGUUGGUGACUUUGGAGUGAAAUCCAAUGGCUAAAACUAUGCAACACACUAAACACACCAUUUCAGAACGAACUUCGUAAGAACCUGAAAUGUCCAAUUUCAUGGACCAAUCGAUAUCGGAUUGAGUCCAAAACUUGGGGAACAUCAUCAUAUGAUGGGAGGAGUCAUUUGGUGACUUUUGAGUGAAAUCCAACGGCUAAAACUAUGCAAUACACUAACCACUGCAUUUCAGAACGAACUUCGUACAAACCUGAAUUGUCCAAUUUCAUGGACCAAUCGAUAUCGGAUUGAGUCCGAAACUUGGGGAACAUCAUAAUAUGAUGGGAGGAGUCAUUUGGUGACUUUUGAGUGAAUCCAAUGGCUAAAACUGUGCAAUACACCAACCACUCCAUUUCGGAACGAACUUCGUACGAACCUGAAUUGUCCAAUUUCAUGGACCAAUCGAUAUCGGAUUGAGUUCAAAACUUGGGGAACAUCAUAAUACGGUGGGAGGAGUCAUUCGGUGACUUUUGAGUGAAAUCCAAUGGCUAAAACUAUGCAAUACACUAAACACACCAUUUCAUAACAACUUCGUAAGAACCUAAAUUGUCCAAUUUCAUGGACCAAUCGAUAUCGGAUUGAGUCCAAAACUUGGGGAACAUCAUCACAUGAUGGGAGGAGUCAUUUGUUGACUUUGGAGUGAAAUCCAAUGGCUAAAACUAUGCAAUACACUAAACACACCAUUUCAGAACGAACUUCGUAAGAACCUGAAUUGUCCAAUUUCAUGGACCAAUCGAUAUCGGAUUGAGUCCAAAACUUGGGGAACAUCAUCAUAUGAUGGGAGGAGUCAUUUGGUGACUUUUGAGUGAAAUCCAAUGGCUAAAACUAUGCAAUACACUAACCACUCCAUUUCAGAACGAACUUCGUACAAACCUGAAUUGUCCAAUUUCAUGGACCAAUCGAUAUCGGAUUGAGUCCGAAACGUGGGGAACAUCAUAAUAUGAUGGGAGGAGUCAUUUGGUGCCUUUUGAGUGAAAUCCAAUGGCUAAAACUAUACAAUACACUAACCACUCCAUUUCAUAAUGAACUUCGUACGAACUUGAAUUGUCCAAUUUUAUGGACCAAUCGAUAUCGGAUUGAGUCCGAAACUUGGGGAACAUCAUAAUAUGAUGGGAGGAGUCAUUUGGUGACUUUUGAGUGAAAUCCAACUGCUAAAACUAUGCAAUACACCAACCACUCCAUUUCGGAACGAACUUCGUACGAACCUGAAUUGUCCAAUUUCAUGGACCAAUCGAUAUCGGAUUGAGUCCAAAACUUGGGGAACAUCAUAAUACGGUGGGAGGAGUCAUUCGGUGACUUUUGAGUGAAAUCCAAUGGCUAAAACUAUGCAAUACACUAAACAUACCAUUUCAUAACGAACUUCGUAAGAACCUAAAUUGUCCAAUUUCAUGGACCAAUCGAUAUCGGAUUGAGUCCAAAACUUGGGGAACAUCAUCACAUGAUGGGAGGAGUCAGUUGGUGACUUUGGAGUGAAAUCCAAUGGCUAAAACUAUGCAACACACUAAACACACCAUUUCAGAACGAACUUCGUAAGAACCUGAAAUGUCCAAUUUCAUGGACCAAUCGAUAUCGGAUUGAGUCCAAAACUUGGGGAACAUCAUCAUAUGAUGGGAGGAGUCAUUUGGUGACUUUUGAGUGAAAUCCAACGGCUAAAACUAUGCAAUACACUAACCACUGCAUUUCAGAACGAACUUCGUACAAACCUGAAUUGUCCAAUUUCAUGGACCAAUCGAUAUCGGGAUUGAGUCCGAACUUGGGGAACAUCAUAAUAUGAUGGGAGGAGUCAUUUGGGUGACUUUGAGUGAAUCCAAUGGCUAAACUAUGCAAUACANNNNNNNNNNNNNNNNNNNNNNNNNNNNNNNNNNNNNNNNNNNNNNNNNNNNNNNNNNNNNNNNNNNNNNNNNNNNNNNNNNNNNNNNNNNNNNNNNNNNNNNNNNNNNNNNNNNNNNNNNNNNNNNNNNNNNNNNNNNNNNNNNNNNNNNNNNNNNNNNNNNNNNNNNNNNNNNNNNNNNNNNNNNNNNNNNNNNNNNNNNNNNNNNNNNNNNNNNNNNNNNNNNAUCGAUAUCGGAUUGAGUCCAAAACUUGGGGGAACAUCAUCACCUGAUGGGAGGAGUCAUUUGGUGACUUUGGAGUGAAAAUCCAAUGGCUAAAACUAUGCAAUACACUAAACACACCAUUUCAGAACGAACUUCGUAAGAACCUGAAUUGUCCAAUUUCAUGGACCAAUCGAUAUCGGAUUGAGUCCAAAACUUGGGGAACAUCAUGAUAUGAUGGGAGGAGUCAUUUGGUGACUUUUGAGUGAAAUCCAACGGCUAAAACUAUGCAAUACACUAACCACUCCAUUUCAGAACGAACUUCGUACAAACCUGAAUUGUCCAAUUUCAUGGACCAAUCGAUAUCGGAUUGAGUCCGAAACUUGGGGAACAUCAUAAUAUGAUGGGAGGAGUCAUUUGGUGAAUUUUGAGUGAAUCCAAUGGCUAAAACUAUGCAAUACACCAACCACUCCAUUUCGGAACGAACUUCGUACGAACCUGAAUUGUCCAAUUUCAUGGACCAAUCGAUAUCGGAUUGAGUCCAAAACUGGGNNNNNNNNNNNNNNNNNNNNNNNNNNNNNNNNNNNNNNNNNNNNNNNNNNNNNNNNNNNNNNNNNNNNNNNNNNNNNNNNNNNNNNNNNNNNNNNNNNNNAACGAACUUCGUACGAACCUGAAUUGUCCAAUUUCAUGGACCAAUCGAUAUCGGAUUGAGUCCAAAACUUGGGGAACAUCAUAAUACGGCGGGAGGAGUCAUUCGGUGACUUUUGAGUGAAAUCCAAUGGCUAAAACUAUGCAAUACACUAACCACUCCAUUUCAGAACGAACUUCGUACAAACCUGAAUUGUCGAAUUUCAUGGACCAAUCGAUAUCGGAUUGAGUCCAAAACUUGGGGAACAUCAUAAUACGGUGGGAGGAGUCAUUUGGCGGGUUUUGAAUGAAAUCGAAUCUCUACAACUGUGCAAUACACCAAGCACUCCAUUUCAUAACGAACUUCAUACGAACCUGAAUUGUCCAAUUUCAUGCACCAAUCGAUAUUUGAUUGAGUCGAAAACUUAGGGAACAUCAUAAUAUGAUGGGAGGAGUCAUUUGGUGACUUUUGAGUGAAAUCCAAUGGCUAAAACUAUGCAAUACACUAAACACACCAUUUCAGAACGAACUUCGUAAGAACCUGAAUUGUCGAAUUUCAUGGACCAAUCGAUAUCGGAUUGAGUCCAAAAUUUGGGGAACAUCAUAAUACGGUGGGAGGAGUCAUUUGGUGACUUUUGAGUGAAAUCCAAUGGCUAAAACAAUGCAAUACACUAACCACUCCAUUUCAGAACGAACUUCGUAUGAACCUGAAUUGUCCAAUUUCGUGUACCAAUCGAUAUUGGAUUGAGUCCGGAACUUGAGGAGCAACAUAAUAUGAUGGGAGGAGUCAUUUGGUGGCUUUUGACUCAAAUCCAAUGGCUAAAACUAUGCAAUACACUAACCACUACAUUUCAGAACGAACUUCGUACAAACCUGAAUUGUCCAAUUUCAUGGACCAAUCGAUAUCGGAUUGAGUCCAAAACUUGGGGAAUAUCAUAAUAAGGUGGGAGGAGUCAUUUGGGGUGUUUUGAGUGAAAUCCAUGGCCUAAAACUAUGCAAUACACCAACCACUCCAUUUCACAACGAACUUCGUACGACCCUGAUUUGUCCAUUUUCAUGGACCAAUCGAUAUCGGAUUGAGUCCAAAACUUGGGGAACAUCAUAAUACGGCGGGAGGAGUCAUUCGGUGACUUUUGAGUGAAAUCCAAUGGCUAAAACUAUGCAAUACACUAACCACUCCAUUUCAGAACGAACUUCGUACAAACCUGAAUUGUCCAAUUUCAAGGACCAAUCGAUAUCGGAUUGAGUCCAAAACUUGGGGAACAUCAUAAUACGGAGAGAGGAGUCAUUUGUUGUCUUUUGACUGAAAUCCAAUGGCUAAAACUAUNNNNNNNNNNNNNNNNNNNNNNNNNNNNNNNNNNNNNNNNNNNNNNNNNNNNNNNNNNNNNNNNNNNNNNNNNNNNNNNNNNNNNNNNNNNNNNNNNNNNNNNNNNNNNNNNNNNNNNNNNNNNNNNNNNNNNNNNNNNNNNNNNNNNNNNNNNNNNNNNNNNNNNNNNNNNNNNNNNNNNNNNNNNNNNNNNNNNNNNNNNNNNNNNNNNNNNNNNNNNNNNNNNNNNNNNNNNNNNNNNNNNNNNNNNNNNNNNNNNNNNNNNNNNNNNNNNNNNNNNNNNNNNNNNNNNNNNNNNNNNNNNNNNNNNNNNNNNNNNNNNNNNNNNNNNNNNNNNNNNNNNNNNNNNNNNNNNNNNNNNNNNNNNNNNNNNNNNNNNNNNNNNNNNNNNNNNNNNNNNNNNNNNNNNNNNNNNNNNNNNNNNNNNNNNNNNNNNNNNNNNNNNNNNNNNNNNNNNNNNNNNNNNNNNNNNNNNNNNNGAAUCCAAUGGCUAAAACUAUGCAAUACACCAACCACUCCAUUUCGGAACGAACUUCGUACGAACCUGAAUUGUCCAAUUUCAUGGACCAAUCGAUAUCGGAUUGAGUCCAAAACUUGGGGAAUAUCAUAAUAAGGUGGGAGGAGUCAUUUGGGGUGUUUUGAGUGAAAUCCAAUGGCUAAAACUAUGCAAUACACCAACCACUCCAUUUCAGAACGAACUUCGUACGAACCUGAAUUGUCCAAUUUCAUGGACCAAUCGAUAUCGGAUUGAGUCCAAAACUUGGGGAACAUCAUAAUACGGCGGGAGGAGUCAUUCGGUGACUUUUGAGUGAAAUCCAAUGGCUAAAACUAUGCAAUACACUAACCACUCCAUUUGAGAACGAACUUCGUACAAACCUGAAUUGUCCAAUUUCAUGGACCAAUCGAUAUCGGAUUGAGUCCAAAACUUGGGGAACAUCAUAAUACGGAGAGAGGAGUCAUUUGUUGUCUUUUGACUGAAAUCCAAUGGCUAAAACUAUAUAUGCAAUACACUAACCACUCCAUUUCGGAACGAACUUCGUACGAACCUGAAUUGUCCAAUUUCGUGUACCAAUCGAUAUUGGAUUGAGUCCGGAACUUGAGAGCAACAUAAUAUGAUGGGAGGAGUCAUUUGGUGUCUUUUGACUGAAAUCCAAUGGCUAAAACUAUGCAAUACACUAAACCACUAUAUUUCAGAACGAACUUCGUACAAACUGAAUUGUCCAAUUUCAUGGACCAAUCGAUAUCGGAUUGAGUCCAAAACUUGGGGAAUAUCAUAAUAAGGUGGGAGGAGUCAUUUGGGGUGUUUUGAGUGAAAUCCAAUGGCUAAAACUAUGCAAUACACCAACCACUCCAUUUCAGAACGAACUUCGUACGAACCUGAAUUGUCCAAUUUCAUGGACCAAUCGAUAUCGGAUUGAGUCCAAAACUUGGGGAACAUCAUAAUACGGCGGGAGGAGUCAUUCGGUGACUUUUGAGUGAAAUCCAAUGGCUAAAACUAUGCAAUACACUAACCACUCCAUUUCAGAACGAACUUCGUACAAACCUGAAUUGUCCAAUUUCAAGGACCAAUCGAUAUCGGAUUGAGUCCAAAACUUGGGGAACAUCAUAAUACGGAGAGAGGAGUCAUUUGUUGUCUUUUGACUGAAAUCCAAUGGCUAAAACUAUAUAUGCAAUACACUAACCACUCCAUUUCGGAACGAACUUCGUACGAACCUGAAUUGUCCAAUUUCAUGGACCAAUCGAUAUCGGAUUGAGUCCAAAACUUGGGGAACAUCAUAAUACGGUGGGAGGAGUCAUUUGGUGACUUUGAGUGAAAUCCAAUGGCUAAAACUAUGCAAUACACUAAACACACCAUUUCAUAACAACUUCAUAAGAACNNNNNNNNNNNNNNNNNNNNNNNNNNNNNNNNNNNNNNNNNNNNNNNNNNNNNNNNNNNNNNNNNNNNNNNNNNNNNNNNNNNNNNNNNNNNNNNNNNNNGUCAUUUGGUGACUUUUGAGUGAAAUCCAAUGGCUAAAACUAUGCAAUACACUAACCACUCCAUUUCAGAACGAACUUCGUACAAACUGAAUUGUCCAUUUUCAUGGACCAAUCGAUAUCGGAUUGAGUCCAAAACUUGGGGAACAUCAUAAUAUGAUGGGAGGAGUCAUUUGGUGACUUUUGAGUGAAUCCAAUGGCUAAAACUAUGCAAUACACCAACCACUCCAUUUCGGAACGAACUUCGUACGAACGUGAAUUGUCCAAUUUCAUGGACCAAUCGAUAUCGGAUUGAGUCCAAAACUUGGGGAACAUCAUCAUAUGAUGGGAGGAGUCAUUUGGUGACUUUUGAGUGAAAUCCAAUGGAUAAAACUAUGCAAUACACUAACCACUCCAUUUAAGAACGAACUUCGUACAAACCUGAAUUGUCCAAUUUCAUGGACCAAUCGAUAUCGGAUUGGGUCCGAAACUUGGGGAACAUCAUAAUAUGAUGGGAUGAGUCAUGUGGUGCCUUUUGAGUGAAAUCCAAUGGCUAAAACUAUGCAAUACACUUACCACUCCAUUUAAGAACGAACUUUGUACAAACUUGAAUUGUCCAAUUUCAUGGACCAAUCGAUAUCGGAUUGGGUCCGAAACUUGGGGAACAUCAUAAUAUGAUGGGAUGAGUCAUGUGGUGCCUUUUGAGUGAAAUCCAAUGGCUAAAACUAUGCAAUACACUUACCACUCCAUUUAAGAACGAACUUUGUACAAACUUGAAUUGUCCAAUUUCAUGGACCAAUCGAUAUCGGAUUGAGUCCAAAACUUGGGGAACAUCAUAAUACGGAGGGAGGAGUCAUUUGGGGUCUUUUGAGUGAAAUCCAAUGGCUAAAACUAUGCAAUACACUAACCACUCCAUUUCAGAACGAAAUUCGUACAAACCUGAAUUGUCCAAUUUCAUGGACCAAUCGAUAUCGGAUUGAGUCCAAAACUUGGGGAACAUCAUAAUACGGUGGGAGGAGUCAUUUGGUGACUUUUGAGUGAAAUCCAAUGGCUAAAACUAUGCAAUACACUAAACACACCAUUUCAUAACAACUUCGUAAGAACCUAAAUUGUCCAAUUUCAUGGACCAAUCGAUAUCGGAUUGGGUCCAAAACUUGGGGAACAUCAUCACAUGAUGGGAGGAUUCAUUUGGUGACUUUGGAGUGAAAUCCAAUGGCUAAAACUAUGCAAUACACGAAACACACCAUUUCAGAACGAACUUCGUAAGAACCUGAAUUGUCCAAUUUCAUGGACCAAUCGAUAUCGGAUUGAGUCCAAAACUUGGGGAACAUCAUCAUAUGAUGGGAGGAGUCAUUUGGUGACUUUUGAGUGAAAUCCAACGGCUAAAACUAUGCAAUACACUAACCACUCCAUUUCAGAACGAACUUCGUACAAACCUGAAUUGUCCAAUUUCAUGGACCAAUCGAUAUCGGAUUGAGUCCGAAACUUGGGGAACAUCAUAAUAUGAUGGGAGGAGUCAUUUGGUGAAUUUUGAGGUGAAUCCAAUGGCUAAAACUAUGCAAUACACCAACCACUCCAUUUCGGACGAACUUCGUACGAACCUGAAUUGUCCAAUUUCAUGGACCAAUCGAUAUCGGAUUGAGUCCAAAACUUGGGGAACAUCAUAAGACGGUGGGAGGAGUCAUUUGGUGAGUUUUGAGUGAAAUCCAAUGGCUAAAACUAUGCAAUACACUAAACACACCAUUUCAUAACAACUUCGUAAGAACCUAAAUUGUCCAAUUUUAUGGACCAAUCGAUAUCGGAUUGAGUCCAAAACUUGGGGAACAUCAUCACAUGAUGGGAGGAUUCAUUUGGUGACUUUGGAGUGAAAUCCAAUGGCUAAAACUAUGCAAUACACGAAACACACCAUUUCAGAACAAACUUCGUAAAAACCUGAAUUGUCCAAUUUCAUAGACCAAUCGAUAUCGGAUUGAGUCCAAAACUUGGGGAACAUCAUCAUAUGAUGGGAGGAGUCAUUUGGUGACUUUUAAGUGAAAUCCAAUGGCUAAAACUAUGCAAUACACUAACCACUCCAUUUCAGAACCAACUUCGUACCAACCUGAAUUGUCCAAUUUCAUGGACCAAUCGAUAUCGGAUUGAGUCCGAAACGUGGGGAACAUCAUAAUAUGAUGGGAGGAGUCAUUUGGUGCCUUUUGAGUGAAAUCCAAUGGCUAAAACUAU
Molecule: long non-coding RNA, 100168 nt
Filed under: Prunus persica (peach)
Lineage: Eukaryota; Viridiplantae; Streptophyta; Magnoliopsida; Rosales; Rosaceae
Description: long non-coding RNA (PPER_LNC005262)
Source: RNAcentral